Molecule: long non-coding RNA, 154121 nt
Filed under: Coffea arabica (coffee)
Lineage: Eukaryota; Viridiplantae; Streptophyta; Magnoliopsida; Gentianales; Rubiaceae
Description: long non-coding RNA (CARA_LNC005520)
Source: RNAcentral
AACUAUUUCCCUUAAAGAUCUUGUUACAAAACAGGAUCCACGAAUCUUCAAAGGACAGUGGCUCCAUUCUGUAGAUAUAACCUAGAGAUUCUGUACAAGAGGCAGAGGCUACAUCAGCUUUCCGAGUUGUUAGCAUGACACGGUUGCCGUGGCUACUCUCGGGCAGCGCAAACUUGAUGGUAUUCCAAAAUUCCACGUCCCAUACAUCAUCAAAAACAAUCGCAUACCUUUCAGCUUGUUGAAGAAAAUAUUUGAUAAUUUCUUUCAGCUCGGUGGUAGUCAUGGAGUCGAUCAAUUGUGGGACUGGUUUCUUCCCGUCCUUGUGUAACUGCAGAAUCAAGUCUUUCAGGAGGUACUGAAAGUCACAUGUUUGAGAGACAGUUACCCAAGCACGGACUGGGAAAUGCCUUCUGACUUCAGGAUCCUCAUGGACUUUUUUCACUAGGGUAGUUUUGCCAAGUCCUCCCAUACCAACCACUGAAACAACUUUUAGUUGGUAAUCAUCCCCUUGGAGGAGCUGAGAAAUUAGAUGUUUCUUGGGCUGGUCAAUGCCAACUAAUUUAGCUUCUUCCACAAGCAGCGCAUCAUCUCUGCUAUAGCGCCAUGUUGUGUUGUUCACAGCAGAAAGUGAGUUGGACGCUUGGGCAGAGAUACCAUAUUCAGAUUGGUAUCUUUGAUGAGCUUCGGAAAUACUUUUUAUUCUGGACUUGAUGCCUUGUAUUUCGCUAGCAACUCGAUGACGAGCUCUCAAAUUCUUGAUGGAGCUGAAAAUUCUCCGAACAGAGCCGUAGAAUCCUGUUGCGGGAUGCCGAGCAAAGCGAGCUACAAAUUCAUCAAGAAUGUCUUCAGUGUCAUAAGCAGCAUCUCGCACUUGCUUGAUCCAUUGUUGGAGAGUGGGUUGAGCAUCUUCUUCUUUUGCUUCUGCCUCUCGCAGGAAAGCUCUCAUUUGCUCCAACUCAUCCAUGAUGAAUUGAACCUCUUGCUGAAGCCCCCCCAAUAGUCGUCCCUCCUCGCGCAGAAAAGUUGAGAGUUGUCGCAGCACAAAAGAGAGAACUGUUUCUGCCAUUUUCAGUGUUUCUUUCUAACUUAAGAAUGUUGGGGAAGGCGGCUUCUGGUUUAUAGGACAGUCCACUUGCAGUGUCUUGAAAGGAAGAAAGAAGGGUAGGCUAUAGAUUCAUAAGCUGAUGAACUUUGAAACUAUAUGAUGCAGUAUAUAUCAAAAAGAAAAACCGCGUCAAAAAGAAAAAGAAAGAAUUAACAAAUUAGAAGAAACUAAAGCAAGAAACAUGAUGGAAAUUGAAGACAAGAAGAUAGGCAGCAACGUUAGUUUGAAAGACGAAGCUGCCUCUUACCUGCUUACUAUACAAAAUCAUGGAAGCUAUUAAGAAGACUGUGCAAAUGGUGGGGUGAUCAGCCUUCAGGACCUUCUUUCAACUGUGGGUCCUUUGGUCGGAUAAAGAUAAAAGGAGUGACUACCGCAGCAUCGUGCAAAAGCAAUGAUGUCGAAUUAUUUAACAAGGGAAGGAAUAAAGUUAAAACGCGGUUGGACUGGACAUUAUUUAUUUCAUUGACGAAGAAAUAAAACUACCACUGCAAAGUCUUUGCACCUCCUCCUCCUAUGGAACUAAUUUCUGCAUUUUUUUUAGCCCCUUGGACCAACUAGUAUUUUUGUAAUAAAAACGGAUGGAAUAUCAAAGAAACCUUGGGAACAAAUCUCUGACCAAAUUUUCGGUAUAGACAUGCAUGUGCGUUUAAGUAGUUAAAGAGGAAAGAGCACGAGAAUGAGAAUGAGAAUCUAUUUAAUGGUGUGCUUGAUAAAAUUGAAGUUUAAAAUCUGAAUUCAUUAAUUUAUUGAAUUGUUAAUCUAAUAUAUUUGAAUGCAUAUCACGUUCAGUGAUAAGUGAAUAGCAUAUCACUUAAUUUUGGGAGUAAAUUUUAUUUAAAAAUUCAGUAUCACUUAAUAUAUAUAUAUAUAUAUAUAUAUGUAUCUGUAUGUAUAUGUAUGUAUGUAUAUAUGUAGGUAGAUGAUAGACAUUUGCAUAGGCUUAUUUGGUACCUAAUCUAGAGCGAUAUCCGCAAAGCCAACGAGGCAACCGCAAAAUUAAAAAAAAAUAAAAAUAAAACGCCAAGUGAUCGUUAACCAUGGCAUUCCAAAAGAAAAGGAAAACAACAAAUUAAAGAGGAGAAUCAUCGAGGACAUUGAAAAUUAAAACCCAAUAAAUUAACUUUCUUAUGUUGAAAUAAUGAUCAAGUGAAAGGCAUCACAACUCCAAAACAUGAGUUCAAUGUUAUUUUUUGUUAAUAACAGCUCAUAUAAGUGUGAAACCUGUGGAAGAUAGAAGCAUAAAUCAGCAUAUCGACAAUGUUUUAAAAACCGGACCGUUAAUCGAACCGGUGAAGUGAAAGGGUCGAGGUUCAACCGAUCGGACCGGUUCAACCUCGGUUCAAUGAAUUUUUUAAAAAAUAAUUUAUAUAAAUAUAUAUGUGCACAAAAUAAGACAUGUAAUGGAUAAUUUAAUACUUUAUAUGAUGAAAAGUUUACUAUUUUUGAAUAACUUGGAUUUUUAAAAAUAAAUUUUUUAAAUUAUAAGUCAAAACAAAUAAAUUUCAUCUCAAUUUUAAUUAUAUCUACCAAAAAAAUCUUAAAUAUAAUCCAAAAAUAUCACAAUAUUUGAAAUUAUACAAAAUUCACGUCUAUGAGAAUUUAGACAUUGUGAACUUAAAUUUUAAUUUACAUUUUGGAAUUUAAAUUUACAAUUUAAAAAAGGAAGUUUGGAGUUCGAAAAAAAUCAAGAGAAUUGAAAAUAGAAAUGCAAAUUUGAUAAGAAACAAGAAAUGAGAUAAAAGUGAGUGGUUGUGGUAUUAAAUAAAUUGGGUUAAAGAAAAAUAAUUCUUUUUUAACUUUUUUAAAUUUAAUGGACAAAAACAAAAUUAAAAUAUGGAAGAAAACAUCAAUAAAUUAAAAAUAAAGAGGUUUGAUUAUAAAAUGAGUGGCAAAAGAAAAGAUGAUAGAGAGAGAGAGAGAGGGUGUGUGUGUGUGUGUGUGUGUGUGUGUUGAAGAUUAAAAAGAAAGAGUCAUGAAAAGAUGAUAUUUUGUAAAAAAAAUGGAACAAAAGAAAUAUGAGUGUUUGUUUUAUAUAAAUAAGUUAUCAAAAGAAACCAAUAAGAUGUGAUAGUGCAAUGGUUACUACAUUGGUCUUCUAAUACAAAGGUCUUGAGUUCGAAUCUUGAUAACUACAUUUUGCAAAAAAAAAAAAAAAAAAAAAAAAGGAAAACUCAAAAACCGGAAAUAACCGGUUCACAUCCGGUUCAGCGGUUUCGCGGUCCAACCGGUUUUUGACCGGUUUCUUGACAAGUCAAACCUGGCAUUGAACCGGACCGGAGCCAUGGCCGGUUCGCGGUUCAACCGGUCGAACCGGCCGGUCCGGUCCGGUUUUCAAAACACUGCUCAAAUAUCGAGAAGAAAAACUUAGGAUCCAUGAGCUACUAAUAACUUGGCCCAGGUAUUUUAAACCAGUAAUUUAACAGACUUCGAAAGUUUUAUUGAGCUGGAUAGGACGAAAGGCGGCUCUUUUUACCAAUUAGAAUCGUCCUAUGCAACAUACAUCAUCAAACAACAUAAAGAAAUUGUGUAUUUUAAUUCAUAAAAAUGUAGCCAACCACCACUGCCCUUACUAUUACUCUCGACCUUAUAUUUUCAGUUUUGUUGAAGAUGAGAUAAAAUUCAUUCUAUAUUUACCUCUUUUUAUUACUCUUGACCUUAUAUUUUCAACUUUACUAAAGAAGUAAAGAUAGGACAAAUUUAAUUCUAUAUUGCCUUUUUUGAUUAAAAAGGACCAGAUCAAAUAAUAAGCAACUCAAGUAAAAAAAUUUACUUAUGCUAUUCUAUUCUUCAAUCCUUUCAAAAUUAUUACCUUGUGAAAUAAUGCAAUUUUAUUUUUUUAAAGAUAAUUUGAUGGAUGGAUAAUUAUUACUUUUGGUUCUGUUAGUUAUUCAAAAAGGAGAAAAGAGGUAAACAAUAAUGUUUGAACUCGGAGGAAACUGGAAUGAUCUCCAGUUGUUCUCUUCGUUUGCUGUUCCUAGCUUUGAAGUGUACAGUUUUACUUGUAGGAAACUGGAAAGCUUUUCUUUUUUCUUUUUGUUUUUUCCCCUGGUUUUGUAGACAAAGUUGGAUGUGAAGAAAGAAGUGGGAAUGAAAAUAUUGGAGAUGGCUAAAUUAUUUUUUAAUGCUCAGCAUAAGGCAAUUAAGGUAAACCCUUAACCACGCAGCCAAAUCCGAUCACCACCAUCUUCUGAUGUCUAAUUUUUCUUUUAGUUUAUUAUUGUAAUGUGUAAAGAAAAAAAGUUAGAUAUACUCGACAAAGUCAAAUCAUAAUUUUGCGUUUCUUAUGUUUCUUCUUUCUUCUUUCUAAAAUGAAUGACUUUGGAUCACCAAUGUAAUCUUUCAUCUCAGUUCUUUUUCUCCAGCUGUGAAAUUAUUACAACUAAGACUAGAUUAGGAAUAAGGGACAAGAAGUGGCUCUUUUGACCAAUUAGAAUUAAAUUAUGCAUUAUACAUGGUCAAACAGCAUGAAGAAAAUUAUGCAUGCUAUAUAGUAUAUAUUAUACUCGACCUUUAAUUGCCAAUAAUAUUGAAGUUGGCAUAUGUUUCAUUCUAUAAUUUUCUCUUCAAUUUUUUCUUUUGAAGUUUGUCUUUUUUUUUCGUUGAUUAUAUUCACCUUUUAUCAUCGAAUUGAAUUUUCAACGUUCCGAGGUUUUCUCAAAUCGCUUCGUACAAGAUGCACGAUAUUUGUUCUGAUUUACCAUAUCGUCUUAGCAUGGGAUCUUACUGUUUACCUUAUUGUAAUGAUAAAUGGUUAAAAUGGAACCAGAUGGGAGCAUAGUUAGCGGAAGCCCGAGCUUGGAAUCUGUCCUUUUGCAGUUUUACUUGUGCAAGAAUAAUUAAUUUAUUGGAAAAUUUUGCUACAUAUCUGCAAGGACUAAACAAAUAUUGGCCAUAUAAGUUAGUGAGAAUGUAUCCUUGUAAAGCAGAUUUUUUAUAUAGGGAUAUUGUUAUGAAGAAGAGAAAUUUGAGACAUAUAUGUAGUUAGAUUUGUUGUUCCUGAAUUUAACGGGUCAUAGGCUAUAAAAGUAUUAGAGUUCGAUUUUUUUUCCCCAAAUCCUAAUACGAAGCCCCUACUUGAGCUAAUGAAUUGAAAUUCACUAUUAAAAUUGACUAUUGUAGAGUCAUAAUUUGGACUCAAGUGUGACAAGGUGCAUUACUCGAGCUACUUGAGUGCUGUAUUUUGGAAAAGCAAUUUCGAAAGCAAAAGAAGAAGCAAAGGCACAAAUUUUUCAUAGUGAUCAUAACACUAGUUCCUAGAAACAGCAUAAGAAAGGUGACAGAAACACAUUAUCGACAUUAUAAAAGUCUGUCAUUAUUUAUCAUUUUUAUAUAGUAACUUGCUAUAGAAGAAUUGUCAAAGCCGCGUGAGAAAAUUAAGAACGAAAUACGAGGAAAAUUCUUACUCGUCACAACGAAACUGCAGCCAAAAAAAAGAAAAAAAAAAUGGAGUGGAGCCAUUAAAGUCAGUCAAAGAGAAAAAGAAAGAUGUAACUAAUUAAUUACAAGAAACUAAAGCGAAGAUAGACAGCAACGGGAUUUUGAAAGGCGAAGCUACCUUACCCGCAGCACUACAAAAUCAUGGAAAUUAUUAAGGAGACUAUGCGCAGUUGGUGGGGCGUAUGCGUUCACUCUUCAGUCUUCAGGAGGCUACCAGCGUACAACACCAUCUUUCAAAACCAACGAUGUCUAAACCUAAAACCUGGUGGCCUGGACAAUGACUUCAUUGAUGAAUAAAUAAAAGGAAAAUGAGUUCUAUAUUGAUGAACUGGGCACUUCAACUAGUUUUAAUUUAAAAUUUUUACUAGUUAAUUAGUUAGCAUAUGAAUUAUUAGUUCUUAAUUUUGUUGUUUAAAGUUAACUACUAACUAUUUUGUUUCUUUGUUUUGAAAUGUAAUUUAAUCGACACAUAACUAGAUGUGACAAAGUUAUGUCAGUAAUUAGGGAAAAUUCUUCAUAUGUCCUAAAUCUGCUUUAAAAUGGAUACAUUGAGGAUCAGAUUUGCUCUUGCAAAAACUCUGGGAACAAAAACUAAACAUGGGAUAAAGAUUGACGACCAAAUUUGCUUUUACCAAAACUUUAAGGACUAAACCUUCACAUGAGAUAAAAAUUAGGUACCAAAAUUGCAUUUUUGCCAGAAAUAAAACUACUACACUCCUCUUGCCGACACGAACUGUCUUCAGUUUUUAGCUUUAUUCGUAUUGUUUUUGCCCCUUACACCGAUUAGUAUUUGUACUGGAAACGGAUGGAAUGUUAAGCAACCUUAGGAAGAAACAAAUUCCAGUACAAUAUCUGACCAAAUUUUCGGCAUGAACAUAAUGUGUGUUUAAGUAGAAAUGAGGAAAGAUCAUGAGAGAACAAGAAUCUACUACUGUCAAUAAAGAAAAACCCAACUCAAAAUGAAUUAUUCUAUCAAAGUUACAGGAGAGUAGGGGUGCAGCUAGGACUGCAAACGAGUCGAGUCGAGUCGAGUUUUGGACUAAUCGAGUCGAAUCUCAACUAGAUUUUACCGAGCUCGACGAGUCGGCAAUUUAAAGCUCGAGCUCGAAAAAAAAAAUAAUUAUUUUAUUUUUUAAAAAAUAAAUAAAAUAAUAUUUUUUCUUAAUAAAUAAUAAAAUAUUAAGGAUAUAUAUGUAAUUUUACUAUUAAAAUAAGAAAAUAAGAAAAUAUAUAUAUUUAAAAUAAAAAAAUAAAAAAUAUUAUAUUUAUAUACUUGAACUCGCGAGCCGAGCUUAAUAUUUUGAGCUCGAUUUCGACUCGAGCCAGCUCGAGCUCGACUCAAGCCGCUCGCGAGCGGCUCGAUUCGUUUGCAGCCCUAGGUGCAGUUGAGUUUUGAGCAUUUUGUGGGUUAAAGUUGGUUUUAAAUUUUUCUCCUUUCGCGUCAGUUGAAGAAUGGACGACUGAGAAAAGUGAGAUUUCAAUUUCUGUUAAACUCGGGCAGUCGGGGAUUGAUUAAAGAAGACAAUAGCAUUUAGACAUUAAUGUUGGUAGUGAUCACAAGAGAGUGUUGGUAGUGCUACUAUUGAUGGACUAAGCCAUGGGCGAGUUAAGAACAGAAAAUUAUACGUGAAAUUUUUAGAAAUCCACCUAGAAAUAUGUUGGCACAGCGUUUUUUUUUUUUCCACCUAAGCUUUUUACCACUUUUUACCUGGAAUCUCACUGGGAUUUAACUCACCCCAUUCCCUUUGUUUUCCUUAACAGAUCGGGAAAGGAUUUGAUCGAGGGCUUUCUUAGCUUUAUUUUACCGUUCUUGCGUUUUGAGGUUGUAACUUUCGUUUAAGCAGACUUGUAAGCUUAAAUUCUUAAGGGUGAUUUAUAUUAUGUAAUUUUGAGUGAAACAUGGUAAGUUGGCAUGCGAUGAUAUAUGUACUAAGUUGAAUUGUUGAAUUAGUGAUUAUGUUUGAGUUAGUGUUUCAAUCCCCUGCAUUGUCAAAUGUUACAUUCGUUUCAUUGAUGAUAUUAGUACUUUGAACGACUGAGUCCUGGCGAGAGUUGGGCAGGCAGUCCGCUGAUACCCUAGGGUUUGCCCUAGGGAAAGGUGGGGCUGUCACUCUCUCUCUCUCUCUGGGAAGAGAAGAUGUGAUUUUGAAAACCUAUGCUUUGGCGUACAAAAUCUUAAUUUUCUCCAAAUAUAAAAGAGAUGGAAGAAAAUAAAAAAUAAAUAAAUAAGAAACAAAAAGAAUGGAAGGGAAAUAUAAAAAGGGUAAAUGAGAAACAAAAAUUAUCAAAUCUUUUUUUACUACAAAUAUCAUUAUAGGUUUCUAAACCAAAUCUUUAAUGGCAUUUUCUAUUUCUUAUUUAUCUAUUUUUUUAUUUAAAUUUCUUCAAGUAAUGAAAAGAUAAAUUUGUCAAUUUAUUAGUUUGAUUUUGACCUUUUGCUAUUGAUCGUUAGUUUUAAUGAAAAAAAUUAAAGGUGACACUUUAACUCAAACCAUGAGGGGAUUAUAUAUAUGUUUUUAAACUAUAGAGAGAUUAUGUGAUAAAUUACCUAAUCAUAGGGGAUAAAAUGUAAUUUAUCAAACAUAAUAUUAGCUAGCCCUUACAUUGCUAAAGCAAAUGGGUCAAUGGUUGCUCUUGAUUGCCAACAUACAUAUGCGUAGAUCAUCUGCAGUUUGGUUCCUAAUUGCCAGCGUAAACCACAUAUUUUGAUUUUCCAAUAAAUACUGCAAAAAAAAAAAGAGUAACGAGUCCAUCUAUACUACUUGAAGAUAAUUGAUUGUUCACCCAGAUUCGUCAAGUUUUGAAAAAAAAAUCUUUAGAGUGAAUUGAAUCAAAUUCAAAUUUUGUGUUUUGUGAUAAUUCCUAAAAGAGAACGAAAUGCAGAUUUUGAGUGUAAAAAUAUUUUAAGAGGUGAUACAAUCAAGACACAAAAAGAUAAAAACAUCGAAGAUGAUGAAAAAAAUUACUAAUAAAAAAUAAAAACAAAAGAAGAGAAAGCCGUGUUGUCCACAAACUAGACAAAGGGAAGCCACAGCGGCUGCUGCUAGGAAAGAUUAUAUGUUUUCUUCUUCUCUGCCCACAGGUUGCGGUGUCUCCAUUUCCUAUCAUCUGUAUAGUAACCAAUGAGAAUUUCAGGAAUGUGUGCGAUUCUUCUGUAAUCUUCACUUUCUUCCUUCUGAUUCUCUAACAGCUUCUCUCUCAAUUGAGAACUCAUCUCAUACAGAGACAGCCGUUGAAGAUGGAUCAAGUGCUGGAUACCCAAUGGUAACUCCUCUAGUAAUGGAAGUUGCUGCAAAAAUAGUUCCCGGAGACGUGGUAAUGCACCCUCCUCCACUCUCAUCCAUCUCAACCCUUCCAUUCUCUUUAAGUGCAUCCACUUCAGAUUUAGGAACCCUCCAGCCUUGAAACACAACCCUUCUCCCUGGUAAGAUCCGCAGAAAUUAAUUCUACCCAAAUUGGGCAAAUGUUGGAGGGAUUCAAGCGGAUCCUCCUCGACCCUUAACCUACUCCAAUUCAUAUCUAUUCUUACCAAGCCGUGAAGAUGAGCUACCCAUUGUGGCAUCUUUUCUAAGGGGCCGUACAUAAUCAGCAGACGAAGAGAUUGAAGAAACGAAGAAGAAGAAGAAAGAGAAGGGUGAUUUAGAUCGAUUAUCUCAUGAUCAUCAUCUUUACCAAUUGAAUCAACGCUUAAUUCCCGAAGACUGGUGAGAUUGGCAAGGGAGGAGCAGAGCUCUUUUCCAUCUUCUCUUCUUAACUUUGUAAUACCUAAUUCUCUUAAUUGGGUCAACUUUCCUAUCUCCUUGAUUAUUGUGGAUCCACUACUUGCAUCUAUGCUGUCUAAUACUUCUAAGGCAAGAAGCCCUCCCAUAUUUGAGGGAGCUUUAAAUCCAUGAUAUCCAUAAUCAUCAUCGGAAGAAUCAACUUGUUGAUAUACUCUGAGAACCCGAAGUUUUUGCAGCUUCAGGAUUUCCACAGGUAGUUCCCUAACUCUGGUGUUACCCAAAUCCAGAAACUCCAAAUGUUGAAGCUUUCCAAUGGCUUUCGGGACUCUCUCCACUCUUGUAUCGCAUAGGUCCAGAUGCUUGAGAUGAAACAUCUUGAAAAUCUCAUUUGGUAUUUCCUCUUGUGUCUCUUGACCAUCCAAAUCCAAAACCUUUAACAGCUUACUACUCCUUGAAAUUUCAGAUAACAACGUUUUGGAUAGUAGCGGGUCGGUGGAUCCAACUGUAACGAACGACCGAAGGUGGUCAAAGCAAUAAAUUCGUCUUUGGUGGUGGUGCUGGGUGUUGUUACUGCUACUACUACUAUGGACUGCUAGACGGCGUACCUUCUCGGACGGCCACGUCAUUGGUUGUCCAGUAGUGGCUGUGACCAUGUUUUGUUCCCUUGACUUGAGAAGAAUAACUUCUCUCAAUAGGUCAUGGAUUCGACAUCUUUGGGGUAUUCCUUCAUAAAACACCUUAGACACUUGAAUUAGACUUCUAUUGACGAGUUCACUGAGAUAAUUCCAGGCUACAUCUUCAAUACUCAUUCCUUCUCUCCCUUCUACAAACCUUUCAGCAAUCCACAAAUUAACUAGUCUAUAGCAGUCUAUUUUGUGAUCCUCUGGGUAGAUGCUUGUGUACAACAGACAUGCCUUUAGAUGCCAAGGCAAAUCAUUAUAACUAAGAAAAAGUAUCCUUUUAACUCUGUCUAACUUACCAGUGCCUUCUAAUUCACCCCCAAGACUGCGUCGAACCAUCUCCCAUUCCUCUGUUCUGUUUACAUCUUUCAAAGCCAAAAGCCCACUGAUUGCAAGAAUCGCAAGGGGCAAGCCCUCACAUUUACCCAGUAUAACUUUGGCAACAUCCAUCAAAUGGCCAGGGCAACUAUUUCCCUUAAAGAUCUUGUUACAAAACAGGAUCCACGAAUCUUCAAAGGACAGUGGCUCCAUUCUGUAGAUAUAACCUAGAGAUUCUGUACAAGAGGCAGAGGCUACAUCAGCUUUCCGAGUUGUUAGCAUGACACGGUUGCCGUGGCUACUCUCGGGCAGCGCAAACUUGAUGGUAUUCCAAAAUUCCACGUCCCAUACAUCAUCAAAAACAAUCGCAUACCUUUCAGCUUGUUGAAGAAAAUAUUUGAUAAUUUCUUUCAGCUCGGUGGUAGUCAUGGAGUCGAUCAAUUGUGGGACUGGUUUCUUCCCGUCCUUGUGUAACUGCAGAAUCAAGUCUUUCAGGAGGUACUGAAAGUCACAUGUUUGAGAGACAGUUACCCAAGCACGGACUGGGAAAUGCCUUCUGACUUCAGGAUCCUCAUGGACUUUUUUCACUAGGGUAGUUUUGCCAAGUCCUCCCAUACCAACCACUGAAACAACUUUUAGUUGGUAAUCAUCCCCUUGGAGGAGCUGAGAAAUUAGAUGUUUCUUGGGCUGGUCAAUGCCAACUAAUUUAGCUUCUUCCACAAGCAGCGCAUCAUCUCUGCUAUAGCGCCAUGUUGUGUUGUUCACAGCAGAAAGUGAGUUGGACGCUUGGGCAGAGAUACCAUAUUCAGAUUGGUAUCUUUGAUGAGCUUCGGAAAUACUUUUUAUUCUGGACUUGAUGCCUUGUAUUUCGCUAGCAACUCGAUGACGAGCUCUCAAAUUCUUGAUGGAGCUGAAAAUUCUCCGAACAGAGCCGUAGAAUCCUGUUGCGGGAUGCCGAGCAAAGCGAGCUACAAAUUCAUCAAGAAUGUCUUCAGUGUCAUAAGCAGCAUCUCGCACUUGCUUGAUCCAUUGUUGGAGAGUGGGUUGAGCAUCUUCUUCUUUUGCUUCUGCCUCUCGCAGGAAAGCUCUCAUUUGCUCCAACUCAUCCAUGAUGAAUUGAACCUCUUGCUGAAGCCCCCCCAAUAGUCGUCCCUCCUCGCGCAGAAAAGUUGAGAGUUGUCGCAGCACAAAAGAGAGAACUGUUUCUGCCAUUUUCAGUGUUUCUUUCUAACUUAAGAAUGUUGGGGAAGGCGGCUUCUGGUUUAUAGGACAGUCCACUUGCAGUGUCUUGAAAGGAAGAAAGAAGGGUAGGCUAUAGAUUCAUAAGCUGAUGAACUUUGAAACUAUAUGAUGCAGUAUAUAUCAAAAAGAAAAACCGCGUCAAAAAGAAAAAGAAAGAAUUAACAAAUUAGAAGAAACUAAAGCAAGAAACAUGAUGGAAAUUGAAGACAAGAAGAUAGGCAGCAACGUUAGUUUGAAAGACGAAGCUGCCUCUUACCUGCUUACUAUACAAAAUCAUGGAAGCUAUUAAGAAGACUGUGCAAAUGGUGGGGUGAUCAGCCUUCAGGACCUUCUUUCAACUGUGGGUCCUUUGGUCGGAUAAAGAUAAAAGGAGUGACUACCGCAGCAUCGUGCAAAAGCAAUGAUGUCGAAUUAUUUAACAAGGGAAGGAAUAAAGUUAAAACGCGGUUGGACUGGACAUUAUUUAUUUCAUUGACGAAGAAAUAAAACUACCACUGCAAAGUCUUUGCACCUCCUCCUCCUAUGGAACUAAUUUCUGCAUUUUUUUUAGCCCCUUGGACCAACUAGUAUUUUUGUAAUAAAAACGGAUGGAAUAUCAAAGAAACCUUGGGAACAAAUCUCUGACCAAAUUUUCGGUAUAGACAUGCAUGUGCGUUUAAGUAGUUAAAGAGGAAAGAGCACGAGAAUGAGAAUGAGAAUCUAUUUAAUGGUGUGCUUGAUAAAAUUGAAGUUUAAAAUCUGAAUUCAUUAAUUUAUUGAAUUGUUAAUCUAAUAUAUUUGAAUGCAUAUCACGUUCAGUGAUAAGUGAAUAGCAUAUCACUUAAUUUUGGGAGUAAAUUUUAUUUAAAAAUUCAGUAUCACUUAAUAUAUAUAUAUAUAUAUAUAUAUAUGUAUCUGUAUGUAUAUGUAUGUAUGUAUAUAUGUAGGUAGAUGAUAGACAUUUGCAUAGGCUUAUUUGGUACCUAAUCUAGAGCGAUAUCCGCAAAGCCAACGAGGCAACCGCAAAAUUAAAAAAAAAUAAAAAUAAAACGCCAAGUGAUCGUUAACCAUGGCAUUCCAAAAGAAAAGGAAAACAACAAAUUAAAGAGGAGAAUCAUCGAGGACAUUGAAAAUUAAAACCCAAUAAAUUAACUUUCUUAUGUUGAAAUAAUGAUCAAGUGAAAGGCAUCACAACUCCAAAACAUGAGUUCAAUGUUAUUUUUUGUUAAUAACAGCUCAUAUAAGUGUGAAACCUGUGGAAGAUAGAAGCAUAAAUCAGCAUAUCGACAAUGUUUUAAAAACCGGACCGUUAAUCGAACCGGUGAAGUGAAAGGGUCGAGGUUCAACCGAUCGGACCGGUUCAACCUCGGUUCAAUGAAUUUUUUAAAAAAUAAUUUAUAUAAAUAUAUAUGUGCACAAAAUAAGACAUGUAAUGGAUAAUUUAAUACUUUAUAUGAUGAAAAGUUUACUAUUUUUGAAUAACUUGGAUUUUUAAAAAUAAAUUUUUUAAAUUAUAAGUCAAAACAAAUAAAUUUCAUCUCAAUUUUAAUUAUAUCUACCAAAAAAAUCUUAAAUAUAAUCCAAAAAUAUCACAAUAUUUGAAAUUAUACAAAAUUCACGUCUAUGAGAAUUUAGACAUUGUGAACUUAAAUUUUAAUUUACAUUUUGGAAUUUAAAUUUACAAUUUAAAAAAGGAAGUUUGGAGUUCGAAAAAAAUCAAGAGAAUUGAAAAUAGAAAUGCAAAUUUGAUAAGAAACAAGAAAUGAGAUAAAAGUGAGUGGUUGUGGUAUUAAAUAAAUUGGGUUAAAGAAAAAUAAUUCUUUUUUAACUUUUUUAAAUUUAAUGGACAAAAACAAAAUUAAAAUAUGGAAGAAAACAUCAAUAAAUUAAAAAUAAAGAGGUUUGAUUAUAAAAUGAGUGGCAAAAGAAAAGAUGAUAGAGAGAGAGAGAGAGGGUGUGUGUGUGUGUGUGUGUGUGUGUGUUGAAGAUUAAAAAGAAAGAGUCAUGAAAAGAUGAUAUUUUGUAAAAAAAAUGGAACAAAAGAAAUAUGAGUGUUUGUUUUAUAUAAAUAAGUUAUCAAAAGAAACCAAUAAGAUGUGAUAGUGCAAUGGUUACUACAUUGGUCUUCUAAUACAAAGGUCUUGAGUUCGAAUCUUGAUAACUACAUUUUGCAAAAAAAAAAAAAAAAAAAAAAAAAGGAAAACUCAAAAACCGGAAAUAACCGGUUCACAUCCGGUUCAGCGGUUUCGCGGUCCAACCGGUUUUUGACCGGUUUCUUGACAAGUCAAACCUGGCAUUGAACCGGACCGGAGCCAUGGCCGGUUCGCGGUUCAACCGGUCGAACCGGCCGGUCCGGUCCGGUUUUCAAAACACUGCUCAAAUAUCGAGAAGAAAAACUUAGGAUCCAUGAGCUACUAAUAACUUGGCCCAGGUAUUUUAAACCAGUAAUUUAACAGACUUCGAAAGUUUUAUUGAGCUGGAUAGGACGAAAGGCGGCUCUUUUUACCAAUUAGAAUCGUCCUAUGCAACAUACAUCAUCAAACAACAUAAAGAAAUUGUGUAUUUUAAUUCAUAAAAAUGUAGCCAACCACCACUGCCCUUACUAUUACUCUCGACCUUAUAUUUUCAGUUUUGUUGAAGAUGAGAUAAAAUUCAUUCUAUAUUUACCUCUUUUUAUUACUCUUGACCUUAUAUUUUCAACUUUACUAAAGAAGUAAAGAUAGGACAAAUUUAAUUCUAUAUUGCCUUUUUUGAUUAAAAAGGACCAGAUCAAAUAAUAAGCAACUCAAGUAAAAAAAUUUACUUAUGCUAUUCUAUUCUUCAAUCCUUUCAAAAUUAUUACCUUGUGAAAUAAUGCAAUUUUAUUUUUUUAAAGAUAAUUUGAUGGAUGGAUAAUUAUUACUUUUGGUUCUGUUAGUUAUUCAAAAAGGAGAAAAGAGGUAAACAAUAAUGUUUGAACUCGGAGGAAACUGGAAUGAUCUCCAGUUGUUCUCUUCGUUUGCUGUUCCUAGCUUUGAAGUGUACAGUUUUACUUGUAGGAAACUGGAAAGCUUUUCUUUUUUCUUUUUGUUUUUUCCCCUGGUUUUGUAGACAAAGUUGGAUGUGAAGAAAGAAGUGGGAAUGAAAAUAUUGGAGAUGGCUAAAUUAUUUUUUAAUGCUCAGCAUAAGGCAAUUAAGGUAAACCCUUAACCACGCAGCCAAAUCCGAUCACCACCAUCUUCUGAUGUCUAAUUUUUCUUUUAGUUUAUUAUUGUAAUGUGUAAAGAAAAAAAGUUAGAUAUACUCGACAAAGUCAAAUCAUAAUUUUGCGUUUCUUAUGUUUCUUCUUUCUUCUUUCUAAAAUGAAUGACUUUGGAUCACCAAUGUAAUCUUUCAUCUCAGUUCUUUUUCUCCAGCUGUGAAAUUAUUACAACUAAGACUAGAUUAGGAAUAAGGGACAAGAAGUGGCUCUUUUGACCAAUUAGAAUUAAAUUAUGCAUUAUACAUGGUCAAACAGCAUGAAGAAAAUUAUGCAUGCUAUAUAGUAUAUAUUAUACUCGACCUUUAAUUGCCAAUAAUAUUGAAGUUGGCAUAUGUUUCAUUCUAUAAUUUUCUCUUCAAUUUUUUCUUUUGAAGUUUGUCUUUUUUUUUCGUUGAUUAUAUUCACCUUUUAUCAUCGAAUUGAAUUUUCAACGUUCCGAGGUUUUCUCAAAUCGCUUCGUACAAGAUGCACGAUAUUUGUUCUGAUUUACCAUAUCGUCUUAGCAUGGGAUCUUACUGUUUACCUUAUUGUAAUGAUAAAUGGUUAAAAUGGAACCAGAUGGGAGCAUAGUUAGCGGAAGCCCGAGCUUGGAAUCUGUCCUUUUGCAGUUUUACUUGUGCAAGAAUAAUUAAUUUAUUGGAAAAUUUUGCUACAUAUCUGCAAGGACUAAACAAAUAUUGGCCAUAUAAGUUAGUGAGAAUGUAUCCUUGUAAAGCAGAUUUUUUAUAUAGGGAUAUUGUUAUGAAGAAGAGAAAUUUGAGACAUAUAUGUAGUUAGAUUUGUUGUUCCUGAAUUUAACGGGUCAUAGGCUAUAAAAGUAUUAGAGUUCGAUUUUUUUUCCCCAAAUCCUAAUACGAAGCCCCUACUUGAGCUAAUGAAUUGAAAUUCACUAUUAAAAUUGACUAUUGUAGAGUCAUAAUUUGGACUCAAGUGUGACAAGGUGCAUUACUCGAGCUACUUGAGUGCUGUAUUUUGGAAAAGCAAUUUCGAAAGCAAAAGAAGAAGCAAAGGCACAAAUUUUUCAUAGUGAUCAUAACACUAGUUCCUAGAAACAGCAUAAGAAAGGUGACAGAAACACAUUAUCGACAUUAUAAAAGUCUGUCAUUAUUUAUCAUUUUUAUAUAGUAACUUGCUAUAGAAGAAUUGUCAAAGCCGCGUGAGAAAAUUAAGAACGAAAUACGAGAAAAAUUCUUACUCGUCACAACGAAACUGCAGCCAAAAAAAAGAAAAAAAAAAGGAGUGGAGCCAUUAAAGUCAGUCAAAGAGAAAAAGAAAGAUGUAACUAAUUAAUUACAAGAAACUAAAGCAUGAGAGAUGAUGGAAAUUGAAUAGAAAGACGAUAGACAGCAACGGGAUUUUGAAAGGCGAAGCUACCUUACCCGCAGCACUACAAAAUCAUGGAAAUUAUUAAGGAGACUAUGCGCAGUUGGUGGGGCGUAUGCGUUCACUCUUCAGUCUUCAGGAGGCUACCAGCGUACAACACCAUCUUUCAAAAGCAACGCUGUCUAAACCUGAAACCUGGUGGCCUGGACAAUGACUUCAUUGAUGAAUAAACAAAAGGAAAAUGAGUUCUAUAUUGAUGAACUGGGUACUUCAACUAGUUUUAAUUGAAAAAUUUUUCAAAUUUUUACUAGUUAAUUAGUUAGCAUAUGAAUUAUUAGUUCUUAAUUUUGUUGUUUAAAGUUAACUACUAACUAUGUUGUUUCUUUAUUUUGAAAUGUAAUUUAAUGGUCACAUAACUAGAUGUGACAAAAUUAUGUCAAUAAUUAGGGAAAAUUCUUCAAAUGUCCUAAAUCUACUUUAAAAUUAAUGGAUACAUUGAGGAUCAGAUUUGCUCUUGCAAAAACUUUAGGAACAAAAACUAAACAUGGGAUAAAGAUUGACGACCAAAAUUGCAUUUACCAAACCUUUAAGGACUAAACCUUCACAUGAGAUAAAAAUUAGGGACCAAAAUUGCAUUUUUGCCAGAAAUAAAACUACUAUACUCCUCUUGCCGACACCAACUGUUUUCAGUUUUUAGCUUUAUUCGUAUUGUUUUUGCCCCUUGCACCGAUUAGUAUUUGUACUGGAAACGGAUGGAAUGUUAAGCAACCUUAGGAAGAAACAAAUUCCAGUACAAUAUCUGACCAAAUUUUCGGCAUGAACAUAAUGUGUGUUUAGGUAAGAAUGAGGAAAGAUCAUGAGAGAACAAGAAUCUACCACUGUCAAUAAAGAAAAACCCAACUCAAAAUGAAUUAUUCUAUCAAAGUUACAGGAGAGUAGGGGUGCAGCUGAGUUUUGAGCAUUUUGUGGGUUAAAGUUGGUUUUAAAUUUUUCUCCUUUCGCGUCAGUUGAAGAAUGGACGACUGAGAAAAGUGAGAUUUCAAUUUCUGUUAAACUCGGGCAGUCGGGGAUUGAUUAAAGAAGACAAUAGCAUUUAGACAUUAAUGUUGGUAGUGAUCACAAGAGAGUAAGUGUUGGUAGUGCUACUAUUGAUGGACUAAGCCAUGGGCGAGUUAAGAACAGAAAAUUAUACGUGAAAUUUUUAGAAAUCCACCUAGAAAUAUGUUGGCACAGCGUUUUUUUUUUCCACCUAAGCUUUUUACCACUAUUUGUAAACCUUGAAUUCCAUAAUAAUGCAGUUACUUUAGCCUAAGCUUUAAGUACCCCCUACUCUUAUUUUAGGGUAAAUUAAACAUAAUGGUUUCACUCAUUGUCAUAUAACCCUAAUAACAUUACAAGUAUCUAUUUCACUCUCUUAGGUUCAAUGUAAACUUUACGAAAAAUAACCUCUGUAAAAUUGCCCUGUAUUUUUUUCUUCUAGUAAAACCCUUCUUCUCACAUUGUGUGCAAUUGAUUUCUAGUCAUUAUCAAAUUCUAUCAAUCACAAAAUUGCGCCAUUAGAUAUAUCAAUUGAUGUUAUUUAGUAAUUACAAGUAAUCGUUCAUCAUUAAAGAAAUUUUUAACAGUUUUUUGUGUUAAUUAGUCACUAAUAGUUAAUUAGUGCUCUAACUAUUUAACCGUUAGAUACUAGUAAAGGAGAAAAGAGGGAAAAGAAAGACAAAAUUCGAAAAUUAGUUUGUUCAAAAUCACAAGAAUCACAACAAACAUCAUGUUAAAAGAGAUGGCUAUUCUAUUUUAUUGAAUCUUGUCAUCAUUAGUGUAGUUUUAUUGUUUAUGUGUUAUCUAAUUUAUUGAUUGUGAAUUUUUUGAAUGGUGAAAUAUGUGUAUUAAUUGUUUCUAACUUUUAAUUAUGUUUAGUCUUUUACUAAUGCAAUUUAUAUACAUGCAUAAAGGGUAUUUAUGGAAUAUAUGUUUCAUCUCUCUCCUUAAAGUACUUUUUUAAUGUUACUUUUUCUAAUUAGAUUAAUUUUGUUAACAAAACCUUAACCUCAGAGGAGGUUUGGGUAAUUUUGUAAACCUUAGGGGAGUCUAGUGAAACUAUCAAAAAUUUCAGGCAAGGUUUCUGAAAUUAUCCCUUGAUUUUGACCUUUUAUUAUUGACCGUUAGUUUUAACGAAAAAAUUAAAGGUGACACUUCAAUCCAAAGUUAUUAUAUAUAAGUUUUUAAAUCAUAAGGAAUUAAGUGGUAAAAUACCAAAUCACAGGAGGUAAAAGGUAGAUUGCCCAACUUAAUAUUAGCUAGCCCUUACAUUGCUCAAGCAAAUGGGUCAGAGAUUGUUCUCGAUUGCCAACGUACAUAUACAUAGGUCAUCUGCAUUUUUGUUCCUAAUUGCCAGCAUAAACCACAUCUUUUGAUUUUCCAAUAAAUGCUGUAAAAAAAAAGUAAUGAGUCCUUCUAUACUACAGUCCUUCUACUCUACUAGAAGAUGAUUGAUUGUUCACCUACAUUUUGUCAAGUUUAAAAAAAGAAAAUCUUUAUAGUGAAUCGAAUCGAAUUCAAAUUUUGUGUUUUGUGAUAAUUCCUAUCAAAGAAUGAAAUGCAAAUUUUUAGUGUAAAAUUAUUUUAAGAAACAAUGAUACACAUUGUAGGUUUAUUAGCACAAAGUAAUUCUUACCAGUCAAUGAUGAAUGAUGUCAUAUCAUUUGCAAUGUGAAUUGAAACAUUGGCAAAUUGGUGAAGGAAAGAGCCGAUUGAAGGAUAUCUAUCACGUAAAAGGGGUCAUAUAAUAAAGGGUUAAUUUUAGAAACCUCCCCUGAGGUUUUUUGUAAUAACACCCAGCACCCCCAACUUUCAGAAAUCACACUUACCACCCUUAGAAUGAUAACUUUCAUCACAUUGUCAGCCCUUUUGUGUAAGAAUUGUAUUUAAAAAUUGUUUAUAGGAGAGAGACUAUUUUUCUAUUCCACUUUUGCCCUAUUGGAAGAUGAGUUUUGAAUUUACAAGAUAAAAAUAAAAACAAAACUAUGUUGUGAUAUUAUUUUAGAAGCUAAAGGGGUGUAAGUUUAAUAAGCACAAGAAGCUUCUUAACAUUGAUACUAUAAAGGACCGUUGGGCAAAACCAUUCCAACCUGUCUGAUGCUUAAGCUGUAUUAAACAGAUUGGAAACAAGAUAACAAUAUCAUUCACCAUCGAUUUUCUUUGGGCAAAUUGCAGCAACUAGUGCAUCAAUCUAACACUGAUUGCUAUCUACAUUUUUAUUCAGAUUACAAAGUCAAUUUGAUGAAGUCCAAGUACAACAUGCAAUGCUGUAAUUGAUUACCAACUGUUUUAGCCUUCAUAGUCAUAGGCAAUUCAAAGUAGAAAGCUGAGGAAGUUGAGCCUGUUUUGUAUGGUACUUGUGACAAUCCAAUCAGAUGUGUACUUGACACGGUCACAUGUUUAGCUAAGUCUAAGCCAAACUAAGAUUCCAAAAAAUGUGCUACUAUUCAUAUCUGUUCGUACAACUAGUGCAUCAACGUAUCUUUCCAAGCAACUAGUGCAUCAAUGCGUUGCUAUAUAUUAUAAGAUUAGUAUAUGGCAAUGCAUAUUCCACCAGAUGAAAUACACAAAAAAUACAAUAAGUCUUCUAUCAUACAUUUUGAUAAUAAAGAGUACUUGUACCACUUCAAAAACCAAGAGUAAGGAUUGCAGGGAGCCUUUAGCAUCUUUAAACACUCGGAAAUGCCCUGAUUCAGUGUGAAACAACCACUGGCUUGAAACAAUCAGUUUACACGGGGUGAUCUAUGAGAUACAAUCAGUUUACAAAAAUAUACGUUAUGUUAGAUGUUAGUUACUUGACUGUGUAUAUCUAUAAAAGGUAGUGUAAUGGUACGCAUAAAUUUGGAAUGAUUAUUUUGCCCUUUGAUCAAUUUGUGCAUCUCCCUAUAGUAGAAGUGUAAUUUUACUUGUAUGAGUAGUCCUUGCUUGUCUGUGAGUACUUUACAUGGGGUGAUCUAUGAGGUACAAUCAGUUUACAAAAGUAUACAUCAUGUUAGAUGUUAGUUACUUGACUAUGUAUACAUAUAAAAGGGACCAAAUUUGUUCUGAUAAUCAUGAAAUAUUAGCUAACUUGUGGGAGCUAGAUAAUUACAUGCUCAAUUUUGAAGUUGUUACAUCGCAGGGUGCUCUAAGGAGAGGAGAGCCUGGUAGAGGCAUAGCUAACACGGGAUUUUUAUUUUUGGUAGAGGCAUAGCCUCAAUUUUUUAAAUUUUUGCAGCAUUUUCCUGCACAAGAAUCACUUAAUAAUAGGGGGUAGCAUCGUAAUUUCUCCUCUACUGAUUGGUACAACAUGUCACGUCAUUCUGCCAAGGGUGGUAAGUGUGAUUUUUCAAAGUUAAGGGGUGCUAGGUGUGAUUAGGGGAAACCUCAGGGGAGGUUUCUGAAAUUAACCCUAUAAUAAACUUAGUGUACUAUAUUUACCAGACAAGCGGUAUUAAUGUAGGUUUGUACAAGCCGUAUUAACAUAUUUUAUUUGACCAAAAUUUAAAAGCUAUUAUUUGGAGUUUGAAUGAAAAUUUUCUGCUAGAUAUAAUUAAUACACUUUUAACCUGCCUACCUCUUGAUCGUUUGCUAAAUUAAUUAUAGGAAAGAUCAUCAAGAAACAAAAAGAUAAAAAGUAACUGUAUACAGUACAUUAACAACAUCAUCACGCAUUAUAAACGAUACAUGCCAUAAACAAGAAGGUAAGACACAGCAAAUGAUGAACUUCUCUCAUGGAUGUCGAAGGGAAAAAAACCAAGAAAAAAAUAAAAACAAAAGAAGAGGAAGCAGUAGUGUUGUCCACAACAGGGAGGGUAUAAACUAGAGAAAGGGAAGCCACGGCGGCAGCUGUUGCUAGGAAUGAUUAUGUUUUCUUCUUCUUCUUCUCCCAUAGCUGGUGCUCUCUCCAUUUCCUAUCAUCUGUAUAGUAACCAAUGAGAAUUUCAGGAAUGUGUGCGAUUCUUGUGUAAUCUUCACUUUCUUCCUUCUGAUUCUCUAACAGCUCCUCUCUCAAUUGAGAACUCAUCUCAUACAAAGUUAGCUCUUGAAGUUGGCUCAAGUGCUGAAUACCCACAGGUAACUCCUCUAGUAAUGGAAGUUGUUGCAGAAAUAGUUUUUGGAGACGAGGCAAUGCACCCUCCUCCACUCUCAUCCAUCUCAACCCUUCCAUUCUCUUUAAGUGCAACUCCUUCAGCUUUAGGAACCCUCCAGCUUUGAAGUACAAUCCUUCUCCCUGGUAAGAUCCACAGAAAUUAAUUUCACCCAAAUUGGGCAAAUGUUGGAGGGAUUCAAGCGGAUCCUCCUCACCCCUUAACCUGCUCCAGUCCAAAUCUAUUCUUACCAAGCUAUGAAGAUGAGCUACCCAUUGUGGCAUCUUUUCUAAGCGGCCACACAAAAUCAGCAUACGAAGAGAUUGAAGAAACGAACAAGAUGAAGAAGAAAGAUAAGGAUUAUGAUGAUUUAGAUCGAUUAUCUCAUGAUCAUCACCUUUUCCAAUUGAAUAAACGCUUAAUUUAUGGAGAUUGGUGAGGUUGGCAAGGGAGGAGCACAGCUCCUUUCCAUCAUCUCUUCUCAACUUUGUAAUAGCUAAUUCCCUUAAUUGUGUCAGCUUUCCUAUCUCCUUAACUGUUAUACAUCCACUACUUGCAUCCAUGCAGCUUAAUAUUUCUAGAGAAAGAAGCCCUCCCAUAUUGAAUAGGGCUUUAAAUCCGUGGCGUCCAUAAUCAUCAUCUGAAGGAUCAACUCGUUGAUAUACUUUGAGAACCCGAAGUUUUUGCAACUUUAGAAUUUCAAUAGGUAAUUCCCCAACUCCAGUGUUUCCCAAAUUCAGAUACUCCAAGUGUUGAAGCUUCCCGAUGCCUUUUGGGACUCUCUCCACUCCUGUACCAUAUAGGUCUAGAUGCUUGAGAUGAAACAUUUUGAAAAUCUCAUUUGGUAUUUCCUUCUGUGUCUUUUGACCUCUCAAAUCCAAAACCUUUAACAACUUACUACCCCGUGAAACUUCAGAUAACAACAUUCUGGACAGGAGUGGGCUCGUGGAUCCAAUUGUAACGAACGACCGAAGGUGGUCAAAGCAAUAAUUUUGUGUUUGCUCAUGGUGCUGGGUGUUGUUACUACUGCUAGUAUGGACUAUUAGACGGCGUACCUUCUCGGACGGCCACCUUGUUGGUUGUCCAGUAGUAAUUGUGACCAUGUUUUGUUCUCUUGACUUGGAAAUGAUAAUUUCUCGCAAUAGGUCAUGGAUUCGACAAUUUCCGGGCAUUCCUUCAUAAAACACACCAGUCACUUGAAUUAGGCUUCUAUUGACAAGUUCACUGAGAUAACUCCAGGCUACAUCUUCAAUGUUCAUUCCUUCUCUCCAUUCUACAAACCGUUCAGCAAUCCAUAAGUUAACGAGUCUUAGGCAUCCUAUUUUGUAAUCCUCUGGAUAAAUGCUUGUGUACAACAGACAUAUCUUAAGAUGCCAAGGCAGGUCACUAUAACUAAGAAAAAGUAUCUUUUUAACUCUGUCCAGCUUACCAGUGCCUUCUAAUUCAACCCCAAGACUGCAUCUAACCAUCUCCCAUUCCUCUAUUCUGUUUACAUCUUUCGAAGCCAAAAGGCCACUGAUUGCAAGGAUUGCAAGGGGCAAGCCCUCACAUUUGUCCAAUAUACCUUUGGCAACAUCCAUCAAAUGACCAGGGCAAGUACCUCCGUUAAAGAUCUUGUUGCAAAAUAGGGUCCACGAAUCCUCAAUAGAUAGUGGCUCCAUUCUGUAGACAAAACGCCGAGAUUCAAUGCAAGAGGCAGAGGCUACAUCAGCUCUUCGAGUUGUUAGCAUGACACGGUUGCCAUGGCUACUCUCGGGCAGUGCAAAUUUGAUGGUAUUCCAAAAUUCCACGUCCCAUACAUCAUCAAAAACAAUUGCAUACCUUCCAGCUUGUUGAAGAAAAUCUUUGACAAUUUUUUUCAGCUCAGUGGUAGUCAUAGACUCUAUCGAUUGUGGGACUGGUUUCUUCCCUUCCUCGUGUAGCUGCCGAAUCAAGUCUAUCAGGAGGUACUGAAAGUCACAUGUUUCAGAGACAGUUACCCAAGCACGGACUGGGAAAUGCCUUCUGACUUCAAGAUCCUCAUGGACUUUUUUCACCAGGGUAGUUUUGCCAAGUCCUCCCAUACCAACCACUGAAACAACUUUUAGUUGGUAAUCAUCCCCUUGGAGGAGCUGAGAAAUUAGAUGUUUCUUGGGCUGGUCAAUGCCAACUAAUUUAGCUUCUUCCACAAGUAGUGCAUCAUCUCUGCUAUAGCGCCAUGUUGUGUUGUUCACAGCAGAAAGUGAGCUGGACGCUUGGGCAGAGAUACCAUAUUCGGAUUGGUAUCUUUGAUGACCUUCAGAAAUACUAUUGAUUCUGAACUUGAUGCUUUGUAUUUGGCUAGCAACUCGAUGACGAGCUCUCAAAUUCUUGAUGGAGCUGAAAAUUCUCCGAAAAGAGCCGUAGAAUCCUGUUGUGCGAUGCCGAGCAAAGCGAGCUACAAAUUCAUCAAGAAUGUCUUCAGUGUCAUAAGCUGCUUCUCGUACUUGCUUGAUCCAUUCUUGGAGUCUGGGUUGAGCAUCUUCUUCUUUUGCUUCUGCCUCUCUCAGGAAAGCUCUCAUGUGCCCCAAUUCAUCCCUGAUGAAUUGGACCUCUUGCCGAAGCCCACCCAACAGUCGUCCCUCCUCGCGCAGAAAAGUUGAGAGUUGAUCCAGCACAAAAGAGAGAACUGUUUCUGCCAUUUUCAGUCUUUCUCUUUAACUUAAGAAUGUAGGGGAAAGCGGCUUCUCGUUUAUGCGACAGUCCACUUGUAGUAUCUUGAAAGGAAGAAGGAAGAGUAGGUUAUAGAUUCAUAAGCUGAUGAACUUUGAUGCUAUAUGUUGCAGUAUUUAUCAAAAGGAAAAACCGUGUCAAAAAGAAAAAGAAAGAAUUAACCAAUUAGAAGAAGCUAAGGCAAGAAACAUGAUGGAAAUUGAAGACAGGAAGAUAGGCAGCAGCGUGAGUUUGAAAAACGAAGCUGCCUUACCUGCUACAAUACAAAAUCAUGGAAGCUAUUAAGAAGACUCUGCAAAUGGUGGGGUGAUCAGCCUUCAGGACCUUCUUUCAACUGUGGGUUCUUUACAAGGGGAAGGAAGAAAGUUAAAACGCUUUUGGACUGGACAUUGUUGAUUUCAUUGACGAAGAAACAAAACUGCUACAAAGUCUUUCCUAUAUGGUACUAAUUUCUGGUGACCAAUUAGUAUUUGUAAUAAAAACGGAUGUAAUAUCAAAGAAGCCUUGGGAACAAACCACUCCAAUGCGGUGUCUGACCAAAACGUGAACUAUAUUGAUUUAAGAGGUCUGUGAAAAGCAUGCAAAUUUAGCAAAAAAAAAAAGAAAAAAGAAAAGCAGAAAAUGCUAAGGAGUGCAUUAAAAAGAAUCAAAUUUCUUUGCAAUUAAAGAUUGCAUACCACUCAAUCGUGUCGUGGCUUAUUUCUGUGCUCAGCAUAAGACAGUUGAUGUAAACCUUUAAUUGUAAUGCCGUUACAAGGCUUAGAAUUCAAGAAGUCGCAAACCUUUCAAGAAUUAAAAAAAAAAACCACAUUUGAUGAAAAUUUACUGCAAAAACAAAUAUUAAAUCAUUCAAAUCUCCGCGUUAUUAUUAAACCGUUACAGAACAAAAACAAAAAUCUUCAUAAACCCUAGUACUAAACAUUACAGCAGGUCAACAUUACCAGUAAAUGCAGCUCAGAAAUGGACGUAAAAUUCAAGGAAUUUUUGCAGUUAAAACUGCAAUUUUCAGAAGAACAUAAAGUAGAGAGUCAAACAGAGAAAAGUCAUAGUCAAAUCUAGAGAGUCACAUUCAUUCAUCUUUUCAGACAACCUCAAAAAUUUAAAUUAAAUUUUAAAAAAAACUGAAAAGGAAAAAGAAAAAGCUGAGACAAAAGAAGAUAAAGAGGAAAAACUCACCUGAAGUUCGAGACUUUAUCUUUUACAGGCAAGGUAGGACUCAGAAGUUAGAUCACAGGCAGCAGCAGCAGCAGCAAACUUUGUUGGAGUUAAGAGAAAGAAAAGGCGCAAAAAAGAAUGAAAGAGAAGAAAAAAAGGGGUUCAGAUUUGUUGAAGUAGACGUAGAACGACGUCGUAAAAGAGCUAAAAUGAACUACUAGUAUGGAAGUUGAGUUGAGAGUGUAGUUGCUCCUCCAUUAUUGUUCUGGUGGAGGGAGACAGAAGAGGGACAGAGGAAGGAAGAAGAGAGAGAGAGAGAGAGAAGGGAGAGAAUUUGUACGGGGGAAGAAUACAAUGUACAAAUGUAUCAGAAGAAGAAGACAAAUGUAAAAGAGGCGAGAUUUAAUCAUUUAAAUAAAAAGGAUAAUUGCACUAUUCACCGCUAAACUAAUCGGCUUUAGUAAUUUGCCCGUAGAACGAUAAAUUGUAGUUGUAGUUAGAGGUGAAAGACAAUCAAGUUAAUUACUCCAGUUGGGCUAGAUACGAGUUUUUUCGAAAUUGAUUUGUCAAUUAAUCAAAAUCAAAUUUUGUUCGAGUAGCAUAAGAUUAUUAGAAUUUAAAUGUAAAAUAAUCAAAGUAUUCGGACUGAACUACUCCUCUGAGCUUAGUCUAGUAAAUAAAUAGUAUAAAAAUUCGAAAACAAUUUCAAACCCAUUCACAAAUGUGCUAGCAGAAGACAAAUGUAAAAGAAGCUAAUUGCCAAAAACCCCAUUUUCUAGAAACCAGAAAUAAAUGAUUUUAGUCAUUCAAUAAGAAGUAGGUAUAGAAUUACAAGAGAACUAUCCAGCGAUAGUGUUCAAUGCAUUAGUUAAUAUUCACCAACAACUAUAAAUUAGAAGCGGCAAUUUGGAUUGAAAUCCAUUUAUCCAUCCAUAUAAUCCAUAAUUAAAUGGAUAAUGGAUUAUCCAUUUAUAGUAUUGGUUUUAAAUGGUUGAUCAAAGUAAAACCAUUAAAUUAAAUGGAUUUAUAUGAAUUAUCCACUAAAACCAUAUAUAUUCAUUUACUUAAAAACCAAAUAAAAAAGAGGAAAAGGAAAUGACUAAAAAAGGAGCCAUCCUAAAAUUGCAAUUGGGGUGUGAAAAAGCUGUCCCCGUGAAUAGUAACCAACCCUGAAACUGAAUGUUGGGGUUUACUGCUGAAGAGGUCAGGAAACAAGUGAGAUUCGGUUGGCUUUGAAGCAAACCCAUUACUUUUUCCCAACGAUUCCUUGUGGAGGAUUAGAGUGCAAGCCUGGCACCACAGAAUUUGCGGUUCAGCCUCCCUCCUUGGUACACCCAUGCACCUGAUUACUAGAUGUUGAGCUCAAAAGUCAUCCGUGGCUUUAGUAGUAGACAUUGCAAGUGUUGUGUGAGUACGAAUACAAGCUAGUGUUGGUAUUUUUGUGGAUACCCUACGUACGGUCUAUGCAGGACUUCUAUUGUUUGGGCUAGUUUGCAAUAUAUGGCUACUCUGUAAUAUGUAAUAUAUAUAUACAUAUAUAAUAAUAAUAAUAAUAAUAAUAAUAAUUUCAGAUAGUUUUUUAGUGAAAUGAAAGUUCAUUUUGCUUGAAUUUACAUCCGUGGUAUUUUUUGGCUUGAAUUUACAAGAAAUGGUAAUACAAAAAAAAAGUAACAAAAAUAUUUAAAUGGAUUAUAAAUGGAUAAUUGGUUUUUAUUUAAUCCAUUUAGAUCCAUUUAUUAAAUGGAUCUAAAUGGAUUGGAUAAAUUUUAUCCACCAUCCAUUAAGUCAAAACCAAUUAUGAACCAUUUAUCCAUAUUGCCACCUCUACUAUAAAUAAUAAACACACACUAUUUAAGGAAAACCCACAACCCAAUCCAAAAGGCAUACUGACUUUCAGAUUACACUGAGAACCUUUAAGUAAUACACACACACACCACUCACAAUCGAUGUGGAAUAGAGGGAAAGGGGGAGGGGAAACACCAAGACUAUUGCCAAAGGCUCACCAACAGCUUUUAACCACUCCAUGAUUUUUCUUAUCCACCAACAACCAUAAAUAACACACACACACACACUACCUAAGAAAAACCCACGGUCCAACCCAAAAGGCAUGCUGACUUUCAGGCUAUACUAAGGACAUUAGUUAUUAUUCGGCACGUUUAAAAUUCUAUACAUGCACAUUAUGCUGUUUUUUAUAGUAUUAUUUUCUCUUUUCUACUAUCAAAAUAUAAAUCUAAAAUUUGAACAGAUUAAGGUAUGAAAUAAACAGCCUGUAGUGAUUUAUUUUCGUCCUAUGAUCAACUACUCAGCAUAAGAGAAUUGAGGUAACCUUUAACUACUGAGCCAAAUCCCAUCACCACCAUCUUAUCAUGUCUAAUUAGUCUUUUAGCUCCUUGUAAUGUUAAAAAAAAAAACAAAAAUUGGAUACACUCGACAAAGUAAAAUCAUAAUAUUGUGUUUCUAUUUUCCUUCUUUUUUCUUUGCGGGAAAUUAGGUAUACUAUUAUACUUGAUCUUUAAUUGCCAAUAGUAUUGAAGUUGGCGUAUGUUUCAUUCUAUAACUAUUAUGUGUGUCUAGUGGUUCAAUUUUUCUUUUCAAGUUUGCCCUUUUUUGCUAGAUUAUAUUGACCUUUCUCAAAUCGCUUCAUACAAGAUGCAGGAUAUUUGUUGUAAUUUACUGUAUCAUCUCAGCAUUUGGUGUGGGAUCUUACUGUUUACCUCAUUGUAAUGAUAUAUCGUUAAAAUGGAACCAAAUGGGAGCAUGGAAUCUGUCCUUUUGCAGGCAUAAUUAAUUUGUGGGAAAAUCUUGCCACAUAUCUGCAAGGAAUAAAUAAAGAUUGACUAUAUAUAUAGGAAGCGAGAAUGUAUCCUUGUAAAGAACAUUUUUAUGUAGGGAUACGGAAAAGAGAAAUUUGAAACAUAUAGUUGGAUUGGUUUUUCUUGAGUUUAAAGAGUCAUAGGCUAAAAAAAGUAGUAGUAGUUCAAUUUUUUUUUUUAUCAAUACUAGUUCAAAGCCAUAAAUAACUAUUGUACAGUCAUAAUUUGGACUCAAAUGUGAUAAGGUGCAUUAUUCGAGCUAUUGUAAGUGAAACAAAAGAAGAAACAAAGUCACAAAGUUUUCCUAGUGAUCAAUAGUACUGCUGCUUCCUAGAAACAACAUAUAAAAAAAAAAUAGAGAGACGCUAUUAAUAUAUUAUAAAGUUCUCUCAAUGUUUGUCAUUUUUAUAUGGUAACUUAUUAUAGACGAAUUGUUAAAGCCAUGUGAGAAAGUUAAGAACGAAAUUACACUGACGUGUUUCAUUCCAAAGCUAAUUGCAUUGUUAGAAAUUACAUUAACGCGAUUCAUUCAAAAUCUAAUUUUAUUUCAUAAUUCAAAAGAAAUUUUGAUGCAAUAAAAAUUCUUUUUUGAAUAUGAGAUCUUGAUUAUGACAAUACAUGAAUACCCUCAAUGAUAUUAGAAAGCGCAUUCAAAAUUAGGGACUGACGUCGUCCUAAUUAUUUUGUAAGAAGGACAAUCUUGAAAAGGAAAAACUUGAACACUAACCAUCAAUACAAACUAUUGAUGAAUCUUUGUAAUUAACGAGGGAAACCAUGUUGACCAAUAAAAGUCAAUGGUAGUAGGUAGAAAAGCUGGCAUCAAUGUGCACCAUGUUGAGGGUAACUAUAGUAUAGAUAUAAAUAUAGAUAAAUAUUUGUAAUUAACAAGGUACAUCAUGUUCACCAAUAAAAGUCAAUGGUAGGUACUUGAAAGCGUCCUUUAGCACAGAGGAGCUAGAAACCAAAAUGAAAUGAAGGAGAUCAGUAAAUUAAUCACAAGAUGCCCUGAACUUGCGAGGAAGCCAAUUAGUGCAAUAAUACACCAUAUUUUAUAGAUGGGAAUCUGCAAAAAAGUGGUGGAGUCGGGUAAGAGUCUGCUGAUGCAAUUGCAAUUGUUGGGCUCCAGGCUUCAAAAUAAUGCAAAGAUGACAAUAAUGAGUUGGAGCCAGCUCAUUCCAGUUGCGAUAGCAAAAUGCUGUUGUCUGCCAGUCUCUUCCAGUCAUUUGCAAUUAUUAGUGUGAACGCACAUGAUUGGAAUGAGCGCUUGUUUAUUUAUGUAGAAAAAGUGAUCUUGUUAAAUCAGCACACCUCUAUUCAUUUACCUGAGCAAAACUCGGAUCACAUGCAUUAAUGCUAAUAAUAAUAAUGAUCUACAAUAUUAAAGUAUGUGUUAUAAUCUUGGGUUUCUCUCUCUUCUAUUGUUGCCUGAUUUUUAUUUCCCUAUCCUUGCUUUUUGUCUCACCAUCUCCUUAAAUAGUAAGUCAUUUAGAUAUGUCGUGAUUUUCCUGCCUUUUUUUUUAAAGCAAUACUCUAUUGUUAAACAGGAAUCUCCAAAUAUUUUUUAGUAGAAUAGAGGCCCCAUUUGACAAAUGAAUUUUUUGAAUGUUUGUCUAAAUAUUUACUAUAACUUACUGUAAAAAUUUGUGAAAUUUUUUUUUAAAAUGUGUAAUUUUUUGGAUAUUUUAAAGUGUAAAGUUUAAAAAUUUUGAAAAUUUUUUUUGAUGUUAUUGCAGAUAAAAUUAUUAAAAAACUUGUAACAGAUAAACUUGAUAAAAAACUUGUUUACCAAAAAAGCCCAGAGUGUUGUGCGCGAACUUGUUAUUUAUAUGGUACUCCAAGUAUUCAAAACUCAAAAGGAGAACUUAAAGGGGCAAACAAAAAAAAAAAUUUAAAAAAAGGAAGGCAAACAAAAAAAUUUAUUAGCAGAGGUUAUUCAUAGCCCAUGAUCCCAUGUGCAAUAUUGCAAUGCGACAUUGGCGAGAAGACAAAAGAGAUAGAGAUGCCGAGCCUUAGCACCAAGCUGUCAAGUGGCCGAUGCCCUUCCAUUUUCUAUCUGCCCAGAAAGCAAUACUAACUUCAACGAUGCCUGUGAUUCUUCAGUCAUCCUUUUCUUCUUUUUGGGUAAAAAAUGGGAGGGUGGAUAGAUAGGGAAGAACCAGAUUGAUUAAUUAGAGUUACCAAGGGCACGUUUGGCAUCUAGAAUAAAAGUUUUGCAAACUUAUUUCACAUAUAUGUAGUAAAAUACUAGUAAUUAAGAAUGUAAACAUGUAAAGGCAUUGUCUGUUUGGUAGUGCACAAAAUAAGAGGUGGAUCCAAAGUUAAUUUUUUCUAUCAAAGUGUUGCAACUUAAGUGGUGAAUGAUAAUUUUACAACUUUAAUAGUACACCUACCUUCUUGUUUUAAUUAUAUUUUAACUAUAUAUAUAUAUAUAUAUAUAUAUGAUUUAGUGGUUAAAGUUGAGAUUUUGGUCUAGUGCUUUUAUUCUUCCCAAAUCUAUCAUCAAGAAGAUUUGUAGUAUGCUAACUGAGAUUAGAACUCAUUACGGGGCAAAAGUUAAGUGGACUGAUAUAUGGAUGCCUCAGAAGGAGGGAAGAUUGGGCCUGUUUGAUUUAGAACUUUGGAACGAAUGUCUAAUCAUGAAGCAAAUAUGGCAUGUUUGCUGUAAAAAGGAUACCCUUUGGGUUAAAUGGGUUCAUACCAACAACUUGAAAGGGUGUUCCUUUUGGGCAGCAAAGAUUCCGGUUAAUAGUUCUUUUUUUUUUUUUUUCCAGAAACGAUAGAUUAAUUUAUUUCUACGAAUAGAGAAAAUACAAUAUAUGAGCAAGGGCUCAAGUUGUGGUCUACAAAGGUGUACUGAGACAUCGAGGAUCAACGAACUCCUCAUCAAAAUAGAUGUGCAUUGCUUGCUUACUCAGUUCAUAACUGAGUGUAUUAGUACUAAUAUUACUGGGUUGGCAAACAAAUGAGCAUGUCCUAAACAUUAAGCUGAGAUCAGUGAUGCAUUCGAGAUGGCCUGCUAUAAGGAAGUUGCUUGGACAUUGGCAGCGUAUCAUCUUUAAAAUGCGGUUGCAUGAAAUAUGAACCUGUAUGUUUUGCAAGUCCCGUUCCUUUAGCUUACAAAGAGCCAGUUGUAUCGCCACCAAUGUGUCCAGCACAGACGAUCCAGUACUUCUUUCUGUGAGCAUCCACCCUGCCCCAAGCUGAUUCAGUGCAUUUGUUACUGUGACGCCAAUUCCCAUAUUUAGUCCUUCAAUGUGUUGCCCCACAUGUAUAUGAACUCUCAGGAUGUCCUGCUCUGGUUCCCUCGUUUGCUCUUGUUCAUUUACUAUGUCUGUUUCGGAAAUGCUCAUACAUUGCCGUGCCUGUUGGCAGUUAUAGUACUCCUCAAAGUCAUUCACUGCCUUUCUGACUACCUCCAUUGGAUGCCUAUAUUUGUCUUCAAAUUCUACUGCAUUUCUGGAUUUCCAAAUGUGCCAAAGAAUAUCCACAGUUAGACAAAUGUGUUGCAUUCCAUCCUUUCGUUCCUUUACUCCCAUUAGCCUGCUCCACCACUUCCUGAAAUCAGUUGUGUCCUCAUGAAGCCCAUCCCACUGUAACGGAGCCAUCUUCCAUAUCAGCUUUGCUUUGGUACAUUGGAAGAAAAUGUGCUCAACCGUCUCAGUUGUUUCUCCACACUGCUUACAGAUUAGCUCUCCCUUUCCCGUUCUCCUAAAUAUAGCUUCUCUGACGGGUAACACCUGGUGUAAACACUUCCAUAGAAACAACUUGUGUUUGUGUCUUAUUCUCAAUUUCCAUAGCUAUUUCCAGACUUUGUUGCAGCCCUCAAUCCAGCUUGUUUCUCCCAGAUUGCUCACAGGUGCAUUAGGCAUACUAUCCUCCGCUGUGAAGGCUUCAUAAGCAGAUCUGACCGUGUAUUUUCCAGUGGUGCCGUGCCUCCAGUAGUAACAAUCAGGUCUGUUUGUCACACUGAUAGGCAUUUUGAGUAUAUUCCUAGCUUCAUAUGGAGUGAAAGUUCGGAAGAUGAGUGGUGAUUUCCAUCUGAAACUGGAGAUCAGCUCGCUAACUUUUGUGAUGGUGCAUCCCAGUGGUUUUGGGGAUUCUACUUUGCCUUGCUUCCCUUCCAAUAGCCAAGCAUCUUCCCAGAUGUUAAUGCUCUUUCCGUUCCCUACUUUUUUCCUAAUUCCACUGCCUACCUCAUCUCUUACUCCCAUUAGACUCUUCCAUAUCCAUGAUGCAUUUCCUCUUACUUCACAGCCCAGUAGAGAAGUGUUGGGGUAGUACUUGGCUCUCAGCACUUUACUAAGCAAAAGAUUGGGGCAUCUGAGAAUCCUCCAAAGCUGUUUGCCUAGCAAGGCUUUGUUGAAGCCUUGGAGAUCUUUAAAGCCUAGUCCUCCCUUAUCCUUCGUAGUUGACAUCUUUUUCCAUGAAGACCAGUGCAUUCUCGUUCCCCCAUUGCCGUCCCCCCACCAGAAUCCUGCCAUCAUGGCAUUGAUUUCUUUGCAUAGCUUUACUGGAAGCUUAAAACAGGACAUUGCGUAGGUUGGCAUUGCCAUGGUUACUGCUUUGAGCAACACCUCCUUCCCAGCUUGACUUAAGCGUUUAUUGGACCAGUUAAAGAUGGUUCUUUUGCAUUUUUCUCUAAUGAAACCAAAGAGCUGAUCUUUGGUUCUAGUGAUGACCAUAGGCAGACCCAAAUACUUCCCUUGCUUCACCACCUUUAUGUUUUCCAAGCAGCUGCAGAUUUCUCCUUGAUGUCUUGGUUCCACAUUUUUGCUAAAGAACACAGACGAUUUUUCCAUGUUGAUCAGCUGUCCAGACUCUUGUUCAUAAAUCUUCAAAAUUCUGCUAACUUCUUGAGCUUGUCUGUUGUCCGCUUUGCAAAAGAUUAACGAGUCAUCUGCGAAGAAGAGGUGCGUUAUUGACGGGCCACUCCUACUGAUCCUCAUCCCAGUUAGCCUUUUACUUCUUUGUGCUUGGUCCAGCAGGUGUGAAAAACCUUGGGAGACUAAGAGAAAUAAGUAAGGUGACAAAGGGUCUCCUUGCCUAAUUCCUCUUGACGGUGUGACGUAUCCUGUAGGCUCUCCAUUGAUGUUGAAAGAAAAAGAAGCUGUUGAGAUGCACUCCAUUAUCCAAGUGAUCCAUGUAUCACAAAAACCCAUUUUUGCCAUGAUUGCCUUCAGGUAUCCACACUCUACCCUGUCGUAAGCUUUCGACAUAUCUAACUUUAAGGCCAUAAAACCAUGGGAUCCAUCUCUUUUGUUUUUUAGGUAAUGCAUGUACUCAUGAGAGAUGAUGACAUUAUCUAAAAUCUGCCUUCCAGGAACAAAGGCAGCCUGGUUUGCACUGAUGCAUUUUCCCAAAAAAUUUUUCAGUCUAUUUGCUAAAAUUUUUGAAAUGAUUUUAUACAACACAUUGCACAAACUUAUUGGCCUGAACUGCUUAACCUCAGUGGGGUGCUCACCCUUGGGAAUAAGAGAUAUGUUGGUGUGAUUCAUGGCUUUCAACAUAUGGCUGGAAUGAAAGAAGCUUUUAGUGGCUUUUAUGAUGUCUUUUUUAACAAUGUGCCAAAAUGUCUGAAAAAAAAGUGGAGUCAUGCCAUCAGGACCCGGGGCUUUGGUUGGGUUCAUGGAGAAAAGGGCAUCUCUAAUUUCUCUGUCCUUGACUGGUUGGGUUAAAUCUGAAUUCAUGUGGUCUGAAAUUGUCUGCGAUAUUCCCUCCAAAGACAUAUGAGUUUGAGUCAUUCCCUUACUCCUGAAUAGCUCCUUAAAAUGAUUUACAACUUCUUCCCCAAUUUCCUCCUCUGAAUUGGUCCAAGUGGUGUCCUCCCUUUGUAGUCUUUGAAUUUUGUUUUUCUGUCUCCUUCCUUUGACACUAGAGUGAAAAAAAUGGGUAUUUUUAUCCCCCUCCUUUAACCAUUGCACUCUAGAUUUUUGACUCCAAAACAGUUCCUCUUCGUCAUAAGCCUCCUUUAAUUGUCUUUUAAGAUCCCUGCUCCUUGACUUUUUGUCGUCACAGUCACUGGCUUUAAUCUCUUCCAAUAGCUUUUUAAGAUUUUCAAUUCGGUGCCUUGCAUUUCCUUGGAAGGUAGUUUUCCAUUUCAGUAUCGCCAACCUGCAGUUUGCUACUUUCUUAUGCACUUUGUACAUAUUGGAUCCUGUUUGCUCCUCCUCCCAAGCCUGCCUUAUCACUUGUUCCAGCCCCUCUUUGUGCAACCACCUUUUAUCAAAAAAGAACCGCUUCUUUUUCUUUUCAGUUAGAGGAUUUGAAUCUAUAAGCAUCAUACUAUGAUCUGAUCCCACAUUAUCUAUAUGUCUAACUGUAGUUUUGUCAAAAACCUGGCUCCAAUCAUUACUUCCCAAAGCUCUAUCUAGUCUUUCCUUGAUUUCACCUUCUUGAGUCCAGUUGUUACUCCAAGUCCAGGGGUUGCCUUGGAAACCCAGAUCAAUAAGUCCAUUUUGUUCAAUGAAGUUUCUGAAAUCUUGAAAGCUUCCCUCCUCUCGCUUUCUACCACCCCAUUUCUCUUCAUUAGAUUUAAUAUCAUUGAAAUCACCUGUAAUCAUCCAUCUAGGACCCCAUAGCACUUUCCUUCAUUCCACUACUUGCCACUGAUUCCUUCUAACCAGAUUAUCCGUGCUUGCAUAAAUGCCAAUAAACCACCAGUCCACAUUCUUGUCCAAGUCCAUGAUAUGGAUUUCCAUGGUGAAAGCAGUUGUUUGAACAUCCAAAACCUUAACCUCAUUGUUCCACAUUACAGUCAUGCCACCUGCCUUAUUCAUUGAUUCUACCACUACACACUCAUCAAACCUCAAUUUCCUUUUCACUGUCAGCAUAAACUGAAGUCUAUUUUUGGUCUCACACAAAAAGACCACAUUGGGGGAGAGGAGGUUGCAAGCCUCCCUCAGCUGGGGAAUUGUCAAGGGGCUCCCAACACCUUGGCAAUUCCACACCAGUGCUUUCAUUCAUCCAUGGGUGGCCAAGUUAGGCUGGCCACCGCCCCUUCAUAUUGGUUGACACAGUUGUCUUGCUCCUCCCCCUUUCUCCACUUUUUUCCCACUGUUUCAGUGAUUUCCACAUCCACCAUAUCCUCAUCAGUCAGAAGAAAUUUUCUUUUCCCCGUAGUCUCCUUACACAGCCUGGAUUGCUGAGCCUGUCGCAUUGAUUUUCUCUUUAUCACUGGAACUUUUAAUUGUUUCCCUGUUCUUCUCGCCAUUCCAUUGUUACUCGGUGCAUCCAUAACAUCUAUCUGCUCUUCCACUUGCAUGUACACAGCUUCAGGUUCCUUAGAGGAUUGCUCUACCUCCUUGUCAAGGACUAUGUCUAGCUGACCGCCAUCUACACUCCCUUCAAUCAUUUGUUGAGAUAGUUUUUCCUUUCCCUUGCUAUUUUCCAUCUCCUCACCCCUGUUGUCCGUAUUUUCUGAUUCAUGCCUUGUCACUAUCGCCUCAACUGUUAUGUCUCCCCCAGCAGGUCCACUCUUCUUACGCGUACUUCCAUCCUCCCUAGCCAUGCUCCUCUCCAUCAGCACCUUAUCCCCUGUUUUUGGUACUAAUUCUCCAUCCUUAAAACCCCACCUUUGCUUGUUUGGAGAAGUGUUAACAGGUUGUCUCCCUCUUCUUUUCUUUGGAGGCGACAAAUGCCCCCCUCCUACUCUCAUCCAUGGGCCAAAUUGAUUAUCCUGCUGACCUUUCCCACCUACACUUCUAUUUGGGCACUUCCUAUCACUGUGACCUAUUUUACCACAAGUAUAACAGAAAUCAGGUCCCCUCUCAUAUUUGAAACUUAGCCACUUCACCUUUCCUUCCAAUUUCACCGUAGUACCUCUCAUGAGAGGUUGGGAUAUAUCAGCCAGCACUAGUAAUUUGAUAUGUCUUCCUUCCUUUCCUCCUCCUUGAGGGAUAAUCACUUCCUUAGUUUCAUGAAACACUGAUGCUAUUUUUUUUCCCACCUCUUUAGAAAUCCAAUGCACUGGAAGAUUCCACACUUGAAUCCAUAAUGGAGCAAGAUUAAAUUCAGCUCCUUCCUCCUGGUUAAUAGUUCUUGGGUAUGGAGGAAAAUAUUAUUGUUGUUAAGGGAAGAAGCUUAGCCUUUCAUUAGACAUUUGAUUGGAAAUGGUGCUGAUACAUAUUUCUGGUAUGACUGCUGGCACCCUAUUGGUCCUUUAUAUAAAUAUUUUUCUGAAAAUUUGUUGAUCGCAAAAGCUUCAAGAGUCUCUAGGUGUAUUCAGGGGAGUAUGUGGAAAUGGCCCCAAGGGAGACGAAGAACAGGGGAGAUAAAGAAACUAAUACGGGAGACCCCGCAUUUAUUUUUGCUUAAUACACAUGUUGCGGAUGAAGUAUACUGGUAUGGUAGUGCUUCUAGCCAAUUAACAACAUUCUAUUCAGCAAUGUCAAAACUUUGAGUUUGUGGAGCUCCAGUGCCAUGGGACAAGCUGGUAUGGGGGAAAGGUACUGUACCGCGUUACUCUUUCAUUGCUUGGAUGCGUUGUAGAGGAAGAUUACCUACCAGAGACCGUUUAAAGGCCUGGGGAGUGGCUUUGGAGUAAAAUCAGUGUGUCCUACGUAAUAGUGCUGAGGAAUCCAUUAGGCAUAUUUUCUUUGAUUGCACUCCAUCCAAUACAGUAUGGCAGAAGCUACAGUACUUGCGUGCAAUAGUUAAGAGCAGAUUACCCUGGGAUGCUGAGUUAAAAUGGUAUUCUGAUAACUGCAACUCAAACUCAUUUAUUGGUCAAAUCAGAAGGUUGGUGUUUUCAACUGCAAUUUAUCAGAUAUGAUGUGCGACGAACCAAAUCAUAUUUCAACGGAAAUGUAUUUCUGCUGUGACCAUUGUGUCUAUGGUCCUUGAAUCAGUUAAAAUUACUGUUGUGAGUUGGAGAGGAGUCCCACAGACCAAAGCCAAUUGGGAGCUAAAUAUGGAGUUCGGAUUAUGUCAUGUGUGUUUCCAGCAAGAUUUGAGUUUGCAUUACUGUAAUAGUGAUAGAAUUUAUGUAAGUAGGAAUUGUUUGAUUCCUGUGUGUACUCGCUUAUAUCUUGAUCAAUAAAGAUUCAUAUUUGCCCAAAAAAAAAAAAGAAUGACCAAUUACUUGCAUUACAUUAACAAUUAAUAUCAAUUAUUCCAACACUUACAGGAAUGAAAAACAUUCCCUUGAGUUGUAGUGAAUUAAAUCGAAAAAAGAACAACAAAUUUUAUUUAUAAAUUAUAAAAAAAUAUGGUAAAUUUUAGUGGUUAAUAGUGUAAGCAAAAAAAAAAUGAUAUUAGUUUCUGUGAUGCCACAAUUACACUCUUCUCUAAUAAAUGGACAAAUUGCAUUGCAUUUCAUUAAUAAAUAAUAUCAAACAUGCUAGUAGUGACAAAAAUAAAAGAUUUCUUACUUUUUUAUUUAUCAAAAAAAGAAUAAAAAAUUUUAUUUAUGAAAUACCCAAGUUUAAAGAGUACUUCAAACAUGAAACAAAGCAUAAUAAAUUGGUACUAUGAGUCUCUUAAAAAAUAUCAUGAAUCUUUUUAUUUUUUGGAUAAAAGUAAAUUAAGCCUUAAGAGCACGUUUUAGUAUGAGUAUAUUAGUAUUAAGUAAAAAAUUUUAACACAAAAUAUAAUAAGAACUGGAGUAUGAAAGAAGGCAAAGAGUUUUAUGUUGAAAAUUUAUUGGUUUAUAUUGCAACAAAAAUUAAAUUUAAUGAACUUUAUUAAUGGUAUUAUUUUAACAAUUGAUAGCAUUAAAUAUAUCAAUGCCAAUCAUAAUAAUAGUUAUAAAGGUGAAACACUCAUUUGAGUUAUGGUGAUUAAAUUAAAAAGUAUAUCCAAUUUCAGAGAGUACAUCAAAGGUGAAUAAAAAUAUUUCCAAAUUCAAUUUGACUGUUAUAUAAUAAAUAAUCUUAACAGCUUACAAUUUUUAAUCAUAUAAAUCUAUAAUCAUAAAUCAUGUCAUCAAUGAUAAAGUUUCAACAAAUGAAAAUAUUUCUCUUUAAAAUUAAGCUAUUUUAAAUUUGAACAAUGGAAUUCAGUAUAUUUAAAUGCUAUAGUAAUUAUAAUAGUACUAUAGAUCAUUUUACAAUCCACCAUUAGCGAAAAAUAAUAAUAAUUAGAAAAAAUCACUAAAACUAUUUAAAAAUUCAUAGAGUGACUUAAAAGGGAACAACAAAUUUUUUAAAAAGAUAAAGAUUUUAACUCAAAUGACGUAAAAGAGAACAUUCGGACAAUCUAAAUUUAACAGAAAGAAGAAAACAUUAAUUGUCUUACAAAAUAAAGUCCUCUUGGAACAAAUAAUGCUUUAUUACUCAUGCAUUUGUAUUGGUUAGGGCAAACCAAAUUCAGAAAAAAUAAAAAAAAACAUGAAUAAUAAAUAUCCUUUUUUUCGUUAAUAAGUUAAAAAUUUAAACUCAAAUAACAUAAAAGAGAACACUCAGAUAAUCCAAAUUCAACUGAAAGACAAAAACAUUGAUAUUGUUACAAAUUAAAAGUGCCCUCAGGCUAAAUAAUGCUUUAUGUUGCCUAGGCAUUUGUGUUGGUUAUAGCAACCAAAUUCAAAAAAUUAUAAAAAUAUUAAAUAUCACAUUUUUUUUGUCUCAAUUACAUUUAUUCCUUCAAAACAAUUGUUUUUCUAAAACUUUUGAGAAAUAUUAUUUGCAGUCACAUUUCUAUUAAUCAUACUCCCACUAUCGCUUAAAUCAUAUAGUUUUCAUUUGUUAAGAUAUGUGGUGACAUUAAAAAAAAAUGAAGUGCAAAUUACAUUUUCCAAAAUUUUAAGGAAAAAAAUUUAAAAACAUCAUGUUCAUGUUCACGUGAAAAGUACACGAUUCAUUACUAGUAAUGUAAAAAUGCUUGAUAAUCCAAAUAGAUGAGCUUCCUGUAGAUUGUUGGAGUUUGAAUGUUCAGUUCCCUGUGAAGUUUUUUGAAUAAUCUCGAGACUUGGAUGAACAUACGAUUGCAUAAUGGGUGAUGCUUUCCAUAGUCUGAACCUAGUUGAGGAUGACGAAAAUUAGUCUUGGCCUGUUAUGGACUGUAGGAACGGCAAGAGAGGAAAAGGAGGAGCAGGCCUUUAAAAAAUGAGCUAAGUUGUGAAAAGUGCGGGUGGGGAACAUUAACAUAAAUUUUUGUACAUUUUCUUUUUUCCUGAGGUAAUUGUCGGCAAUAACUUUGUCCAGUGCUUAGGGGAACACCCGUUGAUUUUGCAUUUCUAGUUUGAUAUAUGAGGGCCUUUCCAUGUCUGAAGAUCAAAUAAUACAGUUUGGAACUGCAGAUGGUUCUGCGGCAAGCUCAGUAUCAAAGAACAAGGAGAUUGAUGUGAGCAUCUAUCUAGUUGAGAUUGUUAUGUAUUAGGUCCUGAAUCCUCUAUAGUUUUGUGCUUUUGUGAUUUUGUACUUUACCACGUAACCCUCUAUAAUUUAAAAAAAUAUAUAGAACUCCAUUAUAAUUUGGAUUAAGGUGUCAUUGUUAGUUUUUCCGUUAAAACUAACGGUCAAUAGUAAAAAGUCAAAAUCAAACUAAUAAAUUGACAAAUUCACGUUUUCAUUAUUCUCUCUCUCUCUCUCUCUCUCUCUCUCUCUCUCUCUCUCUCUCUCUCUCUCUCUCUCUCUCUCUCUCUCUGUGUGUGUGUGGGAAAAAAGAGGUGAUUUUGAAAACCUAUGUUUUGGCUUACAAAAUCUUAAUUUUCUCCAAAUAUAAAAGAGAUGGAAGGAAAAUAAAAAAUAAAUAAUUAUGAAACAAAAAAGAUGGAAGGGAAAUAUAAAAAAGUAAAUGAGAAACAAAAAAUACCAAAUCUUUUUUUACUACAAAUAUCAUUAUAGGUUUCUAAAACAAAAUUUUAAUGGCAUUUUCUAUUUCUUAUUUAUCUAUUUUAUUUAAAUUUCUUCAAGUAAUGAAAAGAUAAAUUUGUCAAUUUAUUGGUUUGAUUUUGACCUUUUACUAUUGAUUGUUAGUUUUAAUAAAAAAAAAUUAAAGGUGACACUGUAAUUCAAACCAUGAGGAGAUUAUAUAUAUGUUUUUAAACUGUAAAGAGGUUAUGUGGUAAAGUACCUAAUCAUAGGGGAUAAAAUACAAUUUACCCAACUUAAUAUUAGCUAGCCCUUACAUUGCUAAAGCAAAUGGGUCAGUGGUUGCUCUUAAUUGCCAAGUACCAAUAUACAUAUACCGAGAUCAUCCGCAUUUUUGUUCCUAAUUGCCAGCAUAUACCACAUCUUUUGAUUUUCCAAUAAAUACUGCAAAAAAAAAAAAAAAAAAAGUGACGACACCUUCUAUACUACUCAAAGAUUAUUGAUUGUUCACCUAAAUUCGUCAAGUUUCAAAAAAAAUCUUUAAAGUGAAUUGAAUCGAAUUCAAAUUGAAACACUGGCAAAUUAGGGAAGGAAAGAGCAGAUUUGUACAAGCAGAAGGGAGGAUAAAUUAAACCAAAAUUGAUUGUUUGCUAAAUCAAUUAAAGAAAAGAUAAAGAGUAAUAGUAUACAGUACAUUAACAACAUCAAGCAUUAUACACAAUACAUACAAUAAAUAAGAAGGUAAGACACAGAAGAUGAUGAACUUGUCUCACAGAAGAUGUCGAAUGGGAAAAAAUUUACUAAUAAAAAAUAAAAUCAAAAAAAGAGAAAGCAGUGUUGUCCACAAGGGAAGCCACAGUGGCUGCUGCUGUUGCUGCUAGGAAAGAUUAUAUGUUUUCUUCUUCUUCUCUUCCCAUAGCUGGUGCUCUCUCCAUUCCCCAUCAUCUGUAUAGUAACCAAUGAGAAUUUCAGGAAUAUGUGCGAUUCUUGUGUAAUCUUCACUUUCUUCCUUCUGAUUCUCUAACAGCUUCUCUCUCAAUUGAGAACUCAUCUCAUACAAAGACAGCCGUUGAAGAUUGCUCAAGUGCUGAAUACCCAAUGGUAACUCCUCUAGUAACGGAAGUUGUUCUAGAAAUAGUUUUUGGAGACGAGGCAAUGCACCCUCCUCCACUCUCAUCCCUCUCAACCCUUCCAUUCUCUUUAGGUGCAACCUCUUCAGCAUUAGGAACCCUCCAGUUUUGAAACACAACCCUUCUCCUUGGUAAGAUCCACAGAAAUUAAUACUAACCAAAUUGGGCAAAUGUUGGAGGGAUUCAAGCGGAUCCUCCUCGCCUCUUAACCUGCUCCAAUUCAAAUCUAUUCUUACCAAGCCGUGAAGAUGAGCUACCCAUUGUGGCAUUUUUUCUAAGCGGCCACGCAAAAUCAGCAUACGAAGAGAUUGAAGAAACGAAGAAGAAGAAAGAGAAGGAUGAUUUAGAUCGAUUAUCUCAUGAUCAUCACCUUUUCCAAUUGAAGCAAUGCUUAAUUCCCGAAGACUGGUGAGGUUGGCAAGGGAGGAGCAGAGCUCCUUUCCAUCUUCUCUUCUUAAAUUUGUGAUACCUAAUUCUCUUAAUUGGGUCAACUUUCCUAUCUCCUUAACUAUUGUGGAUCCACCGCUUGCAUCUAUGCUAUCUAAUACUUCUAGGGCAAUAAGCCCUCCCAUAUUUGAGGGAGCUUUAAAUCCAUGAUAUCCAUAAUCAUCAUCGAAAGAAUCAACUUGUUGAAAUACUCUGAGAACCCGAAGUUUUUGCAGCUUUAGCAUUUCCAUGGGUAAUUCCCUAACUCUUGUGUCAGCCAAAUCCAGAUACUCCAAAUGUUGAAGCUUUCCAAUGGAUUUUGGGACUCUCUCUACUCUCGUACCCCAUAGGUCCAGAUGCUUGAGAUGAAACAUCUUGAAAAUCUCAUUUGGUAUUUCCUCCUGUGUCUCUUGACCACGCAAAUCCAAAACCUUUAACAGCUUACUACUCCUUGAAAUUUCAGAUAACAAUGUUUUGGAUAGUAGCGGGCUCAUGGAUCCAACUGUAACGAACGACCGAAGGUGGUCAAAGCAACAACUUCGUCUUUGUUGGUGGUGCUGGGUAUUGUUACUGCUACUACUAUGGACUGCCAGACGGCGUACCUUCUCGGAUGGCCAUGUCAUUGGUUGUCCAGUAGUGACUGUGACCAUGUUUUGUUCCCUUGACUUGAGAACAAUAACUUCUCUCAACAGGUCAUGGAUUCGACAAUUGUUGGGUAAUCCUUCAUAAAACACAUCAGUCACUUGAAUUAGGCUUCUAUUGACGAGUUCACUAAGAUAACCCCAGGCUACAUCUUCAAUACUCAUUCCUUCUCUCCCUUCUACUAACCUUUCAGCAAUCCACAAAUUAAUGAGUCUAUAGCAUUGUAUUUUGUAAUCCUCUGGGAAGAUGCUUGUGUACAACAGACAUGUCUUUAGAUGCCUGGGCAAAUCACUAUAACUGAGAGAGAGUAUCUUUUUAACUCUAUCCAGUUUACCAGCGCCUUCUAAUUCACCCCCAAGACUGUGUCGAACCAUCCCCCAUUCCUCUGUUCUGUUUACAUCUUUCAAAGCCAAAAGCCCACUGAUUGCAAGAAUUGCAAGGGGCAAGCCCUCACAUUUACCCAAUAUAACUUUGGCAACAUCCAUCAAAUGGCCAGGGCAACUACCUCCCUUAAAGAUCUUGUUGCAAAAUAGGGUCCACGAAUCUUCAAAGAAUAGUGGCUUCAUUCUGUAGAUAUAACCCAGAGAUUCUGUACAAGAGGCUGAGGCUACAUCAGCUUUCCGAGUUGUUAGCAUGACACGGUUGCAUACCUUUCAGCUUGUCAUCAAAAACAAUUGCAUACCUUUCAGCUUGUUGAAGAAAAUCUUUGACAAAUUUUUUCAGCUCAGUGGUAGUCAUGGACUCGAUCGAUUGUGGGACUGGUUUCUUCCCUUCCUCGUGUAACUGCCGAAUCAAGUCUUUCAGGAGGUACUGAAAGUCACAUGUUUCAGAGACAGUUACCCAAGCACGGACUGGGAAAUGCCUUCUGACUUCAAGAUCCUCAUGGACUUUUUUCACCAGGGUAGUUUUGCCAAGUCCUCCCAUACCAACCACUGAAACAACUUUUAGUUGGUAAUCAUCCCCUUCGAGAAGCUGAGAAAUUAGAUGGUUUUUGGGCUGGUCAAUGCCAACUAAUUUAGCUUCUUCCACAAGCAGUGCAUCAUCUCUGCUAUAACGCCAUGUUGUGUUGUUCACAGCAGAAAUUGAGUUGGAUGCUUGGGCAAAGAUACCAUAUUCAGAUUGGUAUCUUUGAUGAGCUUCAGAAAUACUUUUGAUUCUUGACUUGAUGCUUUGUAUUUCGCUAGCAACUCGAUAACGAGCUCUCAAAUUCUUGAUGGAGCUGAAAAUUCUCCAAACAGAGCCGUAGAAUCCUGUUUCGCGAUGCCGAGCAAAGCGAGCUACAAAUUCAUCAAGAAUGUCUUCAGUGUCAUAAGCUGCUUCUCGCACUUGCUUGAUCCAUUCUUGGAGCCUGGGUUGAGCAUCUUCUUCUUUUGCUUCUGCCUCUCUCAGGAAAGCCCUCAUGUGCCCCAACUCAUCCCUGAUGAAUUGGACCUCUUGCCGAAGCCCACCCAAUAGUCGUCCCUCCUCGCGCAGAAAAGUUGAGAGUUGAUCCAGCACAAAAGAGAGAACUUUUUCUGCCAUUUUCAGUCUUUCUUUCUAACUUAGAGAAUGUCGUGGAAGGCAGCUUCUCGUUUAUGGGACAGUCCACUUGUAGUGUCUUGAAAGGAAGAGGGAAGAGUAGGUUAUAGAUUCAUAAGCUGAUGAACUUUGAAACUAUAUGGUGCAGUAUAUAUCAAAAAGAAAAACCGCGUCAAAAGAAAAAGAAAGAAUUAAAAAAUUAGAAGAAACUAAAGCAAAAAACAUGAUGGAAAUUGAAGGCAGGAAGAUGGGCAGCAACGUGAGUUUGAAAGACGAAGCUGCCUUACCUGCUUACAAUACAGAAUCAUGGAAGCUAUGAAGAAGACACAACUGCAAAUGGUGGGGUGAUCAGCCUUCAGGACCUUCUUUCAACUGUGGGUCCUAUGGUCGGAUAAAGAUAAAGGAGCAUCUUUGAACUGUGGGUUCUUUACAAAGCGGGGUUGGACUGGACAUUAUUUUUUUUUUUAUUUUUUUUUUUUAGGUGUGUCCCGCAGGGAGUGGACCCCGCAGACUAUUCACCAUCCUCAACAACUUGCUGGCAGCAAGGUUCGAACCAGGGACCUGAAGCCCCAUCUUCAGCACCCUCAACCACCAGACCAAGCCCCUGAGGGCAACUGGACAUUAUUGAUUUCAUUGACGAAGCAAUAAAAUCAGGGAAAAUGAUUCAAAACGUUUCUUAUAUUUUAUAAGGUGAUUUAUUUUUUAAAAUAUAAUUUUAUGUUCCUUACAAAUUCAUAUUGACUAAAUUUGAUUCUUACUUAAAUUUUUGACUAGUUUUUGAUCGAAAUCCAUUACGUAACUUAUACGUGAUCAUUUUUUUGGCUAUGUUCAUAAAAUAGAAAAAAAAACCUUGAACUUCAAGAAAAGUAAACAAAUCUCAGCACUUACUUGAGAGAAAAUGAAACCUCUGGCAAUAGCUGAUCUGAACCUACCCUGUCAAAUCCAAGUUUGAUGAAAAAGAGAACACGGGCGAGGAAGAUGAUAAUUUGAAUCAAAAUUAAAACAAUGCAGUAUGUGCAAGGCCUUUAGCUAGGAAGAUGGAGUAUUACAGAGGAGAAGGUAGGAGCAGCACCGUUAUUGAUAGGAAAGUGGAUUGAAAUUGGCCGUGACUUUCCUGGUUGGAUAGUAGAACAAUGGGUUAAUCACAUUUUAUCCUCUUAAAAGAUACCCCAUUUCUCAGUUUACCUCCUAACCUUUAAUUUUGCUCACUUAACCCCCUUUAGGACAAAAUUGCCCUUGCAUUAUUUUGACUUUUCAUUUACCUUGUUUUCCUUUCUUUUAUUUCUUUUUCUCUUUCUUCUUUAUUUAAUUCUUCCUCUUUCCCACAAAAAUCUUUACCUUAAUGAUUGAAAUUAAAAAAGAGGAAUUGCAGAGAUCUAUCUUCUCCUUAAAAAAUUUAAAAAAUAUUCAAAUCACUUUCCUAAAAUAUAAUUUUUUUAGCCUUUCAAUUCUUUUAAUUUUGGGUUUUCCUCUUUCCUUUAUAGUUUCUUAUUUUAUUCUCAAGAAAAUAUCUUAAGAUGAAAUUGUGACCUGAUUAAUAAUCAUCAAUUGAAAUUUGUGACACGUGGCAUCAUACAAAAAAUCAAAAUUAGUUUUUGAUGUCUUUUAAACCUUCACCCAGAAAUAUGCAAUUAUAAACUCAAAACAAAAAUUUUCGUUGAAAUGGAAUUUCUAUUGGGAAGGAUGAAAGAGAGAAGAAAGAGAAAAAAAAUAAAAGAAAGGAAAACAAUUUCAUCUUAUGAUAUUUUCUUGAAAAUAAAAUGAGAAACUAGAAAGGAAAGAGGAAAACCCAAAAUUAAAAGAAUUGAAAGGCUAAAAAAAUUGUAUUUUAGGAAAGUGAUUUGAAUAUUUUUUUAAUCAUUUAAGAAGAAAAUAGAUCUUUGCAAUUCCUCUUUUUUAAUUUCAAUCAUUAAGGUGAAAUUUUUUGUGGGAAAGAGGAAGAAUUAAAUAAAGAAGAAAGAGAAAAAGAAACAAAAGAAAGGAAAACAAGGUAAAUAAAAAGUCAAAGUAAUACAAGGGCAAUUUUGUCCUAAAGGGGGUUAAGUGAGCAAAAUUAAAGGUUAUGGGGUAAACUGAGAAAUGAGGUAUUCUUUAAGGGGAUAAAAUGUGAUUAACCCUAGAACAAUUACUCAACGUGGAUCUCGUCCCUUGGCUGUCAGAGUGACACAUGGCAAUAAAAAUCGAGACUUAAAUGAUGAGGUCAGAGUCCAUUGUUAGGUGAUCGGAGAAUGAGUAGUUUAGUCAUUUCACGAAAUAUUAAUUGUAUUCAAGUUAUGAUGGAUAGUGCUUAAUUUUCCAUUUUUAAAUUAUGUCAAAGUUACACAAUUCUUUUGAAUUUUCCACGUCCACAUCGAGAAUUUUCCAAUCAUAUCUAUUUAGAAUUCUAAUUUUGCAACUUCACUGUAUAGGUCCAAAUCUACUUUGAAAAAUUUUAUGUCAAAUCAAAAUUUUGUGUUUCUAUUUUUCUUCUUCCUUCUUUGUAAAAUGAAUGACUUUGGUCAGUGAGAAUGUAUCCUUGUAAAGAAGAUUUUUACAUAGGGAUAUUGUUAUGAAAAAGAGAAAUUUGAAACAUAUAAUAGUUAGAUUUGUUUUUCCUGAAUUUAAUGAGUCAUAGGCUAAAAAAGUUGUAGUAGUUCAAUUUUUUUUUUCAAAUCCUAGUACGAAGCUGCUACUUGAGUUAAUGAAUUGAAAUUCACUGGUAAAAUUAACUAUUGUAGAGCCAUAAUUUGGACUCAAAUGCGAUAAGAAGCAUUAUAUGAGCUACUCGCUGUAAGCCGGAAAGCAGCUUUGAAACAAAAGAAGCAGAGGUACAAAGUUUUCGUAGUGGUCAAUAAUACUAUCGGUUCCUAGAAACAUCAUAAGAAAGGAGAUAGAGUAACACUAUGGAUAUUAUAAAAUUCUAUCAAUGUUUGUCAUUUUUAUAUGGUAACCAACUACAGAAAAAUUGUCAAAGUCGUAUGAGAAAGUUAAGGACGAAAUUGCACUAACUUGUUUCAUUCCAAUGCUAAUUGUAUUUCAUAAUUCAUAAGAAAAUUUGAUGCAAUAAAAUUUUUUUUUGAAUAUGAGACCUUGAUUGUGACAAUACAUGAAUACCCUCAAUGAUAUUAGAAAAUGCAUUCAAAUUUAGGGACACAACGUGGUCCUAAUUAUUUUGUAAGAGGGGUGAUCUUGAAAAGAAAAAACUUGAACACUCAACUAUCAAUACAAACUCACUCUUUUAGCAAAGGUAUAGAUCCAGAUAUUGAUGAAUCUUUGUAAUUAACAAGGUAAAUCUGUUGACCAAUAAAAGUCAAUGGUAGCAGGUAGAAAAGCUGGCAUCUAUGUGCACUAUGUUGAAGGUAACUAUAGUAUAGAUAAAUAUAAAUAUUUGUAAUUAACAAGAUACACCAUGUUGAUCAACAACAGUCAAUGGUGGGUAGAAGGCUGGCAUCAUCCUUCAAAGUGUCCUUCACGACAGAAGAGCUAGAAACCAAAAUGAAGGAGAUCGGUAAAUUAAUCACAAAAUGCCCUGAACUUACGAGAAUCAUCCUUGAAAACGUCCUUUAGGACGAAAGAGCUAAAAACCAAAUUGAAGGAGAUCAAUAAAUUAAUCACAAGAUGCCCUGAACUUACGAGGAAGCCAAUUUGUGCAAUAAUACACCAUACUUUUAGACGGAAAUCUGCAAUCGGUGAAGUUGGAUUAGACUCUGCUGAUGCAAUUGUGGGGUUCCAGGCUUCAAAAUAAUGCAAAGAUGACAAUAAUGAGUUGGAACCAGCUUAUUGAUGACAAUAAUGCUUGUAUUUUAGGCACGUUAGAUGUGAAAUGUGAGAGUUGACUGCUGUCUGAGCUCAUUCCAGUGUGAAAGAACCUUCUGCGAUAGCAAAAUGCUGUUCUCUACCAGUCCCAUUCAGUCAUUUGCAAUAUGAUUAUGGUUAUUUAUUAGCGUGAACACACAUGAUUGGAAUGAACAUUUGUUUAUUUAUGUAGAAAAAGUGAUAUUGUUAACGUUAUUUUUUAUAAAUAGCAGCCCGCUCAAGUGAUUGUGCUCUAUUUUUUUUGGGGUAAAUUGUGGAAGAUAGAGGCACUAUUAAAUCAGCAUACCUCUAAUCAUUUACCUACCGUAUAUCUAUAUGAGGGCAAAACUCGGAUCACAUGCAUUAAUGCUAACGAUAAUGAUCUACAAUACUAAACAAGAUAUAUCAUGAUAUAUAUGUUAUAAUCUUGUGUUUCUCUCUCUUUUAUUGUUAUCUGAUUUUUCUUUCAUCAUCCUUGCUUUUUGUCUCACCAUCUCCCCAUACGGUAAGUCAUUUAGAUAUGUCAUGAUUUUCCUGUCAUAUUUUUUAAAGCAAUACUCUAGUGUUAAAUAGGAAUAUCCAAAAAUUUCUGAUCAGGAUAGAGUUUUGUACACCAACUUGUUAUUUAUACGGUACUGCAAGUAUUCAAAACUCAAAAGGAGACCUUAAAGGGGCCAAAAAAAAAAAUAGGGAAGACCUCAUGACUCAUGAGGUCAGUUCAGGUUUCUGAAUUAUUCCAUCAAGGAUAUUGAAAUUGGAAAAAAAAAAUAGAAAAUUAUGAAUGAAACGGAGAAAAGGACCAAGAAAUCUAUAAAUUACCAUCAAAUGUCAAAUGAGUGGUGUUUUUCACCUAUUGGCGCACCCUUUAACCCGCCGCCCACCUCUUUUUCAAAUGGAUGAUAGAUAUAUAGAUAAUUGCAAUGCAAUGAAAUAUUAGAGACUUACUCUCAUCCUAGCAUAUCAAUUUCUUAACUUGAGGUGUAUAUGAUAACAAAUUUGAGUUUCUGUUUAAAAAGUAUAAUUUGUGAAUUGCCAGGUUUUAUUUUUUUAUUGGUGAAUAAAUUCCAAAUAUUAGAUUCAUGGUUUCUUUUCAGAAAUUCCUAUGUUUUAUUUGAUAUAUUUACUUUAAUUUGACAUAUAAGCAUUAUUCAAUGUAAUAUGCAGUACGCUUUUUUCCAGCUUCAGAUGUUGUAAAAAUUUUAUUUUCUUUUGCAAGUCAAAAUCAAAUUAGGAUUUGUUAUCCCUUAUGUUAUAUCCAGAACCUAGUAGAAUAAGAUUAAGUAGCAUUACAUUAUUUGGUAGAAACUAUGUUUCAUUAAGUAAUUUCGUUCCAAAUCUAACUAUAUUUCAUAAGAAAAAUGUAAUAUACUUCUCUUCCUAAAAUAAAUACUUAACAAUGAUAUUACACAAUUACCCUCAACAAUAUCUACAAGUCAUUCAAAUUUAGAGCUAGCCAUAAUAUGUUAUGGGAGGGUUAAUGUUGGAAAGAAAAAACUAAUUUUUACAAUAAUUAAUAAAGUAGAAAUAGUUCUUAAAUUUCCUUUUACAAUAUGGUUCCCUUUUUUUUGGGUUUAACUUUGUUUUACAAUAUGGUAUAUGGUUUCGUUUUUUUUUUUCUUUUGUUUAACUUUGUUUGGAAUUCCUUUCCUUUUAGAAUACUAAAUUUUAGAAGACGAUAAUUAUAUCAACACUAAUAUCCAUAAAUAUCCCUCCCCCAAUUCAUAUUUGAAAUUUAAUAUAAGCUUCAUUAUUUCAUUAUACAAGGGCAUUACUGGAAAGUGAAAACUAAAUUACUAAAACACCAAAUCACAUUGGUGCUUUUAAUAUAUAUGCAUAUAUACAUGUAUAUAUGUAUGUAUAUAUGUAUGUGAUAGACAUUUGCACAGAGAGACUUAUUUGGCAUCUAGUCCAACAAAGCUAACAAGGCAAGCACAAAAUUAAAAACAUAAAAAUAAAACGCCUUGAGAAACAUUAGAGAGAGAUUCAAGGGAUUGUCACCCAUGGCAUUCCAAAAGAAAAGGAAAACAACAAAUUAAAGAGGAGAAUCAUCGAGGACAUCGAAAAUUAAAACCCAAUAAAUUAACUUUCUGAUGUUGAAAUAAUGAUCAAGUGAAAGCCGUAAGAAAUUUUAUAUUGUAACUUAAUACAGAAGAAUUUUUCAAAGCCGUAAGAAAUUUAAGGACGAAAUAUGAGAAAAAUUCUUACUCACAAAAAAAGAAACUGCAGCAAAUAAAUGGAGUGGAGCCAUCGUAGUCAAAAAGUAAAAGAGAAACUAAAGCAAGAGACGUGAUGGAAAUUGAAUAGAAAGAAGAUAGACAGCAACGUGAUUUUGAGAUAGAGCGACGAAGCUGCCUUACCCGCUACACAACAAAAUCAUGGGAAUUAUUAAGAGGACCAUGCAGUUGGUGGGGUGUUCACUCUUUGUAGAUCAUUGUUAUGAGCUAAUAAUCCAACAGGAACAGAGAGAACUGUUUGUGCCACUUGCAGUUUUGUAGAUCAUUUAGCCCUCAAUAUAAAAUUUACUGGAUUCAGAUUUUAACAUAGAAAUUGAACAUCUAAAUUAAUUAAAUAGCACUACAUUUCUUAGAUAAAACUUACUCCCAAAAUUAAGUGAUAAGUUAUUCACUUAUCACUGAACGUGAUAUGCAUUCAAAUGCAUUAGAUCUAAUACUUAACAAUUUAAUAAUUUAAUGGAUUCAACUUUCAGAUUUAAAACUUUAGUUUUAUGAAAUGCACUUUCAGUGAUAAGUGAAUAGUUUAUCACUUAAUUUUGGGAGCAAGUUUUGCUUAGAAAAUUCAGUGCCACUUAAUUAAUUCAGAUAUUCAGUUUUUAGUUAUCAAACAGUAUGAAUAUGUUAAGAUCUGAAUUCAUUAAAUUUUAUAGGUGCUAAAAUGGGUUGUCAAACAGGACCUUAAUUUUGGAUUCUUUUGUGCUGUGCCAAAGAAUAAGAGAUGGACUCUUUAACUCUGUGGACAUUAAUCAAUCGAGUCUAAUCAAACCCAAUGAAGCAUAAGUAAUAUAAAUUAAUAUUUUAUAUAAUUUUAAAUGAGAAUACAAUUGACAUUUCACACUAAUAAAUAUAAAAAAAAAUUCAAAAGGAUAUAUUACAUUUAAAUCUCGAUUGAGUUCAACUGAACUUGAUGAGUUUUCAAGCUUCAUAUAGUAGACUCGAACUUGAACUCUUCAAGCAAUUUGAGAUACUCAAACUAAAUAUUGAACUCCUUUAACCUGAGUUUUGACAAAACAUGCUUGUGAGUAAUUAAUUUGUUGAGCUCGACUCGUUUUAUACCCAUACGACAAAAUACUCUCAAUUAAGGGAGUAAGUGACUAUGUUGCAAUUUUAUGGUGGGCUCUUCCCCCUUUUUGUGCUCUUAUGGUACAUAAAAGAGAAUCUCUGACCAAAUUUCGGCAUAAACAUACAUGUGCGUUCAAGUAGAAAUGAGGAAAGAUCACAAGAGAACGAGAAUCUACUACUAUAGAUAAAGAAAAACCCAACUCAAAAUGAAUUAUUCUAUCAAAGUUACAGGAGAGUAGGGGUGCAGCUGAGUUUUGAGCAUGUUGUGGGUUAAAGUUGGUUUUAGAUUUUUUUUUUCUCCUUUCUCGUCAGUUGAAGAAUGGACUGAGGAAAGUCAGAUUUCAAUUUCUGUAACUCGGCAGUCGGGGAUUGAUUUAAGAAGACAUUAGACAUUAACGUUGGUUGUGCUACUAUGGUUGGACUACGUCAUGGACGAAGUUAAGAAUAGAAAAGUAUAAACAAAUCUGUAAGCACAGUGUUUUCACCUACCAACGCCAAGAAGCAGCUUUUUUACCAGUAUUUGUAAACCUUGAAUUCCAUAAUAAUGUAGUUGCUUUAGCCUGAGCUUUAAAUACCCCUACCCUUAUUUUUGGGUAAAUUAAACAUAAAAUCCUAUGGUUUCACUCAUUGUCAUAUAACCCUAUAACAUUGUAAAAUAUCUAUUUCACUCCCUUAGGUUCAAUAUAAACUUUACAAAAAAUAAUCUCUGUAACGUCAUUAGUUCAAAUAUUAUUAAUUUCCUUACUUAAAUACUAAAGCGAAUAAAUGCCUAACCAUCUCAGAUAAAACCACAGGGGAAUUGUGUGGAUCAAUGCAAAAAACUGCAAUGAGGUAUGGUGGAUAUUUAUAUAAAUCAUAGAGGAUUAAGUGGAUUUUAUUAUUCCAUCACAUACGUUUUCUGGAAUGUGUUUGGUUCAAUCACCUAAUCAAUGAUGUAUUCCUUCCAUUUUCUACUUUGCAUAAAACCACAUAAAGGUUAUAUGACUAUUGUGAAACUUUAGAUGUGUUAUGUAGCAUUGAAGAAAAUUAUAGGGGGAUUAUAUGUAAUUUAUCCUUCUUUUUUUUUACAUGAAUUGUAGUUAUAUAUAUUAUUUUAAUGCUUUUAUCGACUAAAUGACAUUGAACCUUUUUUUGGGGGUCAAAUGAUGUUGUCAUCAAUAGAGAGAAAUUUGAGAAGGAAUAUGAGGGUUCAAAUCUCAUCUAUCUAUUAGAAACUAGCUUCCUGAAUUUCAGAAAAGGAAUUUAAUUAGAGAUCCUCUCUUCAUAUUCCUUUUUUUUUGGCUAGCGCUAUACGUUAAUCAAACAAAUUGCAAAGCCAAUCGUUCUUGAUUGCCCACAUGUUGCUAAAUCUAAUCAUCAGCAUUGGCUCUUAGUUUAAAAACCUAUAUGGAACCCCAUCAUGAUUUGGGUUAAUGUGUCACUGUUAGUUUUCUCGUUAAAACUAACGGUUAAUAAUAAAAGGUCAAAAUCAAACUGAUAAAUUGAUAAAUUCAAGCUUUCACUACUCUCUCUCUCUGGGAAGAGAAAAGGUGAUUUUGAAAACCUAUUUGUAUAGAAAAACUUUCCAAAAAAAUUUCUCGUUUACAUUAUAAACACAUUUUCCAAUCCACUUUUUUAUAUUCCUAACCACUUUUUUAUUUCACAUACAUCACAUCACAAAAAGCACUACAGUAAUUAUUUCAAACAAUUAUUUGGAAUAAUACUCUAUCCAAACAAAGCCUUAAUUUUCUCCAAAUAAAAAAGAGAUGGAAGGAAAAUAAAAAAUAAAAAUAAAUAAAUAAGAAACAAAAAGGAUGGAAGGGAAAUAUAAAACAAAUAAAUGAGAAACAAAACAUACCAAAUCUCUUUUGACUAGAAAUAUCAUUAUAGGCUUUUAGACCAAAUCUUUAAUAGCAUUUUCUGUUUGGAGGAAAAAAAAGAAGUAAUGGAAGGGUAAAUUUGUCAAUUUAUCAAUUUGAUUUUGAUCUUUACUAUUGACCAUUAGUUUUAAUGAAAAAAAAUAAUAGUGAAAUUUUAACCCAAAUCAUAAGGGAGAUUAUAUAUAUGUUUUUUAACCGUAGAGGGAUUAUGUGGUAAAGUAUCAAAUCACAGGAGGUAAAGUAUAAUUUACCCAACUUAAUAUUAGCUAGCCUUUACAGUGGUAAAGCAAAUGGGUCAGUGGUUGCUCUUGAUUGCCAACAUACAUAUACGUAGAUCAUCCGCAUUCUUAAGCUAAAUUGCCAGCGUAAACCAUAUCUUUUGAUUUUCCAAUAAAUACUGCAAAAAAAAAAAAAAGAGUAACGAGUCCUUCUAUACUACUGGAAGAUUAUUGAUUGUUCACCCAAAUUCGUCAAGUUUCGAAAAAAAAAAUCUUUAGAGUGAAUUGAAUCGAAUUCAAAUUUUGUGUUUUGCGAUAAUUCCUAAAAGAGAACGAAAUGCAGAUUUUGAGUGUAAAAAUAUUUUAAGAAAUAGUGAUACACAUUGUAAGUUUAUUAGCACAGUCAAGGCACAAAAAGAUAGAGUAACAACAUCAAGCAUUAUACACGAUAAAUAAGAAGGUAAGACACAGAAGAUGAUGAACUUCUCGAAGGGGAAAAAAAUUACUAAUAAAAAAUAAAAACAAAAAAGAGAAAGCAGUGUUGUCCUCAAACUAGAGAACGGGAAGCCACGGCAGCUGCUGUUGCUGCCAGGAAUGAUUAUGUUUUCUUCUUCUUCGCCCACAGGCUGCGGUGUCUCCAUUUCCUAUCAUCUGUAUAGUAACCAAUGAGAAUUUCAGGAAUGUGAGCGAUUUUUCUGUAAUCUUCACUUUCUUCCUUCUGAUUCUCUAACAGCUUCUCUCUCAAUUGAGAACUCAUCUCAUACAGAGUCAGCCGUUGAAGCUGGCUCAACUGCUGAAUACCCAAUGGUAACUCCUCUAGUAAUGGAAGUCGUUCCAGAAUAAGAUUUUGGAGACGAGGCAGUGCACCCUCCUCCACUCUCAUCCAUCUCAACCCUUCCAUUCUCUUUAAGUGCAACCACUUCAGAUUUAGGAACCCUCCAGUCUUGAAACACAACCCUUCUCCCUGGUAAGAUCCACAGAAAUUAAUACUAUCCAAAUUGGGCAAAUGUUGGAGGGAUUCAAGCGGAUCCUCCUCGCCCCUUAACCUGCUCCAAUCCAAAUCUAUUCUUACCAAGCCGUAAAGACGAGCUACCCAUUGUGGCAUCUUUUCUAAGCGGCCACACAAAAUCAGCAUACGAAGAGAUUGAAGAAACGAAGAAGAAGAAGAAGAAGAAGAAGCAGGAGGAGGAGGAGGACGAUGAUUUAGAUCGAUUAUCUCAUGAUCGUCACCUUUACCAAUUGAAUCAACACAUAAUUCCCGAAGACUGGUGAGAUUGGCAAGGGAGGAGCAGAGCUCCUUUCCGUCUUCUCUUCUUAACUUUGUAAUAUAUAGCUCUCUUAAUUGGGUCAGCUUUCCUAUCUCCUUGACUAUUGUGGAUCCACUACUUGCAUCUAUGGAUUUUAAUAUUUCUAGGGAAAGAAGCCCUCCCAUAUUUGAGGGAGCUUUAAACCCAUGAUAUCCAUAAUCAUCAUCGGAAGAAUCAACUUGUUGAUAUACUUUGAGAAACCGAAGUUUUUGCAGCUUUAGGAUUUCCAUGGGUAAUUCCCUAACUCCGGUUUUUCCCAAAUUCAGAUACUCCAAGUGUUGAAGCUUCCCAAUGCCUUUUGGGACUCUCUCCACUCCUGUACCAUAUAGGUCCAGAUGCUUGAGAUGAAACGAGUUGAAAAUCUCAUUUGGUAUUUCCUUCCGUGUCUUUUGACCUCUCAAAUCCAAAACCUUUAACAACUUACUACUCCUUAAAACAUCAGAUAACAACAUACUGGACAGGAGUGGGUUUUUCGAUCCAAUUGUAACGAACGACCGAAGGUGGUCAAAGAAAUAAUUUGGUCUUUGCUGGGUGUUGUUACUACUACUACUAUGGACUACUAGACGGCGUACCUGCUCGGACGGCCACAUCGUUGGUUGUCCAGUAGUAAUUGUGAUCAUGUUUUGUUCUCUUGACUUGGAAACGAUAAUUUCUCGCAAUAGAUCAUGGACUCGACAAUUUCCAGGCAUUCCUUCAUAAAACACACGAGUCACUUGAAUUAGGCUUCUAUUGACGAGUUCACUGAGAUAACCCAAAGCUACAUCUUCAAUGUUGAUUCCUUCUCUCCAUUCUACAAACCUCUCAGCAAUCCACAAAUUAACGAGUCUCAGGCACCCUAUUUUGUAAUCCUCUGGAUAAAUACUUGUGUACAACAGACAUGUCUUUAGAUGCCAAGGCAGGUCGCUAUAACUGAGAGAAAGUAUCUUUUUAACUCUGUCCAACUUACCCGUGCCUUCUAAUUCACCCCCAAGACUGCGUCGAACCAUCUCCCAUUCAUCUAUUCUGUUUACAUCUUUCGAAGCCAAAAGCCCGCUGAUUGCAAGAAUUGCAAGGGGUAAGCCCUCACAUUUAUCCAAUAUAACUUUGGCAACAUCCAUCAAAUGGCUAGGGCAAGUACCUCCCUUAAAGAUCUUGUUGCAAAACAGGGUCCACGAAUCUUCAAAGGACAGUGGCUCCAAUCUGUAGAUAUAACCCCGAGAUUCAAUGCAAGAAUCAGAGGCUACAUCAGAUUUCCGAGUUGUUAGCAUGACACGGUUGCCGUGGCCACUCUCGGGCAGAGCAAAUUUGAUGGUAUUCCAAAAUUCCACGUCCCAUACAUCAUCAAAAACAAUUGCAUACCUUCCAGCUUGUUGAAGAAAAUCUUUGAUAAUUUCUUUCAGCUCGGUGGUAGUCAUGGACUCGAUCGAUUGCGGGACUGGUUUCUUCCCUGCCUCGUGUAACUGCCGAAUCAAGUCUUUCAGGAGGUACUGAAAGUCACAUGUUUGAGAGACAGUUACCCAAGCACGAACUGGGAAAUGCCUUCUGACUUCAAGAUCCUCAUGGACUCUUUUCACUAGGGUAGUUUUGCCAAGUCCUCCCAUACCAACCACUGAAACAACUUUCAGUUGGUGAUCAUCCCCUUGGAGGAGCUGAGAAAUUAGAUGUUUCUUGGGCUGGUCAAUGCCAACUAAUUUAUCUUCUUCCACAAGCAGGGCAUCAUCUCUGCUAUAGCGCCAUGUUGUGUUGUUCACAGCAGAAAGUGAGUUGGACGCUUGGGCAGAGAUACCAUAUUCGGAUUGGUACCUUUGAUGACCUGCAGAAAUACUUUCGAUUCUGGACUUGAUGCUUUGUAUUUCGCUGGCAACUCGAUGACGAGCUCUCAAAUUCUUGAUGGAGCUGAAAAUUCUCCGAACAAAGCCGUAGAAUCCUGUUGGGAGAUGCCGAGCAAAGCGAGCUACAAAAUCAUCAAGAAUGUCUUCAGUGUCAUAAGCAGCCUCUCGCACUUGCUUGAUCCAUUCUUGGAGCCUGGGUUGAGCAUCUUCUUCUUUUGCUUCUGCCUCUCUCAGGAAAGCUGUCAUGUGCCCCAACUCGUCCCUGAUGAAUUGGACCUCUUGCCGAAGCCCACCCAACAGUCGUCCCUCCUCGCGCAGAAAAGUUGAGAGUUGAUGCAGCACAAAAGAGAGAACUGUUUCUGCCAUUUUCAGUCUUUCUCUUUAACUUAAGAAUGUCGGGGAAGGCGGCUUCUGGUUUAUAGGUCAGUCCACUUGUUGUAUCUUGAAAGGAAGAAGGAAGAGUAGGCUACAGAUUCAUAAGCUGAUGAACUUCGAUGCUAUAUGGUGCAGUAUUUAUCAAAAAGAAAAAGAAAGAAUUAACCAAUUAGAAGAAACUAAAGCAAGAAACAUGAUUGUGAAAAACGAAGCUGCCUUACCUGCCGCAAUAUAAAAUCAUGGAAGCUAUUAAGAAGACUGUGUUUGCUGGGAUAAAGAUAAAGGAGCAUCUAUUCCUCUUUCAACUGUGGGUUCUUUACAAGUAGAAGGAAUAAAAAGUUAAAACGCUGUUGGACUGGACAUUAUUGAUUUCUUUGACGAGGAAAUAAAACUACUGCAAAAUGUUUUGCCCCUUCUGCUAACAUGUAUAACCUUCCUUCCUCUAUGGAACUAAUUUCUGCUGGCAUUUUGCUCUACACUAGUGCAAUUAUUUAUUCGUGCCAAACAUAUUCCUAAAGUGUGGUAUCUCAAAACAAUCAAUUAACAAAGGGAAUCCAUUGAGUAUCACUUGAAUUUUUUAGUCUCAUCCCAUUAUUUGUGCGUCAACUAUUAUUUGAGAAUCUGAUAUCUCUUUUGAUUGGGAAUUGAAAAAUAAAAUGUCAUGUAAGUCUAAAAACUAACCUAAUAUGUCUAAUAAUUUUUUAUACGACCUAAAACUGUAUUAGUUUGAAAAAUAACUUUAUUUUUCAAUUAUUGUAAAUGAUUUCGGAGGACAAAUUUUUUGUAAACUUUAAUCCUAAUUACUUAAUGACAUUUGUAUCUCUAUAUCCACAUUAAAACGUACACGUAAACUAUGUAAAUACAUUUUUUUUUAUGUUCAAAUAAAUUAUCUAGACAUAGACUAAUUCAAAUAUUGGAGUAGAGGUGCUCUUUUUUUCUUUUACUCUAGUAAGCAUAUUAUUUUCGGCACCACAGUAACCAAGUUAGUGUUAGCCCCUUGUGAUCACCAAUUUAAUCUAUUAUCUCACUUCUUUCUUUCUUUUGUUUUUUCUAUCCCUCCUUUUGCAGUUGUGGAAUUACUGCAUCUAGGACUAGAUAGGACGAAAGGCCGCUCAUUUUACCAAUUAGAAACGUGGCUAUGUUCAUAAAAAAGAAAAAAAAAAGCCUUGAACUUCAAGAAAAGUAAACAAAUCUCAGCACUUACUUGAGAGAAAAUGAAACCUCUGGCAAUAGCUGAUCUGAACCUCCUGUCAAAUCCAAGUUUGAUGAAAAAGAGAACACGGGCUAGGAAGAUGAUAAUUUGAAUCAAAAUUAAAACAAUGCUGUAUGUGCAAGGCCUUUAGCUAGGAAGAUGGAGUAUUAUAGAGGAGCAGUACCGUUAUUGAUAAGAAAGUGGAGUGAAAUUGGCCGUGACUUUCCUGGUUGGAUACUAGUAGAACAAUUACUCUACGUGGUGGACCUAAUAAGAAUGUGGAUCUCAUCCAUUGGCUGUCAGAGUGACACAUGGCAAUAAAAUCGAGACUUAAAUGAUAUGGGGUUAGAGUCCCUUGUUAGGUGAUAUGAGAAAUGAGUAGUUUAGUCAUUUCACGAAAUAUUAAUUGUAUUCAAGUUAAGAUGGAUAGUGCUUAAUUUUCCAUUUAUGAAUUAUGUCAAAGUUACACAAUUCUUUUGAAUUUCCAAAUUUUCCACUUCCACGUCGAGAGUUUUCCAAUCAUUUCUAUUUAGAAUUCUAAUUUUGCAACUUCACUACAUAGGUCCAGAUUUACUUUGAAAAAUUUUAUGUCGAUUCAGAUCAAUUGCUUGCAUGCCUAAUAGUUGGUUAACACAUCUAAAAUUCAUCUAACAUAUUUGUGCUCUUAUGGUACAUAAUAGCAAAAGCCUUAAUUUUAUUUGUCUGUGAACAUUAGGCUGUUGGCCGGCUGGUAUAUCAAUUUGAUUAAUCGAAUUAUAGUCUUGCUGGCUUGUCCUUCCAACCCACGAUGUGCUCAUAAAAUGUUGGACGUGAAGAAAGAAGUGGAAUUGAAAAUAUUGGAGAUGGCUAAAAUUGAAUGUUCAGCACAAGACAAUUGAGGUAAACCCUUAACCACGUAGCCAAAUCCGAUCACCACCAUCUUAUCAUGUCUAAUUUUUCUUUUUGUUUAUUGCAAUGAGUAAAAAAAAAAAAAAGAUACACUCGAAUACGUCAAAUCAUAAUUUCGUGUUUCUAUUUUUCUUCUUUGCUUCUUUGUAAAAUGAAUGACUUUGGAUCACCAGUGUAAUCUUUCAUCUCAGUUCUUUUUCUCCAGCUGUGAAAUUAUUACAACUAAGACUAGGUUAGGAGUAAGGGACAUGAAGUAACCGGAGGAUAAGGUGCAUCAUAUGAGCCACUAGGGAUGUAAUCGAGUCAAGUCAAACUCGAAUAUUGCUAUACUCGAGCUCGACUCGACUCAUAUAUAUCUAGGCUCGAGCUCGACCGAGUACACAAAAUCGAUAUUCGAAACUUGACUCGAGGAACUCGCUUUAAACUCGAGACUCGACUCGAUAAGACUCGACCUUUAGUCAAGCCUUAUCAAGUCGAGCCUAAUCAAGUUUUUUUACUCGACUCGAACAAUUAUGUUAUUACUUUUUUGCCAUUAUGAACUUUUUUUAUAGAGAAGAGUUUAUUGUAAAUUCUGUAAAACUUAUACCCAUAAUGGUCAUUUUAUAAUUAUAAUACAUAUAUAUUAUUUAAAUUAUAAAUAUAUUAUUUAAAUACCCUCGACUCGACUAGUAGCUCGACAAGUCUCGAGUCUCAAAAUAUUGGCUCGAAACUCGACUCGAAUGACAAUCGAGUAGCUCGAUAUUCGGCUCGAACUCGGUCAACUCGAGUUCAAACCAAACCGUUAACCGAGCUACUCGCGAGCUACUCGAUUGUGACUCGACUCGCGUACAUUCCUAUGAGCCACUCGAACACUGUAUGCUGAAAAAGCAGCUUUGAAACAAAAGAAGAAGCAGAGGCACAAAAUUUUCCUAUGGUUCCUAGAAACAGUAUAAGAAAGAAGAUAGAAAGACAUUAUUGACAUUAUAAAUUCUUGUCAAUUAAUGUUCGUCAUUUUUAUAUGGUAACUUACUGCAGAAAAAUUGUCAAAACCGUGUGAGAAAGUUAAGGACGAAAUACGAAGAAAAUUCUUACUCAUCAAGAAACUGCAGCGAAAAAAAAAUUGUAGAGAUGAUGGAAAUAAGAAGAAACUAACGCAAGAGAGAUGAUGGAAAUUGAAUGGAAAGAAGAUAGUUAGCAACGUGGUUUUGAAAGGCGAAGCUACACUACAAAAUCAUGGAAAUUGUUAGGGAGACAAAUGCAGUUGGUGGGGCGUUCACUCUUCAGCACCUUUCGGCUGUGUUUCUUCGAUCAAAUAAAGGAGUGGCUACCAGUGUACCACAGCAUCGUUCAAAAGCAAUGAUGUCUUAAGCUUAAAACGUGGUGGCUUGGACAUUGAUUUCAUUGACGUAGAAAUAAAGGGAAAAUACAGAUUUAGCCUCUAAUAUUUUGCCUUUCGGCAGUUUUAGUCAUUAAAAUUUUGAAAAAUGCAAAUUUGAUUCUCAAUGUUUAGCACAUGUGCAAUUUUAUCCCUAAAAUAUUGGUAGGAACAAAUUUGGUCCCCUAUGUUAUAGUCUUGAAGCAGAUUUACGAUGAUUGACGAAUUUUUUCAAAUAUUGGUAGAAUCUGCUACGUGUGAUUACAUGCUUGUUAAUUUUAAAUAUCUUAAAAAAGAAGUAAAAUAGUGAGUACUCUUCAAUAAUAAGACCAGUUUACAUGAUGCCAUGCCAGUAACUAAUUAAUCAAGAGAAAAAAAAGAAAUAAAAUUUGUUAAUCUAUAUGAAAAAGUAAAUGUUACGAUUUUGUGCUUGGCAUAGUCAGGAUAGAGUGUAAAAAUGAGUUCUAUAUCGAUGAAUUGGGUGCUUCAACUAAUUUUAGUUAAAAAUUUUCAAUUUUUACUAGUUAAUUAGUUAGCAUAUGAAUUAUCAGUUCUUAAUUUUGGUGUUUAAAGUUAGCUACUAUUUUGCUUCUUUGUUUUGAAAUGUAAUUUAAUGGACACAUAAUUAGACGUGACUAAAUUAUGUUAGUAAUCGAAAAAAAUUCUUCAAAUGUCCUAAAUCUAUUUUAAAAUGGAUAUAUUAGGGACCAGAUUUGCCCUUGCAAAAAUUUUAGGGACCAAAACUACACAAUUAUGUUAUUAAUUAUAUUAUUAAAUAUAAAGAAUUGGAUUAUAACUAAGUUAUUAUAUUGUGUAUAUAUAUGUAUUAUAUAUAUACAUCAAUAAAUUAAAAUAUAUAUAUAUAAUUUUUUUUUUCAUAUGCGGGGGAUGGGGCAUGUAUAUGUAGCCCGGCCCCCAGCUCCGUUUUAAGGUAGGGGAAAAUUUUUUCCCCCCGCCCUAUUUCUACUCUCGCGGGCACCUGUCCUUGUUGCCACCCUUAGCUUUAAGUACCCUUAUUUUAGGGUAAAUUAAACGUAAUCUUCUAUGGUUUCACUCAUUUUUAAGGUAGGGGAAAAUUUUCUCCCCCCGUCCUAUUUCUACUCUCGCGAGCACCUGCCCUUGUUGCCAUCCUUAGCUUUAAGUACCCUUAUUUUAGGGUAAAUUAAACGUAAUCUUCUAUGGUUUCACUCAUUGUCAUAUAACCGCUAAAACAUUACAAAAUAUCUAUUUCACUCCCUUAGGUUCAGUCUAAACUUACGAAAAAUAACUUCUGUAACAUCAUUAUUUCAAAUACUAAUAAUGUCCUUACUUAAAUGAUAAAACGAAUAAAUGUUUAACCACCUUGGAUAGAACUGUAGGGAAAUUAUGCGGAUAAAUGUAAAAAAAUACAAUGAGGUAAAAUGCAUAUUUAUUUAAAUCACAGAGGGUUAAGUGGAUUUUAUGAUUCCAUCACACAAGUUUUUGGGAGCGCAUUUAGUUUAAUCACCUAAUCAAUGGUGCAUUCCUUCCAUUUUCUACUUUACAUAAAAUCACAUAAAGGUUGUAUAACUAUUAUGAAACUUUAGAGGUGUUAUGUGGCAUUGAAGAAAAUUAUAGGGGGAUUAUAUGUAAUUUAUUCUUUUUUACAUGAAUUGUAGGUAUACAGAUUAUUUUAAUGCUUUUUCGACAAAAUGAUAUAGAACUUUUUUUUGGGGGGGGUGGGGUGGGGGAGGGGUCAAAUGAUGUUGUAAUCAAUAGAGAGAAAUUUGAGAGUAUUAGAAACUAGCUUCCUGAAUUUCAAAAAAGAAAGUUAAUUAGAGAUCCUCUCUUCAUAUAUAUUUUUUUAAACUCAAUAGAACUUAAAAUUUGCUAGCGCCACACGUUAAUCAAACAAAUUUCAAAACCAAUCGUUGCUAAACCUUAUCCUCAAUAUUUUAAGAUUUUGUCACGUGUAGAAGUGAAAAUCUUUAGAGAGAAUUGAAUCCAAAUUUUGUGUUUUCUGAUAAUUCCUAGAGAGAACGCAAUGCAGAUUUUCAAUGUAAAAAUAUUUAAGAAAGAGUUAUACACAUUGCAGGUUUAUUAGCACAAAGUAAUUAUACUGGUCAAUGAUGAAUGAUCACGUACGCAAUGUGAAUUGGAACGCUGGCAAAUUUGGAACGGAAAGAACAGAUUGGGAGAUACCUAUCACGUAAAAGGAGUCACACAAUAAACUUGGUGUAGGUCCAACGUUCGCUAUUUUAUCAGACAAGCCAUAUGAAUGUAGGUUUGUACAAGGAGAAGUGAGGAUAAAUUGGGUUUAUGUAUUAUCUCUGACCAAAAUUUAAAAUUGAUUGUCUGCUAAAUCAAUUAUAGAAAAGAUUAAGACAAAAAGAUAAAAGAGUAAUAGUAUGCAGUACAUUAACAACAUCAAGCGUUAUACACAAUACAUACAAUAAAUAAGAAGGUAAGACACAGAAGAUGAUGAACUUCUCACACGGAUGUCGAAGGGGAAAAAAAUUACUAAUAAAAAAUAAAAACAAAAGAAGAGGAAGCAGUGCUGUCCACAAGGGAAGCCACAGUGGCUGCUAGGAAAGAUUAUAUGUUUUCUUCUUCUUCUCUUCCCAUAGCCGGUGCUCUCUCCAUUCCCCAUCAUCUGUAUAGUAACCAAUGAGAAUUUCAGGAAUAUGUGCGAUUCUUGUGUAAUCUUCACUUUCUUCCUUCUGAUUCUCUAACAGCUUCUCUCUCAAUUGAGAACUCAUCUCAUACAGAGACAGCCGUUGAAGAUGGCUCAAGUGCUGAAUACCCAAUGGCAGCUCCUCUAGUAAUGGAAGUAGCCGCAGAAAUAGUAUUUGUAGACGAGGCAAUGCACCCUCCUCCACUCUCAUCCCUCUCAGCCCUUCCAUUCUCUUUAAGUGCAUCCACUUCAACUUUAGAAACCCUCCAGCCUUGAAGCACAACCCUUCUCCCUGGUAAGAUCCACAGAAAUUAAUUUUACUCAAAUUGGGCAAAUGUUGGAGCGAUUCAAGCGGAUCCUCCUCGCCCCUUAACCUGCUCCAAUUCAAAUCUAUUCGUAGCAAGCCGUGAAGAUGAGCUACCCAUUGUGGCAUCUUUUCUAAGCGGCCACGCAAAAUCAGCAUACUAAGAGAUUGAAGAAAAGAAGAAGGAUGAUGAUGAUUUAAAUCGAUUAUCUCAUAAUCAUCACCUUUUCCAAUUGAAGCAACGCUUAAUUGCCGAAGACUGGUUAGGUUGGCAAGGGAGGAGCAGAGCUCCUUUCCAUCUUCUCUUCUUAACUUUGUAAUACGUAGUUCUCUUAAUUGGGUCAGCUUUCCUAUCUCCUUAACUAUUGUGGAUCCACUACUUGCAUCCAUGCAGCUUAAUACUUCUAGGGCAAGAAGCCCUCCCAUAUUCGAGGGAGCUUUAAAUCCAUGAUAUCCAUAAUCAUCAUCGGAAGGAACAACUGGUUGAAAUACUUCGAGAAACCGAAGUUUUUGCAGCUUUAGGAUUUCCAUGGGUAAUUCCCUAACUCUUGUGUCAGCCAAAUUCAGAUACUCCAAAUGUUGAAGCUUUCCAAUGGCUUUUGGGACUCUCUCCACUCUCGUACCCCAUAGGUCCAGAUGCUUGAGAUGAAACAUCUUGAAAAUCUCAUUUGGUAUUUCCUCCUGUGUCUCUUGACCUCUCAAAUCCAAAACCUUUAACAACUUGCUACUCCCUAAAACUUCAGAUAACAACAUUUUGGAUAGUAGCGGGCUUAUGGAUUCAAAUGUAACGAACGACCGAAGGUGGUCAAAGCAAUAAUUUCGUCUUUGUUGGUGGUGCGGGGUGUUGUUACUGCUACCACUAUGGACUACUAGACGGCGUACCUUAUCAGUCGGCCACAUCAUCGGCUGUCCAGUAGUAACUGUCACCAUGUUUUGUUCCCUUGACUUGAGAAGAAUAACUUCUCUUAAUAGGUCAUGGAUUCGACAAUAUUGAGGUAUUCCUUCAAAAAACACCUUAGUCACUUGAAUUAGGCUUCUAUUGACGAGUUCAAUGAGAUAACUCCAAGCUACAAUUGCAAAACUCAUUCCUUCCCUCCGUUCCACAUACCUUUCAGCAAUCCACAAAUGAAUUAGUCUAAUGCAUGCUAUUUCAUAAUCCUCUGGGAAGAUGCUUGUGUACAACAGACAUGUCUUUAAAUGCCCAGGCAAAUCAUUAUAACUGAGAGAGAGUAUCUUUUUAACUCUGUCCAGCUUACCCGUGCCUUCUAAUUCACCCCCAAGGCUGCGUCGAACCAUCUCCCAUUCGUCUAUUCUGUUUACAUCUUUUGAAGCCAAAAGCCCGCUGAUUGCAAGGGGCAAGCCCUCACAUUUGUCCAAUAUACCUUUGGAAACAUCCAUCAAAUGGCCAGGGCAAUUACCACCAUUAAAGAUCUUGUUGCAAAACAGGGUCCUCGAAUCCUUUACAGAGAGUGGCUCCAUUCUGUAGACAAGACCCCGAGAUUCAAUGCAAGAGGCAGAGGCUACAUCAGCUCUUCGAGUUGUUAGCAUGACACGGUUGCCGUGGCUACUCUCGGGCAGUGCAAAUUUGAUGGUAUUCCAAAAUUCCACGUCCCAUACAUCAUCAAAAACAAUCGCAUACCUUCCAGCUUGUUGAAGAAAAUCUUUGACAAUUUUUUUCAGCUCAGUGGUAGUCAUAGACUCUAUCGAUUGUGGGACUGGUUUAUUCCCUUCCUUGUGUAACUGCUGAAUCAAGUCUUUCAGGAGGUACUGAAAGUCACAUGUUUCAGAGACAGUUACCCAAGCACGAACUGGGAAAUGCCUUCUGACUUCAGGAUCCUCGUGGACUCUUUUCACUAGGGUAGUUUUGCCAAGUCCUCCCAUACCAACCACUGAAACAACCUUUAGUUGGUAAUCAUCCCCUCGGAGGAGCUCAGGAAUAAGACGUUUCUUGGGCUGGUCAAUGCCAACUAAUUUAGCUUCUUCCACAAGCAGUGCGUCAUCUCUGCUAUAGCGCCAUGUUGUGUUGUUCACAGCAGAAAGUGAGUUGGACGCUUGGGCAGAGAUACCAUAUUCGGAUUGGUAUCUUUGAUGACCUUCAGAAAUACUUUUGAUUCUGGACUUGAUGCUUUGUAUUUCGCUAGCAACUCGAUGACGAGCUCUCAAAUUCUUGAUGGAGCUGAAAAUUCUCCGAACAGAGCCGUAGAAUCCUGUUGCGCGAUGCCGAGCAAAGCGAGCUACAAAUUCAUCAAGAAUGUCCUCAGUGUCAUAAGCAGCAUCUCGCACUUGCUUGAUCCAUUGUUGGAGCGUGGGUUGAGCAUCUUCUUCUCUUGCUUCUGCCUCUCGCAGGAAAGCUCUCAUUUGCUCCAACUCAUCCAUGAUGAAUUGGACCUCUUGCCGAAGCCCUCCCAAUAGUCGUCCCUCCUCGUGCAGAAAAGUUGAGAGUUGAUCCAGCACAAAAGAGAGAACAGUUUCUGCCAUUUUUAGUCUUUCUUUUUAACCUAAGAAUGUCGGGGGAGGCGGCUUCUGGUUUAUAGGACAGUCCAGUUGUAGUAUCUUGAAAGGAAGAAGGAAGAGGAGGUUAUAGAUUCAUAAGCUGAUGAACUUCGAUGCUAUAUGGUGCAGUAUUUAUCAAAAAGAAAAAGAAAGAACUAACUGUGGGUCCUUUGGUCGGAUAAUAACAAAGGAGCAUCGUUCAACUACUGCAAAAUGUUCUAUUAUAUGUGCCACAAUAACUCAGGCCCUUCUUUACAAGCGGAAGGAAUAAAGUUAAAACGCCGUCGGAUUGGACUGGACAUUAUUGAUUUCUUUGACGAAGAAAUAAAACUACUGCAAAAUGUUUUGCUCCUCCUGCUAAUAUGUAUAACCUUCCUUCCUUCCAUUGACUAUCACUUGAAUUUUUUAGUCUCAUUACUUGUGUGUCAACUAUUAUUUGAGAAUCUAAUAUCUCUUUUGAUUGGGAAUUUUGAAAAAUAAAAUAUCAUGUAAGUCUAAAAACAAACCUAAUAUGUCUAAUAAUUUUUUAUACGACCUAAAAUUGUAUUAGUUUGAAAACUAACGAAUUAUUUUUCAAUUAUUGUAACUGAUUUCAGAGGACUAAUUUUUUGUAAACUUUCAUCCUAAGUACGUAAUGACAUUUGUGUCUCUAUAUCCACUUUAAAACGUACACGUAAACUAUGUAAAUACAUUUUUUUUAUGUUCAAAUAAAUUAUCUAGACAUAGACUAAUUCAAAUAUUGGAGUAGAGGUGUUUAUUUUGUUCAAUUAUUAAUCAAUAAUAUUUGUCCAAGCAUGUUAACAGAGACAAAAAUGAUGCUACACGAGGAUGGAGGUGCUCUUUUUCUCUUUUACUCUAGUAAGUAUAUUAUUUUCGUUUUCUUCUUUUUAUUUUUAAAAAAUCAUUCUUAAUUAAGAAAAUUAGCGUUAUCGUACUCAUAACAUCAUAAGCCAAAAGAUCAUGUAAAGUAAAUUAAAGUAGAAACCUUAGGAACAAACCACUCAAACUAAUUUUUACAAUAAUUAAUAAAGUAGAAAUACUAAGUUCAGUGUUAUUUUUUGUUAAUAGCAGCUCAUGAGUGUGAAAAUUGUGGAAGAUAGAAGCAAUCAAAUCAGCAUACUAUUUAAACUUAGGAUCCAUGAGCUACUAAUAACUUGGCCAAAGUAUUUUAUCCCGCUGAUUUAAUUAACUUCAAAAGUUUUAUUGAGCUCCAAUUAACUAUAGUAAUAACGUGACUUAGUUCAAAUUACAAAACUCGAUCACAAGUAAUCGUACGGAGUUGAAUAAACCAUAUAAAUAAGGCGCCACAGUAACCAAGUUAGUGUUAGCCCCUUGUGAUCACCAUUUUAAUCUAUUAUCUCACUUCUUUCUUGCUUUUGUUUUUCCAUCCCUCCUUUUCCAGUUGUGAAAUUACUGCAACUACAACUGGAUAGGACGAAAGGCGGCUCAUUUUACCAAUUAGAAACUUGGCUAUGUUCAUAAAAAAGAAGAAAAAAAAAGCCUUGAACUUCAAGAAAAGUAAACAAAUCUCAGCACUAACUUGAGAGAAAAUGAAACCUCUGGCAAUAGCUGAUCCAAACCUACCCUGUCAAAUCCAAGUUUGCCGAAAGAGAGAACACGGGCGAGGAAGAUGAUAAUUUGAAUCAAAAUUAAAACAAUGCAGUAUAUGUGCAAGGCCUUUAGCUAGGAAGAUGGAGUAUCAUAGAGGAGAAGGUAGAGGAGCAGUACCGUUAUUGAUAAACAAUCCCUCAACGUGGUGGACCUAAUAAGAAUGUGGAUCUCAUCCAUUGACUGUCAGAGUGGCACAUGGCAAUAAUAUCGACUGUGACUUUCUCACUUUCCUGGUUGGAUGGUAGAACAAUUAGAUCAGAGUACCUUAAGAUUGUGGACCUAAGAUUGUCGCACAUGGCAAUAAAAUUGAGACUUAAAUGAUAUGGGAUCAGAGUACCUUGUUAGGUGAUCGGAGAAUGCGUAGUUUAGUCAUUUCACGAAAUAUUAGUUGUAUUCAAGUUAAGAUGGAUAGUGCUUAAUUUUCCAUUUAUUACAAGUAAGACUAGGUUAGGAAUAAGGGACAUGAAGUAACCGGAGGAUAAGGUCCAUCAUAUGAGCCACUCGAAUACUAUAUGCUGAAAAAGCAGCUUUGAAACAAAAGAAGAAGCAAAGGCACAAAAUUUUCCUAUGGUUCCUAGAAAUAGCAAAAGAAAGAAGAUAGAAACACAUUAUUGACAUUAUAAAUUUCCAUCAAUUAAUGUUCGUCAUUUUUAUACGGUAACUUACUACAGAGAAAUUGUGAAAGCCGUGUGAGAAAGUUGAGGAUGAAAUACGAGGAAAAUACUUACUCAACAAGAAACUGCAGCAAAAAUAUAUAUAUAUUGGAGUAGAGCCAUAAUAGUCAAUAAAAAAUAAGAAGAAACUAAUGCAAGAGAGAUGAUGGAAAUUGAAUAGAAAGAAGAUAGUUAGCUACGUGAUUUUGAAAGGCGAAGCUACAUUACAAAAUCAUGGAAAUUAUUAGAGAGACAAUGCAGUUGGUGGAAAUUGAAUGGAAGGAAGAUCACCAGAGAGGGACUUAAGUCCCUCCUUGGGCUGUUGGUGAGGGUUCAAACCUCAUCAGCAGCGAAAAAAAUCUAAGGGUUGUGCCAUAACACUCCCUUGGUCUAGUUGGGUCUGUAUACCCACUAUCCCCUAUCACAGCCUCUUUAGGCUCCCCCUCCCCCUAGAUUAGGAUAGAAUAAGUUAUACAAAAUAUAUACAAAAAAGAAUGGAGGAUAGAAUAAGUUAUACAAAAUAUAUACAAAAAAGAAUGGAACAAAAAUAAUUAGCAACGUGAUUUUGAAAGGCGAAGCUACACUACCAGUGUACCACACCAUCGUUCAAAGGCAACGAUGUCUAAACUUAAAACGUGGUGGCCUGGACAUCGAUUUCAUUGACGUAGAAAUAAAAGGAAAAUACAGAUUUAGUCUCUAAUAUUUUGACUUUAUGCAGUUUUAGUCAUUAAAGUUUUGAAAAAUGCAAAUUUGAUUCUCAAUGUUUAGCACAUGUGCAAUUUUAGUCCCUAAAAUAUUGGUAGGAACAAAUUUGGUCCCCUACAUUAUCGUUUUGAAGCAAAUUUAGGAUGAUUGACGAAUUUUUUCAAAUAUUGGUAGAAUCUGUUACGUGUAGUUACAUGCUUGUCAAUUUUAAAUAUCUUAAAAAAGAAGUAAAAUAGCGAGUACUCUUCAAUACUAAGACCAGUUUACAUGAUGCCACGUCGGUAACUAAUUAAUCAAGAAAAAGAAAAUUUGUUAAUCUAUAUGAAAAAGUAAAUGUUACGAUUUUGUGCUUGGCAUAGUCAGGAUAGAGUGUAAAAAUGAGUUCUAUAUCGAUGAAUUGGGUGCUUCAACUAAUUUUAGUUUAAAAAUUUUCAAUUUUUACUAGUUAAUUAGUUAGCAUAUGAAUUAUCAGUUCUUAAUUUUGUUGUUUAAAGUUAGCUACUACUUUGCAUCUUUGUUUUGAAAUGUAAAUUAAUGGACACAUAAUUAGACGUGACUAAAUUAUGUCAGUAAUUGAAAAAAAAAUUUCAAAUGUCCUAAAUCUAUUUUCAAAAUGGAUAUAUUAGGGACCAGAUUUGCUCUUGCAAAAAAUUUAGGGACCAAAACUGCACAGGGACAAAAAAGAUUGAGGACCAAAUUUCCUUUCACCAAAACUCUAAGGACUAAAACUCCACAGGAGAUAAAAUUUAGGGACUAAAUUUUUUCCAGGAAUACGUGAUGCAGAGGAAAGUUAUUUCUUCUGAGUGGAACAGAAAAAGCAACUCAAGACCUAAGCUCAAUUCAGGUUUCUGAUGAAUUCUUUUGUGAAAUCUAGCCGAGAGUAGCUGAAACUAGUUAAGAAUACAAAAUUAUACUUAGUACGCAAUAAGCAGAAAGGCAUCCAAGGGUCAGUAUAAAUUAUCUUCAAAUUUCAGAACACCAGUGCUUGUGCACCUAUUAAUGAAUUAUGGACUCGAUAAUAGUAUAUUUACUUUAAUGUAAGCUUUAAGUACUCCCCUACCUUGUUUUCUUUUACCUGAAUAGAUAGUUUCAAUGCUUAUUCUUCGACUAAAUGAUGUUGUACUUUAUUUGUUCAUUUUUUUCUUUUUGUUUUUUUUUUGUCAAAUGAUGUUGUACUAAAAAAGAGAGGAAUUUGCGAAAGAAUAUAAGGGUUCAAAUCUUAUCUAUUAGAAAUUAGUUUCGUUAAUUUCAAAGAAAGAAGUUAAUUAAAGAUCCCCUCUUUGUAUUUUUAUUUUUAACUCAGUAGAACUUAGCAUCUGCUAACCCUUACAUUAAUCAAACAAAUUGCCAACCAAUCGUUCUUGAUUGCCCACAUGUUGCUAAAUCUCAUUGUCAGCAUUCUUUCUUGGUUGCCUCAUAAUUCUUUAAUGCUGAUUUUUUGUAUUAAGUACAUUAGAAAAGAAUAUGAGUUCCACUUUACUACUAAAAUUGAUUAUUAGCAGAGAAGACAAAAGAGACUGGCGAUGCCGAGCCUUAGCACCUAGCUGUCACGGGCUCGAUGCCCUUCCAUAUGCAUCAGCGCAGAAAGCAAAAGUGAUAAGUUCAGUAAUAGGUGCAAUUGUUCAGUCAUCUUCUUUUUUGGUAAAGAAUGGAAGGGUGAAUACAAAGGUGAGAGCAAAACACCCCCCAUUAAUACAUGACUUUAGUCAUUCAAUAAGAAGUAGAUCUAGAAUUACACUACUGGUUCCUAGAAACAGCUUAAGAAAGAGACAGAGACAAUAUAUAUUGACAUUAUAAAGUUCUGUCAAUUAAUGAUAGGGUGUCGGCCUGUGUAAUAAUAAAACCUACUCAAAGUAAAAGUAAUUUCUGUAGAUAGCGGUGAGCAGGGUCGAAUCCACAGGGAUUGGGAAUAAUUGUUUCUUUUCAAAUUCACAGUGACAAGGGGGGUGUUUUUGCGCAGAGAGUGACAAUCAAAUAAAUGCAAAUAAAAUCCAAGGAACUACUAAAAAUUAAAUAACAAUUUACUAAAAUCAAAUAAAUGAUAACUAAGGAUCUAGCUAAGGAAUAACUUCAGCAAUGGUUCACCUAAUUGAUCAUCGAUGCAAAGCCAAUUCCAAUUAUUUACUAAUAAAUAUGUUAUAACUGUCAAACAAGCGAUGACAGUCAACCCCUCCUUACUGUGUCGGUGAUUAAGGUACGCUCGUCAAUCACUACUCUAAUUGAGAAAUAAUCUUAGGUACGCCGGUAAGAUUUAAUUCCCUAAUUGCCUUACGUAUUAGAGGAGCCCUAUUCUAACCAAAUAACACAUUACCAGGGUUAUUUUAGGUUAGCAUGCGUAUUCCCCUGACACAAACCCAAUCAUGUCAGUUAUCACUAUUUUGAGACAAUUAAACAAUUACAGAUUUAACGUCCCAAUUGACAAUAGAUUAUUAAAUUAAUUAAUUAUCCGGAUCCAAGACAAUCAAUUAAUUAAACAAUCAUAAGCACUGUAACCAGGGAAUAUGCGAAUACCAAUAAAUAAAAGAAAAAGAUAAAAUUAAAUCGAUCUCAUAAUUUUAGGCGAGCCAAAGCGUCCGUUGCUCCUUGACUAGACAAAGGGAUUUAACUCAUCCUUGUCUACUCUUACCGAAAAGAAAAGAAAAGAAACUAAAGAUAAAAGGAAAAGUCAAUGAUAGGGUGUCAUUUGUUAGUAAUUUUAUUAGUAAUUUUCCCUUUUAUCUCUGUCAAAUAUUGUGUUAAUUGCGAAUAUCUACUUAUAUUUGGUUUGUGAACUUAAUUUCAGGAAUGGAACAGAAAACUACCAAACCUGAGGGUCUUUCUGGAGAUAAUUGAGACUUCAAACAAGCCACAGGCCAGGGCCACAGUGCUGAAAAGAACUGGACUCCCAUUCCUUUAUUUUUGUUGACUAAGAAGACUACAACCAGAGAUUUCGACAGAGAACUUCAAGGCUUGGGCCUUUGACUUCGGCAGGGACCACGGAGGAAAGGAAAAGGGCUUUAGGCAUUUGGCUCUUAAGAAGAAAGCAACGUAGAGAGCCAGAAAAACUAAGAAGAAACUUGGAGGCUUGUGGCUAAGUGGUGGGGACCGCACUGAGGCUCAAAACAAGGAGAAGAAUUCGGCAGACUUGUGCUAUUUCGUGGGGACCACUGGAUGAGCUUUGAGUCAUCUUUCUCUUGGUUCUUAAAAGGGGGACAACGUACAGCAGAAAAAGGACGGCUUGAGUUUUAGCUUUUUAGUUUAGUUCUAGUUUUCUUUCUUUUGACUAGCCUUUGACACACGCCAGGUGUUCGACAAUAUUUCCCAACGGGAAAAACAUCUUUUAUUCCUUGCUUUCUAGUAAAAACGCAAUGCCUUUGCAAUCAAUUAAUUCGUGUGGUGAUUUAAUUAUGCGGCGUGACUAAACCUUCCAUCUAGUCAAGGGUCAACUCGACGGCGCAGUCCCGAAAAUUUGUGAGAUCUAAUUAGUUUUCGCGCGUUCCUCAAUUUAUUAAUAUUUGCACGUUAUCUGCUUGAAUUUUCAUGAGAUUAUUUUAUUAUUUGAAUGUCAAGGGUCCGAUGUUCAAUGUGAUUUAUUAAUCUCGUGCCAAUUUAGUCAAUUAAAUCCGUAAUUGUUUGAUUGAUUAAUAUUAGUGGCAACUGGUGUGUUUACACAUUAGGGGAAUGUGCAAUCUAAUUUAAAUAACCCUCGUAGCGUGUUAUUGAUUAGGGCUAGGUUUUUCUAGUGAUUAAUGCAAUUGGAAAAUUAAUUCCUACGGUCGUACUUAGGAGUAUUUUCUGGUUAGGGGUAAUCAAUGGUCGUACCUUGGUUAUCAAUAAAUUAAGGAAAAAUUGGUCGUUAGAAUUCGUCGGCGACUAUAACUAGUCUAUUAAUAAAUUAAGUGAACCUCUCUUGCAUCAAUGAUCGGGUAAAUGGACUGUGUCUGAGUAGUUGUAUCCCUGGCUAGAAUUUAUUUAUUCUUGAUUUAAUUCCUGCUAUAUUUGUGCUAGUUAAUUAUUUAUUUUUAGUUAGAUUGUUUAAUUAUUUUUAGUUGCCUAUCGGUGAAAUCCCCCUCUUACCAAUUGGACUUUAAAAGAGACAAAUAUCUCCAGUCCCUGAGGAGACGACCCUAUUUGUCACUGUCUACUAUUUAGUAAAUUUCGUCAAUUAAUUAAUUCUGGUAUAUCGGAUUCAGCAAACUGUUCGGUAACAGGGUUAAUCAAGUAACCCAUUGCACACCUAGAGUCCCUGCUCCAGUACCUGGAAUUAAUUUUUGACUGCUUUUAGUGGUAUUUAGGUUUUUAUUAUUAUUAUUGCACAGGUUCGACACCUGUCAGUCAAAGUCUUCCCCAUUGUUUCUCCUCACAUCCGUGGAGAAUAACUACUAAAAGCUAAGAAGAAAAAGUGAAAAGUAAGGCUAAGCUAAAAGACGAAAAAACUAAGAAGAAAGCAAGGUUGUCCCUUUCUCCACUGCAAUUUUCUGGUUUUUGGUUAUAGUAUUUUUGUUCUACUCUCUGAAAUAAAUAUAAAUUGCCAAAAGUGAGUAGAAUCUAACAAUUAAUCCACAUCGGGUUAGGUAAUAGAGGAAAUUAAUAAUAAAAUAAAUCAUAAAAUUGCAACCUAUCAAUUUCCCCCACACCUAAACCAUACUUGCCCUCAAGCAUGAUAAUAGCAAACAAACACCAAUAUUUGACAAUGGUCAUUGCUCCGUCUACCAUAUUACCAAGAUACCAAGAAAAACAUAUAUCAAGCAUGGGUGAUCAAGAUCCAAGAAACAUCACUUCGGUUAGCUUCUAAACCACAAACUCCUCUAAUUUCAUGUUAACUAAUCUAAGAAAAAGAAAUGACGCACAACAUUUAUCAGCAAAUGGUCCAACUAUUAAUCAAAAUCUCAACAUUAAAUCCAUAAAUCGGCAAGCUGACUUUUAUUAUACACUAACACAACUUUCAUUUUUUUAUCACAUUUUUCUACUUUUCUCUUUUUUUUUUCCUUUUUUUUCUCUUUUUUUUUUUUGCUUUUUUCGAUAGUAACAAAAGACUUGGUCGCUAGCCAUUGGAGCCUUUUGACGCGAACUCUGACAUUUAUUAGAUGAAAGAGCCCGGUUACUCAGUUUCGAUCGCCACGUGACCACGUACUCAUAGUAAUUACUACUUUUUGACGUGAGAAUUGACACUUUUGGUGAAGAUCCCCGGUUACUCGGUAGUAAAGACUAGCGGAGUACAGUCAACUCUUAUUCACCACUAAAUAAUAUAAAAACUCAAUAUAACACAAAAAUUAAAAGAAAAUUUACAUCAGCUAGUCUCAUUUUCAAACAUGGAGAACUAAGGUUAAUAACCGGACCAAUUCACAUGAAAAUGCCAACAAUCAUUCCCUUUGCCUAGAGAAGUUAACCAAAAAUUAGAAGAGCUACAUAAUCACUGAUAUUCACUAAAGGAAUGCUCUUGGAUUCAACCACAUUAACUCGAUACAUUUUUAUUAUUAAAACUAGGCAAAAGUAGAAAUAGGGACAACAAUCCAACAUCAAACCUUGGCAUGCACAUGUAAACUAAUCACUAAAAAGAAAGAAAGGAAAUGCACGAAAGAUGGCCAAAUAACAAACUAAAAAGAAAGAAAGAAAAAAAUAUGAGAAAAAAAAUAAAUAAAAGAAAAACACCUAAAAACUAGAAACGCUAGCACCCCCCAUUUGCUCCCCCCCACACCUAAAUCACACAUUGCCCUCAAUGUGAUAAACUAACAGCAAAAGGAAGGAGAAGGGCAACGGUACUUCCCUGAAGUCGUCAAAACAGUGGAGGGUUAGGCGGAAAUUAAGGAGGAAUUCCGGUGUGCUGCAUAAAUGCGGCCAAAUUUCUGCAUAAAAGCUGACAAAACUUGCCCAUCCCAAAAUCUCAAUAAAUGUCUCCAAUUGGACAGUUAAUUUCUCAACUCAAAAUCGGCAAUUCCAGCAAAAGCAGUUUAGAAAUUUGAUAAUAGCCACACAAUGACAAGCACUUAGUUCCCAAUCAGGCAGCCAACCAAAUAGAAAUAACAAAUGCUAGUCAAAAUAUCCCAACCAGUGCCACUGAUGCACACACAGGUAAGAAACAAUGCAAACAGGCAACCCAAAUCACUGACAAUGCCCCUCCAAAUCAAUAAUAGAAACCAACAGCUAGAGUGCCCCAACAACUCAACUGAAAACUACCAAUCUCAACAAGUAAAUCAAGCAACCAGGUUUUCCAAAUCAACAGGCAGUAGCAGAACUAAAUCACCCAAUCACCGUGCACGAUAGGCAACAAAAAAAAAUUUUUUUUUUUAUAAGUGCGGGGCUGCCAUGGUGAGUUCUAUAUAUAACACUACUGGUUCCUAGAAACAGCUUAAGAAAGAGACAAAGAGACAAUAUAUAUUUGGACAUUAUUAUUUUUCAAAAAAAAAUUGCUACGUUUUUCGUAAACACAUUUUCCAAUCACCUUUCCACCUCACAUAUAUCAAAUCACUACAUUAAUUUUUCUACAAAAAAAUCUAAAAAAAUGCAAUCCAAACACAACCUUAAAGUUCUGUCAAUUAAUGUUUGUCAUUUUUAUACGGCAACAUGCUAGUACAAAAGAAUUGUCAAAAGCCGUGUGAGAAAGUUAAAAGUUAAGAAUGAAAUACGAGGAAAAUUCUCAUUCGCAACAAAGAAACUGCAGCCAAAAAAAAAAAAAAAAAGAGGAGUGGAGCCAUUAAAGUCAGUCAAAAAGAAAAAGGAAAAAAUAAUCAAUUACAAGAAACUAAAGCAUGAGAGAUGAUUGAAAUUAAAUGGAAAGGAGACUGACAGCAGUGUGAUUUUGAAAGGCGAAGCUACUCUACCCGUUACACUACAAAAUCAUGGAAAUUAUUAAGCAGUUGGUGGGGCGUAUGCGUUCACUCUUCAGUCUUCCAUCAAAUAAAGGGGGUGGCUACCAGCGUACCGCCCUAUCGUUCAAAAGCAAUCGAUGUCUAAACUUAAAAACGUGGCGGCCUGGACAUUGAUUUCAUUUCAUUGACGAACAAAUAAAGGGAAAAUACGCAGUUAGUUAUAAUAGGCAGGGCAAUUAUACCCAACAAAUUGCAAUAUUUCAGAAGUUAGUAUUUACAAAUUGAACUCGACUAGUCUGGAAACAUCACUGUUAUAUAUUCCGAUCAAGAACAUAUACUAUGAAUAAUUGCAGUCGAAUAUCGUUCUUUAACUAAACUGUUAAGAUGAAUUCUGGGAAGUGAGUGAGGAGCUCAAACUAUAGAGACGCAUAGAAACUCUGCCAUUCAAUGUUGUAGAUCUCUUGUUUAACAGCUUAGAAGCCGCUAAUUGGGUAGUCUUUUAACUCAUCUCCAAAAUCUGAAGGCUUUAACUCAUCCCGGACUAGCUAUAAUGCCCCCGCAUGAAUGCUAUAAUUUGUACCUAUAAUCUAAAAAGCGUUUGUCAAAACUCUAUACGAGUCUCCAAGUGUGUGCCAAGUUUCACAGGUUGCAGAAAUGUACUCCAAGUUUCACAGGUUGCAAGAAAGUCCACCUCUUUCGUUGUAAAGAUGAUUGCUCGAGGGCGUAAACUACUACUAACACAUAUGUUACCCCAGUCAGACGACAGAGUGUCCAGAAAUAAGAUUCAAAAGCUUUGAUAGUCUUAACUCAUAUCCAAAAUCUGAAGGCUUUACGUACUGCUGCUACAAGGAGAUCAUUUCAGUUGAUUCAGAGAACCUUGCAUGAAUUCGGUGAAAUGUCCAGCCUCAAACCAAACCUACACAAGUGUCAGAUAUACAUGGCUGGUGUGAAUGAGGAUAUGCAGAUUCAGCUUUGCAAUUCACUGCAGAUGCCUUUAGGCUCACUCCCUGUUAGUUAUUUGGGCUUGCCAUUGAUAUCUACUAGACUGAGAUUUUAUAUAUCGUCAACCUAUUUUAAAUAAGAUAGAACAAGGAAUUCAUAGUUGGGCUAGUAAAAAACUUUCAUAUGGAGGCAGAUUACAAUUGAUAAAAUCCAUCUUAAAUGGAAUUCAGGUUUUUUGGUCUAGUGCUUUUGUUCUUCCCAAAUCUGUCAUCAAGACGUUUUGUAGGAUGCUAACUUCCUUUUUAUGGGCUGGUGAGAUUAGAACUCAUUAGUGUGCAAAAGUUAAGUGGACUGAUAUAUGUAUGCCUAAGAAGGAGGGAGGAUUGGGCUUGUUUGAUUUAAAACUUUGGGACAAAUGUCUAAUCAUGAAGCAAAUAUGGCAUAUUUGCUGUAAAAAGGAUACUCUUUGGGUUAAAUGGGUUCAUACCAACAACUUGAAAGGGUGUUCCUUUUGGGCAGCAAAGAUUCCUGUUAAUGGUUCUUGGGUAUGGAGGAAAAUAUUGUUGAGGCCUGAGGGACGAAGCUCAGCCUUUCAUUAGGCAUCUACUGGCACCCUAUUGGUCCUUUAUAUAAAUAUUUUUUCUGAAAUUUGUAUCAUAUUUCAACGGAAAUGUAUCUUUGCUCUGACCAUUGUGUCUAUGGUCCUUGAAUCAGUUAGGAAUACUAGUGUUGUGAGUUGGAGAGGAGUCCCACUGACCAAAGCCAAUUGGGAGCUAAGUAUGGAGUUCGGAUCGUCUCGUGUGUUUCCAGCAAGAUUGAGUUUGCAUUACUAUAAUAGUGAUAGAAUUUAUGUAAGUAGGAAUUGUUUGAUUCCUGUGUACUCGCUUAAUUCUUUAUCAAUAAAGAUUCAUAUUUGUCCAAAAAAAACCAACAAAAGAAUGACCAAUUACUUGCAUUACAUCAACAAUUAAUAUCAAUUAUGCCAACACUAGCAAAAAAGAAAAACAUUCCCAUGAGUUGUGGUGAAUUAAAUCGAAAAAAGAACAACAAAUUUUAUUUAUUAUAAAAGAAUAUCGUGAAUCUUAGUGGUUAAUAGUGUAAUUAGCUUUUGUGAUGCCACAAUUACACUCCUCUCUAAUAAAUGGACAAAUUGCAUUGCAUUUCAUCAAUAAAUAAUAUCAAAUAUGCUAGCAGUUACAAAAAUGAAAGAUUUCUUACUUUUUUAUUUAUCAAAAAAAAGAACAAAUUUUAUUUAUGAAAUAUCCAAGUUUAAAGAGUACUUCGAACAUGAAAUAAAGCAUAAUAAAUUGGUACUAUGAGUCUCUUAAAAAGUAUUAUGAAUCUUUUUAUAUUUUGGAUAAAAAUAAAUUAAGCCUUAAGAGCACGUUUUAGUAUGCAUAUAUUAGUAUUAAGUAAAAAAAUUUAACACAAAAUAUAAUAAGAGCUGGAGUAUGAUGAAGGAAAAGAGAUUUAUGUUAGGAAUUUAUUGGUUUAAAUUGCAACAAAAAUUAAAUUUAAUGAACUUUAUUAUUGGUAUUAUUGUAACAAUUGAUAGCAUCAAACAUAUCAAUGCCAAUAACAAUAAUAGUUAUAAAGGUGAAACAAUCAUUUGAGUUAUGGUGAAUUAAACUAAAAAAUAUAAUUUUUUAAUGAAAUAUAUAUCCAAUUUCAAAGAGUACAUCAAAGGUGAAUAAAAAUAUUUCCAAAUUCAAUUUGAUUAUUAUAUAAUAAAUAAGCUUAACGGCUUACAAUUUUUAAAUAUAAACUCUAUAAUCGUAAAUCAUGUCAUAAAUGAUAAAUAUAAAUAAGUUUCACCAAAUGAAAACAUUUCUCUUCAAAAUUAAGCUAUUUAAAUUUGAACAAUGGAAUUCAACAUAUCUAAAUACUAUUGUAAUUAUAAUAGUACUAUAGAUCAUUUUAGAAUUCAACAUUAGCGAAAAAUAAUAAUAAUUAGAAAAACUCACUACUGUUUAAAAAUUCAUAGAGUGACUUAAAGGGGAACAACAAAUUAUUCAAAAGUUAAAGAUUUUAACUCAAAUGACAUAAAUUUAACAGAAAGAAGAAAACAUAAAUACUCUUACAAAAUAAAGUCCUCUUGGAACAAAUAAUACUUUAUUACUUGUGCAUUUGUAUUGGUUAGGGCAAACCAAAUUCAAAAAAAUAUAUGAAUAAUAAAUAUCCUUUUUGGUUAACAAGUUAUAAAUUUAAACUCAAAUGACAUAAAAGAGAACACUGAGAUAAUCCAAAUUUAACAGAAAGACAACAACAUUGAUACUGUUACAAAUUAAAUGUGCUCUUAGGAUAAAUAAUGCUUUAUUGCUUAUGCAUUUGUGUUGGUUAUGGCAAAAAAAUACAAAAAAGUAUAAAUAUUAAAUGUCACAUUUUUUGUCUCAAUUACAUUUAUUCUUACAAAAUAAUUUAUUUUCUAAAACUUUUGAGAAAUGUUAUUUGUAGUCACAUUUCUGUUAAUCAUACUCCCACUAUCACUUAAAUCAUAUAGUUUUCAUUUGUUAAGAUAUGUGGUACCGUAUCAAAAAAAAUGGAGUGCAAAUUACAUUUUUGAAAAUUCUAAGAAAAAAAUCUAAAAAUAUCAUGCUCAUGUUCACGUGUAAAAGCACAUGAUCCAUUACUGGUAUCUUAAAAAUGCUUGAUUAUCCAAAUAGAGGAGCUUCCUAAAGAUUGUUGGAGUUUGAAUGGUCAGUUCCCUUGUGAAGUUUCUUGAACAAUCUCGAGACUCAGAUGGUUCUUAGAUGAACAUACGAUUGCAUAAUGGGUGAUGAUAUGUUGAAAUUUGUUAUUAAUUGUUAUGAUUAAUUUCCCCUUUACUCUUGCCAAAUAUUGUUUUAAUUGUCAGAUUCUACUGAUAUUUGGUUAAUUGUGUUAAUUAUAGAGAAUUAUGUGAGACGCGAUCAAAAUGAGCAAAUUUCUAGCAUUCCAAGAGUUAAUUUGAUGGUGGUACGUUUGGGGCCGAUUUCCAAAUCCUAGUCGAACUCAGGUUAAUUUUUGAAGGAAGAUUUUGAAAACUUCAAUUUUCAUUAUUAGUUCUAGAAUUGGAUCAGGGAACUUGGAAUAGUAUUUUUAGUAGUUACUUUUUUCUAUUUAGGAAACAUGUUAUGUUAUUGGUAGUUGAGAUCGAAUGGGAAACAAAAAACAAAAGCAAAGGACGGACCGCUUGAUGUGGAGUUGGCCAGCAACAAUUUCAGAGUGCGACUCUUGGAAGUAGGAUAUACGGCCGUCACUUGUUUCUUUUUUUUCCCUCUUGUCUUUCGUUAGUUUUUUUAGAGAAAAACCAUACGCAAUUGUUAUCAAUGGAGUCUUGUGGAUUUCCCUCGAGGAUGCGUAGCUAAAUUCUAUUUCUAGUCUGAGGAUAACUUGAAGACUUUGUUCUACAAACUAUGAGAUCGAAUCAAUUACACUGUUUCUUUUAUUUGCUGGUAUUUAUUCGUUCUUUGGUUUUAAUAAUUAUGACUAUUAUGUUAUUCAAAUAUCAAAGGGCUCGGUAUUUGAAUUGACUUGAUAGUUGAUUGCUAAUUGAAUCGAUUUAAUUCGUAAUUGUAAGAUUGCUUUAAUCUUGGGAGCAACUGGUAUAACUAGAUUUGUGUUAGGAAAAUGACUAAUCUAACUUAAAGAGACCUUAUAGCGUGUUGAUUGGUUAGAAUUAGACUCUUCUAAUUAUUCAUGCAAUCCGGUAAACAAACUUCUAUGGUCGUACCUAGAGUUAUUUCCUGAUUAGAGAAAUAGUCAACGAUCGUACCUUGACUAUCGACAAAAUAAGGAAGAGUUGGUUUUUAUGCUAGAACUAAUUUAUCAAUAAAUAAUUAAAUUUAUCCUUGCAUCGGUUUAUGAACUUUGUCUGAUAGUUAUUCCUCUUGCUAGAGUUUUGCUAUUAUUGAUUCAAUUUUAUUUUAUUUGUGUUAUUUUGAUCUUACUGAAUUUAGUUGGUUAAUUCCAAGUAUCUCCAAACUCCCCCAAUUAAUUCUCACUUGAAAAGAAAUAAAUUUUUCCAAUCCUUGUGGAGACGAUCCUGCUCAUCACUGUAUACAGUUUUAUAUUUAUCUCGAGUAGGUAAUUAUUAUUACACACACUGACAUCGGUCAAGUGAUGCUUUCCAUAGUCUGAACCUAGUUGAGGAUGACGAAAAUUAGUCUUGCCCUGUUAUGGACUGUAGGAAUGGUGAGAGAGGAAGGGAAGAAGCAGGCCUUGAAAAAAUGAGCUAACUUGUGCAAAGAGUGGGUGGGGAACGUUAACAUAACUUUUUGUGCGUUUUCUCCUGAUGUAAUUGUCGGCAAUAACUUUGUCCAGUGCUAAGGGAAACACCCAUCGAUUUUGCAUUUCUAGUUUGAUAUUUGAGGGCCUUUGCAUCUCUGAAGAUCAAAUGGUACAGUUUGGAAUUGCUGAUGGUUCUGCGGCAAGUGUAUUUUUUUUUUCCUUGAAAUUUCAUCAAAGCCGCUCUUCUUUUUUUUUUUGUCUUUUUUUUUCUAAUGUAAGUGAGAAGGUUUGAACCCAAUAGCUCUUAUUUAUACUCCGUUCUCUCGUACCAUCUAACCCAUUCCUCUACUAUCAUCAAAAUUGCUGUUUUAAGAAGUAAGAACAAGCAUUAAGUCAUGUCCAGUGCUAAGGAAAACACUGGUUGAUUUUGCAUUUCAAGUUUGAUGUAUAGGGGCCUUUUCAUCUCUGAAGAUCAAAUAGUACAGUUUGGAAUUGCUAAUGGUUCUGCGGCAAGCUCAAUAUCAAAUGGUACAGUUUUGAUCCUUGUUUUAAGUUAUCAAGGGGUUAAGUAACUUCAUGUUUUGAUCCUUGUACUAUUUUUUUUUAUUUACAUUUUUGGGUUUUCUGGAUAAAAUAGUACUACUUAUCAUAAACACGGGCGAAAUUUUAGAGCAACUUCAGAAACAUGUGUGUUAAAGUGGAGCUCAAGACUCCCAGAUAAUGAGAAUGUACUCAAGCCAAUAGGCCAGUGGUUGCUCUUGAUUACCAACAUAUGCAUAUGCAUAGAUCAUCUGCAUUUUUUGUUCCUAAUUGCCAGCAUAAUCCACAUCUUUUGAUUUUACAAAAAUGCUGUAAAAAAAAAAGUCAUGAGCCCCUCUAUACUACGAGAAGAUGAUUGAUUGUUCACCCAGAUUUUGUCAAGUUUAGAAAAAAAAAAUCUUUAGAGUGAAUUGAAUCAAAUCCAAAUUUUGUGUUUAGUGACAAUUCCUAAAAGAGAAUGCAAUGAAGAUUUUCAGUGUAAAACAUUUAAGAACCAGUCAUGCACAUUGUAGGUUUAUUAGCACAAAGUAAUUAUGCUAGUCAAUGAUGAAUGAUCUCAUAUGCAACGCGAGUUGAAACAUUGGCAAAUUGGGAAAGGAAAGAAUAGAUUGGGGAUACCUAUAACUUAAAAGGAGUCAUAUAAUAAACUUGGUGCAUGUUCAGUAUUCGCUAUAUUUACAAGACAAGCCAUUAUUGAUGUGGGUUUGUACAAGCAGAGUGAGGACAAAUUGGGUUUAUGUAUUAUCUCUCACCAAAAUUUAAAAGUUAUUAUUUGGAGCUUUUAAUGAAAAUUUUCUGGUAGAUAUUAUUAACACACUUCUAACCUGCCUACCUUCUUGGACUGGACAUUGUUGAUUUCAUUGACGAAGCAAUAAAACUGCUACAGAGUCUUUUGCUCCUUCUAGUAACAUAUAUAACCUUCCUUCCUAUAUGGAAUUAAUUUCUGCUGACCAAUUAGUAUUUGUAAUAAAAACGGAUGGAAUAUCAAAGAAGCCUUGGGAACAAAAUGUGAGACUACAUUGAUUUAGGAGGCCUUUGAACAGCAUGGAAAUUUAGCACAUGUGCAAUUUUUAGUCCCUAAAAUAUUGGUAGGAACAAUUUCGGUCCGCCAUGUUAUCGUUUUGAAGUAGAUUUAGGAUGAUUGAUGAAUUUUUUUAAAUAUUGGUAGAAUCUGUUACGUGUGAUUACAUGUUUGUUAAUUUUAAAUAUCUUAAAAAAGAAGCAAAAUAGCGAGUACUCUUCAAUAAUAAGACCCGUUUACAUGAUGCCAUGUCGGUAACUAAUUAAUCAAGAGGGAAAAAAAAGAAAAUUUGUUAAUCUAUGUGACGCCCCCACUUCUCCCUAAGGCGAACCAAAGGGUAUCCGCGGGACGCCUGCCCAGCUCUCGCCAGGACUCACUACAAUCCAUCAUUUAAAAGCUCGAAAUACUUUAAGUAACCUCAAUACAUAAUUAAAGUAUUUCAAAUAUCUCACACUUACAAUUAUGCAGCUUUCAAGGUUAAAUACAACCCAACGGAAAAGGGUACAAUAGCCAUCCGUUAUAAUAUAACUUAAAGUUUUCAAAAGAAAACAAUCUAGUACUACUCACGAGCACCCUUGGUCUCGAACCCUGUAAAAGAAAUCCACAACGUGGUAUGAGCUACACAGCCCAGUGAGGUUCCAAGACACUCUAACAGUUCAAAUAAAUCAAGUAAGUUGGGCAUAUCAUAUGCAUGGUUCAAGGUUACACAAUGGCAUGUUAUCAUGAGGUGAUAAUCAUUGUACGGGUAAUUUGAGACAUUUAUCAUGGUAUGAGACAUUUAUCAUGAGACAGGUAUCAUGGUAUGAGUACAUUGGUCAGGUAACAGGUAUGGAGCAUAUCACAGGCAUAGCUCAGGAUUUCAUGUUGGCAUUUUAGCAUGAAACAAUUAUCAUGAUACAAGGUAAACAUAUACGGUAGGAUACGGUGUUCCAGUGGAACUCUGUCGGUCAUCUGCACCUUAUGACUUCCGGAUCCCCUCGGUUUGACUGGCCAUCACCUUAUCCCUCCAAUGGUAAUACUCGAGUAUACCGAAACGGUGUCCCAAGGUUCCAACCUACCCUACCGAGCCCAGUCCUGGCUCGAGUAGGUUAGUAACGAUGAGCAGGGCCCAAUUCAGCUUAGAGCUUACAACAUGCACAAGUAAUCAAGUAAUUCGGCAAAAGGUAAAAUUCAUCAUUUGAGUAGGUCGAGUGAGGUAAAGUACACACUCGCCUAACAAUGAUGGACAACUUCAUAUAACAUGGGAUUCAUGAUAAUCAAGUGAUCAAGUAAGUUGGUGAUUACGUAAGCAGAUAAUCAAGUAAGCAAGUAGCCGAAUAGAUUAGAAAACGGUAAGUAAACAUGGUUAACGGUAAACGGUUAACGGUGGUAAUUACGGUUAAUUGGUAGACAUAUGUCAUUUUAAUAGGCCACCAUUGGCCUUUUUCACUUUUUCCACAUAAGAGUCGAGGAGAUUCACUCCAACCGACUUAUGCUGUCAUAGCAUAAUUAAUCAUUUAAACACAUCAUGUAGAUAUGCUCUCCAAGCAUUUCAUAUCUAAUAUUUCAAGUAAUCACAUAAAUAUGCUCUUUAAGCAUUUCAUAUCGAAUAGUUCAAAUAUACAUAUUUCAGGUAUUUCAUGUCGAGUAAUUCAAGUAUACCUUAUUCAGAUAUGCAUGAGUGUGGUAAAUACUUAACAUAUAGCACUUAACACUUAAUAAUCAUGGGUUAUGCAUGUCAUAGACUUAUUCCAAUUACGUAUUCCUAUAUGGAACACUCACCUAUAGCAACAAGAGAGUAAUACUCAAACAAAUGUCUAGGCGUCCACUUCGAGUUCCUCUUGAAGGUCCCCUUGAGCGCCUGGGCAAAUAACCAUUAACUAUUAUACACUAUCACUUAGAACCCCUACUUAUCAAAGAAGGUUAUACAAUCUAAGGAGAAUUCAUUAAUUGGGCCUUAAUUAAUAAUAAUCGAGGCUCAAGAGUAAAGUUUUAAAGUCUAAAGAGAGAGACUAAUAUUUUUCAUGAAAUCGAGUUCAAAAUGUUCAAUCGGUAUUGAGAAAAGAAGGCAAGUUUCCAAAAUCUCAUUUUCUAAGAAAUUGACAAAUUUCAGCUUUGGGUGUCAAUUUUAGAAAAAUCGUAUCUUGCACUAUGUAGGUCCAAAAUUGGAAAGCUUGAUACCGUUGGAAACUUCUUCAAAAGCGCUAAAAGUUCCUAGAAGAUACUUUUCCAUGAUUCCAAACAGAAGGUAUUCAAAAAUUGACUCAAAGUUGCUGCUUGGGACCAUUUAGACAGUUUCGGGGUUGGUUUUUGACCAUCUUUGAAAAUCCAGCAAAAUUCACACAAUACGAACUAGCCUCCAAAAUUUAGAACUCAAUUAGAGCUACAAUCAAAGUUUAAAACAAAACAAACGGUACAAGAAUUGAAGUUUUGAGCGCCAAGAUAUAGCAGCUCAAAGUUGGCUAAAAAUUCCUCCUCGAUCAAGAAUUUCCAGAUUUAAACAUGAACUUUGGGACUUUGUUUGAACAUCUAAACAGACUCGAAAUGGCACCAAAUUUGGUAUGAUUAUACUACCAUAUAAGGGCUAUUCCUCUGUCAAAUUUCAUAGAAAAAUAUGCACGGAAAGUCACUCAACGAAAUCACUCAAGUUUCCAAAUUUUUAAGGCAAAGCUGCCUCGUGUAUGAAAAUUUCCUUUUCUAAACUUUUGACCAAGGGAAGAUACCUAAAACAUGUCUCGUUUAUGAUAAUCAGGUCUAGCAAGAAUUCAAAAUACAUUUGAUAGGUGAUUUACAUCAAGAAUUUCGAAAUAACAAGUCCCAAGUCAUUGUUAGUUACAAAUCUGUCCAAGUGGAAAAUUCUAUCACUGUAGCUGUUUCAAACUUUGGCCACAACUCACUCAAUUCAACUUGGAAUUGGGCGUGGUUGAUGGCGUUGGAAAGCUCUCUCAUAAAGCUGAAUUUUCUCAGAAGAAACCAUUUUCAAAUUCCAUUCACAAACAGCUCGUUUUUGAGCAUGAAGAUACAAGUCCUGUCCUGUCUCCUGGAGAGAAACGAAACAGGACAGUGAUUUUCAAUCGAAUGGUGUUGCUCACUCAAGUGGAACUAGAAUGUGCAUUUGGUACCAAUGGAAAGCUGGGAAUGCCUAGUUUCAAAUGCCACCAACGGCACUCAAUGUUGACAUCGGAGUAAAGAGUUAUAGCCGAUACAAGAUGACUGCCUGGGCAAUACGGGAUUCAUUUUCCAGUUUUGCUAACUUUGGAAAUCAACUCAUUUAACCAACCAAAUCAUGUUAUUUUUCAAUGAAAUUUUGUACACACUCACAAUAACAUGUAAACAAUAUAAUCAAGUCAUUAGAACCUCAAAAUUGUGCACAAAAAUGGUCGGACAAGGCAGGGGUAAAACGGUCACUUUUGCUCCAAGCACCUCCUAUGAUUUUCUACCAACAAUACAACAUUAAUCCACUAAUUUAAGCACUAAACCACCAUUAAAUCCAUCAUCAAGCAUGAGAUCAGUCCUCAAGACAAAGGUGGGAGUUCAUAGAGCCCACCCAUUUCAUUUUACACCAUAAACAAGCUACCCAAAUACAAAUACUACCUUAUACAUGUAAGAUGAUCUUCAUAAAGUAAGAUUUAAGUGUUGGAUUAACACCUACUUGAUUAGAGGAUGAAGGCAGAAAUUUCGGCCCCUUAGAUGCUCAAGAAAACCAUGGAUAGCAGCUCCUUUUCUUAGCUCAAUGGGAUCUCUAAAUGUUUAGUUAAGUGUAGUUCGAAUUUGGAGUGAAUUGGAAGAGGUUUGAUGAAGAUUUGAUGAAGGAAAAAUGAAGAACUUGGUCUUGUUUUUCCUUGGAGUUGCACGGCUGGAAUGAAGAAGGAAAAGAAGAGUUGCACGGCUGUUUGAGGUGAUAAAGUGGAGGGUUUUUAUCUGGUGUGAUGCACCCAUGUGAAACUAAAAUGUGUGGCUCUCAUUGAUUCAAAGGUUAACUCUUUUUCCCGCGCGUUUCGUGUUCGAUUCCUCUCGAAUUUGUUUCACUGGUGCACUAAACCUCUAAUGCACUUAUAUUCAUAUAAAUAUUAUUCACUCUCAAUCGUCCCAAAAUAAGGGUCUAAAGUUCCUGAAUUUAAAUCGCGCGUGUGAAAACGCGUAUCUCCAAUUUAAGCGCGAUAACGCGAAACUUCCGAGAAAUUCUUAUAACGAUAGUACUAAUAACUAUCACUUGAGUAUUUAAACAUUAAAAUACCGAAUUUAGGUCCAUUGUACAUGUCUCCAAUAUUCCAAACUUAUUGUACUCUCAAGCGGAUAAAAUCUCCAAGCACUAUUCACUAUUUUUACUAAACGCGCUCCAGGAAAUUAAUUCGUGAAAUGAGUUACUUUAAAAAUAUAACGAAGUUAUAUUACCAUGCAUUUAGGUCUAAUAAGACUAGAAAAUAUUCCUCGAGGCAAAUAUCCAAUUAAAUAAUUUAUUAAGCCACAAAUUAGGCUUAAAAAUAAUAGUUUUUACGAGUCCUCACAAUCUAUCUGAAAUGUUACGAUUUUGUGCUUGGCAUAGUCUGGAUAGAGUGUAAAAAUGAGUUCUAUAUCAAUGAAUUGUGUGCUUCAACUAAUUUGAGUUUAAAAAUUUUCAAUUUUUACUAGUUAAUUAGUUAGCAUAUGAAUUAUUAGUUCUUACUUUUGUUGUUUAAAGUUAGCUACUAUUUUGCUUCUUUGUUUUGAAAUGUAAUUUAAUGGACACAUAAUUAGACGUGACUAAAAUAUGUUAGUAAUUGAAAAAAAAUUCUUCAAAUGUCCUAAAUCUAUUAGUAAAAUGGAUAUAUUAGGGACCAGAUUUGCUCUUGCAAAAAUUUUAGGGACCAAAACUACACAAUUAUGUUAUUAAUUAUAUUAUUAAAUAUAAAGAAUUGGAUUAUAACUAAAUUAUUAUAUUGUAUAUAUAUAUGUAUUAUAUAUGCAUCUAUGAAUUUAAAUAUAUACAUAUUUUCGUAUAUGGGGGAUGGGGUGGGUGUAUGUUACCCUGCCCCCCGCCCCGUUUUAAGGUAGGGGAAAAUUUUCUCCCCCAGCCCUGUCGCAUCCUCCUCCCUAUUUCUAUCCUCAUGGACACUUGCCCUUGUUGCCACCCUUAGCUUUAAGUACCCUUAUUUUUGAGUAAAUUAAACGUAACCUUCUAUGGUUCCACUAAUUGUCAUAUAACUACCAUAAUAUUUCAAAUAACCUCUAUAACAUCAUUAUUUCAAAUACUAAUAAUGUCCUUAUUUAAAUGAUAAAGCGAAUAAAUGUUUAACCACCUUGGAUAAAACCGCAAGAAAAUUAUGUGGAUAAACGUAAAAAAAUACAAUGAGGCAAAAUGCAUAUUUAUUUAAAUCAUAGAGGGUUAAUUGGAUUUUAUGAUUCCAUCACACAAGUUUUUGGGAGUGCAUUUGGUUUAAACACCUAACCAAUGGUGCAUUCCUUCCAUUUUCUACUUUACAUAAAAUUACAUGAAGGUUAUACAACUAUUAUGAAACUUUAGAGGUGUUAUGUGGCAUUGAAGAAAAUUAUAGGGGGAUUAUAUGUAAUUUAUUCUUUUUUUACAUGAAUUGUAGGUAUAUAAAUUAUUUUAAUGCUUUUUCGACAAAAUGAUAUAGAACUUUGGGGGGGGGGGGUUGGUCAAAUGAUGUUGUAAUCAAUAGAGAGAAAUUUGAGAAGGAAUAUGAGGGUCCAAAUCUUAUGUACUAGAAACUAGUUUCCUGAAUUUUAAAAAAGAAAGUUAAUUAGUGAUCCUCUCUUCAUAUUCUUUUUUUUUAAAUUUUUAACUCAAUAGAACUUAAAAUUUGCUAGCGCCAUACGUUAAUCAAACAAAUUGCAAAACCAAUCGUUCUUGAUUGCCCACAUGUUGUUAAACCUUAUCUCCAGCAUUCGUUCUUGAUUGCCCGCCUAAUUUACCUAGAUUUUGUCACCUUUAGAAGUGAAAAUAUAGUUUAUUAGUUUGAUUUUGACCUUUUACUAUUGACUAUUACUUUUAUUGAAAAAACUAAUAGUGAAAUUUUAACCUAAAUCAUGAGGAAGCUAUAUAUAGGUUUUUUUCAACCAUAUGAGAGUUAUGUGGUAAAGUACCAAAUCAUAGGGGAUAAAAUAUAAUUUACUUAACUUAAUAGGGAAAAUGUACUUUUCAUCCCCAUAUGAGAGUUAUGUGGUAAAGUACCAAACCAUAUGAGAGUUAUGUGGUAAAGUACCAAAUCAUAGGGGAUAAAAUGUAAUUUACUUAACUUAAUAGGGAAAAAUGCACUUUACAUCUCCAUUAUUUAGGAUGUUAGACAAUUUCAUUCCUAAAGUUUGAAUCAAAACACAUUUCAUCCUCAUAAUUUUAUAAUUUUGACCAAUUUCAUCCCUAAAAUUUCAUGCAAACACAUUUCAUCCUAAUAGUUUCAUAAAUUUGACUAAUUAAGGACAAUUGAUAGAUUGUCAAGUAAUUUGAAUGAAAUAUCAUCACAUGACCAUAGAGUACCGAAUAGUAAAGUACAAAAAAAAACACUGGAUCAACAAAAAAACUCAAAAAUUAUUUUAUAAUUCACUUUAUUAUUUAAAAAAUAAUAAAUUUUUAACCACUGUUACUCUCUUCUUAAUCACAAAUUGUACAAAAAGUUUGAGAGGAAAUGACGUCAUGGACAAGAAACAACCCUAUUAUAGCCAAUUGAAGAAAUUUUUCAAACAAUCCCAUUGCAACCAAUUGGAGAAAAAUAUUAACGUGAAAGAAAGAAUUUUUAGAUUGUCAUUUAUUAUGCAAAAUUUUGUUUUGUUGCAUCAUAUAUUUUGUUGGAGAAAAAUAUUAACGUGAAAGAAAGAAUUUUUAGAUUGUCAUUUAUUUUGCAAAUUUUUGUUUUGUUGCAUCAUAUACAUGUUUUUCAAAUUGUUUACCUAUCAUCUAAUCUAUUUUUUUUAUCUCACAUAUAUCAUAUCAUAAUUUUUUUUUAAAAAAAUCUCUUAUUUGAACACACUCAUUAUUAUUUAUGUAAUUUAAUAAAGGGUAAAUGUAACGACCCCACCUCCCCCUAAGGCGUACCAAAGGGUUCGGCGGACCGCCUGCCCAGCUCUCGCCAGGACUCACUCACUUACUACAUUCCACAAGUAAAUUACAAGGUACAACUCAAAUAAUACAUCCAAUUCUCCAAAAUUACAUAUCAUAAGCGAAGCGGAAACUAGUUCUAAGCAUAAAAUAUAGAUUUACAUCCGAUUCAAUUCCAAAUAUUUAUACAGCCCAAAAGUACAUAAACCAAAACCAAAACUAAACUAUACAAGAUGUACGCCAUCCAGCCACCCAAAGAUCCAAAUACAAGUUCUUCCUUUACCUCGAUCCCUGUGGGGAGAAGAAGAUAAUAGGGGGUGAGCUAGAAGCUCAGCGAGUGACCAGUAAAAUCAACAGCCAAGUAUAUUUCACAAUCAAGCAUUGAUAUGAUGUCAUGAUGCAGUAAUCAAAUGUUCAUUUAUUGCUCAUGUGAGCCAGUGAAAUUCUUGUGCUUAAAUAUCCAAUGCUCGUUUAGAUCAAGUAACCGUGAAACAGAAGUAAGGAGCCAUCGGGCUCCAAAGAAUGUGUAAACAAUAGUGGAGACAUUGGUUCUAAGCACAAGACUUUCCAGGAACUCAUUGGAGCCAAUUAUGUCAUGGCACACACCCGAACCCCAAAUGAUAUGCAAUGGAGUAAUAAAUGCAAGAAUUAGUUCAAAAGUAACUUUGGGGACAGUCGAGGGAUCACUCACUCAAACUAUAGUGCUUCACGUAGUCACGUUCAAUUAUACUCCAGGUUUGGAGUCCAGAUCUGCGAUAGAAAUCCAAUUUGAGAACUUUGAAACACGAGUAAGAUUUGAAACUUAAACGUUCCGUUCAUAAGAAUCAACCAAUUGAAAUUCAUUUGAAAGGCAUUCGUGAAACACUUGCUCGCUUUUCAAAUCAUAAGGUUUUUUUGUAGCAUAUAUACUUGGAAACAAUACUUGAGUUAAAAGUACAAGGAAAUACAAGUUUACAUUGGCCAUUAUAUCUUUUCCUCAAGAGUACAAGUUCGUUUAGGUUUUUAACGUAUAACCAUUGAUAACAAAGUAGCAAAAGUUCUCGCUAGUUCAAGUGGUAAUCACUUAACCUUCACUCAAGUUGCAAAUAUAGUUUUCUAGUUCUCGAGUAAAAAUUCGGCAGCAUGCCCUUUGUGUUUACCUAAUUUUCCAGCCAUUUAGGCUUCAUUAUUUUUCUCAACCAAAACCCAACAUCACAUAUAUCAGCAAUUCAUGACAAGAGCCGUUCCAUAGGCUCACAAUAUCAUAAUAAUAAGAUUCACAACGAUAGCAAGUGCAGAAAUUCAAUCUAGCACAAAACAGAUUUGACGUAUGAAAGCGGAAAUAACAUAUCCGAGGCUACGCUUAUCGGAUUGAGGUGCAACCUAUGCCGUUUCGAAGCUAAGACACAGGGCUACAAUGUUCAUGAAGGUCACUUAGUCCAGUUUCUAAUGUAACUUGGUCAAAUUCUCAAAAUACUAAACCAGAAACCAAUUCAUCGGCUGUUUAAACGCAGAACACUGUAAUGGUCAUAACUCAGUGUACACAAGUCCAAAUCAUGUGUUCUUAGAGGCAUUUUAAAGCUACUUCAGAACACUACAACUUUCAUGUUUUGGCCCAGAGCUAAAUCAGAAUGGAUCCUGGUCAAAAAUCGUGAUAAACUGGACCUAACUGCUGAAACGGACUGCUGGGAAAUACUUAAAACAGUAGGGGUAUUUUGGACUUUUCACGUCCUGCGUUGCUCCGAUUGAGCUGAAAUUUUGUAGGCACCUAUAAAAUGCCAUUCUCUACAACCUUUCUUCUUUGACCUAAGGCCAAAUCAGCCUCUAACACACAGAUAAAAAUUCGGACAGAAUGUGGAGAGAAUUUUCCAGAUUUUGGAAUUUUUGAGUUUCUAGUGAAUCUUUCCUUAAUUUCUUGGUCCAAUCACUACCAAAACACCAUAUAACACCUCAAUUGCAACAUAUAAACAUCAUACAAUCAUUUGGGCAGAAUUUCCACAAGCCCUAGUUCAUCAAAUAAAUUGGGGAAAACUACUAAAACAUGCUCAUCAUCCAUGAUCUCACCAUAAAAUCAAGUUACUAAGCUUAAUUAAACAAGAUUAGAAGUGAAACUUGGAGAGAUAAACUCUCUUACCUUGAAUAAAAGUCACCAAGAGUAGCACAAGCUCUCCCCUUCAAGAAUCACACCACAACUCACUAGCUAGUCACUAGAAAACAAGUUUAAUCGGUUUACUUCGCUCGAUUCCUCACUUAUUUGUUGGAUUUGGAGAUGAAAUGAAAGAUUUUCCCUUGGAGUUUCUCUUCUUGUUGUUCUCGGCCAGCAGCACCCAAAAUGAAGAAGAAAAAUGCUAAGUGUUGGAGUUAAAUGGUUGGGGUUAGUCUUGGGUAAGAAGCCAUGAGGUGGUGACAAGUGUCACCACCACCACCUUUCUUUUUUCUCUUUCCUUCUUGUUAUUUCUAGCCUCAUAAUUUCGGUCAAGGCUGCUACAAUAUAAGAAGAUAUUAUGUGCAAAAGUCAACAAACUUGUUGGGUAAGAAAAAUUGUGGUCAAGCAGUACGUUCAAUCGGUAAUGCGCGGGACCCGCCGGAUCGCGCCGUUUUUCUUAAAAACUCACGUACUAGGUUUUUCACUUCCCAUUCACAAACCUUAUAUCAUUGCCACUAGUCACAUCUUAUUUCUCACUUAAAAGUCACUUUUAAUCCCCAAAUUAAUUCUUACUUUGUACCGAAAAUUCAUUCGGCUAAAAAUCGCGAAAACCCUAAUUCCGCUCCAAACUUGAAACCGAAGCGUAAAACCCUAUUUUCUAGGUCUAUUUACACUUAGAGUGAAAUAUUUGGGUAGUGGCCUUUGAUAAAUAAUAAUUUUCAAAUAAAAGGGUAUUUUAGUACUUAUUGGGCCUUAUCGGAAAGCCUUAAAGAGUUGGCUCUUUAAGCUCUUUAUGCGGACCGAAUUUCUUCCAGAUUUAUUUGGGCCGGAUUCCUCACAAAACUCUAUUCACCAGAAAUUUUUCCUUUUCUUCUGCCUCGGGGCGUUACAGUAAAAUACAUAAAACCCCCAUGUGGUUAAGGAAAUUGAUACGAAACUUCCUCAUUAUUCAAAAACUCCCACAUAACCUCCUUGUGCUUUGGACUAAUUUGGAAAAUGGACGGAAAUCAUCCAAAUUGAUGGAAAGAUAUAAAUUUCCUAUAUUAACCCUAUUUACAAACUGAAUCAAAGUUUAACUCAAGUCUCAAUUAAAGUUUUAAAAACUUUCUUCCUUCAUUUGAAACAAAGGUAGAACUAAGGGGCUCAUUUGAAAUUUUAUAAGAUGUAUCAUCUUCUUCAAGGAAAUGUCAGAACGUUCUGGGCUUUGCGGUCAUUCCGGCUUCAUCCUACAUACCAUCUUCGAGCUUCCUAGCUUCGGAGCUAAGACGCCGCCAAAGAAACAGAGAUGGAUAUCUCGCGGCAUGCUCCUAGUUGCUCUUAGUAGAUAGCCAGGCUUUAUACUUCCCAACGACUUAUAUUGAUUCGUUCCCGGCCUUGAGAAAUGCCCCACCGUGCCUUAAGAAGGUCUGAUUCUUUGGCAGUUGAACAGGCAGGCGCCAGAUCCCGCCCAAGUGACAUAGAUUUAGCUAUUUUAGUGGGGUUCAUCCUUCUGUUUCCUCAAAUCAAGUUUACUCCGUCAAAUGGUUUGAUGCCCAAUUCUACUUUUUUUCUUGAAUUUGAAUCACUUCCUCUUUAUCGUCAUUCUUCUGUUUAACUGCGUUCUGGGCUUUGCGGUCAUUCCGGCUUCAUCCCACAUGCCAUCUUCGAGCUUCCUAGCUUCGGAGCUAAGACGGAGCCAGGGAACUCAACCCGUCCAUUGCCUUAUUUGAAGUGGAAUCAGCAGCAUAUUGGCAUCAAAGGCCUUCAUACCAUUCUCUUUGAAUGCUCUAGGCACUCAGCCUUUUAUACGGUGGAUCGGCUGAGGUCUAUCGGCCUCGCCUUGUUCACCAUCUUUGGAUUCCGGCACAGCAGCAUACUCGCUACUGUCUCUGCCGCCGAAUCAGAAUCGAUCUCUGAAGGAAUGGUACUUGUUGUUGUUGGCGUUGUUUUUCCCAAUCCCCUCUCCCUGGAGGGCCGCUAUUCUGCUUCUUUGCAUUCACGAUCAAUUGGUGUUACGUUGGGAUCAAUUGAUCGAGAACUUUUUGUCAAUUUUUGAGACUAUUAGAUUGAGAAUUUUUAUUGUUAUUUUGUGCUCUAUCUAAUUGGAAAAUUUUUGGUGUUAUUUUGGGAUCAUUGAGUGUUGAAAGAUUGGUGGUAGAGUUGCUGGUGAUUGGUGGUGAUGGUGGAGCUACUGGUGAUCAGUGGCGGUACUGAUGAUGAUUGGUGUUCACUGGAGUCGUUGACCAUUUUGGUGUUAUUGACCAGUUUGGUUGCGAGCAGGAAAGAAACGGAGAAGGAAAAUAAACAAAAAAAAAAUUGACAAAACACUGCAAAAUACUAAAUUGUCCUUGACAAUAUCACUUGAAACUCCCUUAAUAGACGAGCUUAUCUCAAACGCCGUUAAUUUGGAUGAUUUCCGUCCAUUUUCCAAAUUAGUCCAAAGCACAAGGAGGUUAUGUGGGAGUUUUUGAAUAAUGAGGAAGUUUCGUGUCAAUUUCCUUAACUACAGGGGGGUUUUAUGUAUUUUACCCUUUAAUAAAUAACCGAAUUAGGUAUUAACAAUACAAUUAUUAACGGGACAUGUUAGUCAUGUGAUGAUAUUCUGCUUAAAUUGGUUAAAAAUCAUUCAAUUGUCCUAAAUUGAUCAAAUUUAUGAAAAUAUGAGGAUGAAAUGUAUUUGCAUGAAAUUGAUUAAAAUUAUAAAAUUACAAGGAUAAAAUGUGUUUGGACUGAAAUUGUUCAACACCCCAAACAUUGGGGAUGGAAAGCGCAUUUUACCCUAACUGAAUAUUAGCUAGCCCUUACAUUGGUAGAGCAAAUGGGUCAGUGGUUGCUCUUGACCGCCAACAUACUUUUUUUUUUCAUUAAGUGUAAGCGGGAGAAUUCGAAUCCGAAACUUCUCGUUUACACUCCCUCCCCCCGUACCACCCAAUCCAACCCACCCCCACGUAGAUCAUCUACACUUUUGCUCCUAAUUGCCAGCAUAAACCAUAUCUUUUGAUUUUCCAAUAAAUACUGCAAAAGAAAAAAAGAAAAAAUGACGUGUCCUUGUAUACUACUAGAAGAUUAUUGAUUGUGCGCCCAGAUUUGUCUAGUUUAGGAAAAAAAAAUUAGAGUGAAUUGAAUCGAAUUCAAAUUUUGUGCUUAGUGAUAAUUCCUAAAAGAGAACGAAAUAUAGAUUUUGAGUGUAAAAAUAUUUUAAGAAAUAGUGAUACAUAUUGUAAGUUUAUUAGCACAAAGUAAUUAUAAUACUCAAUGAUGAAUGAUCAGCAGAUUUGGGAAGGAAAGAGCAGAUUGGGGGAUAUUUGAUCAACAUAUCCAACAUUCGCUACAUUUACCAAACAAACCAUAUUAAUAUAGGUUUACAUAUUAUCUCUUAUCAAAAUUUAAAAUUGAUCGUUUGCUAAAUAAAGAUUAAGACACAAAAAGAUAAAGAGUAAUACUAUACAGUACAUUAACAAAAUCAAGCAUUAUACACAAUACAUACAAUAAAUAAGGAGGUAAGACACAGAAGAUGAUUAACUUCUCUCACCGUCACGGAUGUCGAAGGGGAAAAAAUUUACUAAUAAAAAAUAAAAAACAAAAGCAGUUUUGUCCACAACAGAGAGGGUGCAAACCAGAGAAAGGGGAAUGAUUUAUGUUUUCUUCUUCUUCUUCCCCCAUAGCUGGCGCUCUCUCCAUUCCCCAUCAUCUGUAUAGCAACCAAUGACAAUUUCAGGAAUGUGUGCGAUUCUUCUGUAAUCUUCACUUUCUUCCUUCUGAUUCUCUACCUUUUCUAUCAUUUCAGAACUCAUCUCAUACAAAUACAGCCCUUGAAGAUGGCUCAAGUGCUGAAUACCCAAAGGUAACUCAUCUAGUAAUGGAAGUUGUUCCAGAAUGAGUUCAUGGAGACGAGGCAAUGCACCCUCCUCCACUCUCAUCCAUCUCAACCCUUCCAUUCUCUUUAGGUGCAACUUCUUCAGAUUGAGGAACCCUCCAGCUUGGAAACACAACCCUUCUCCCUGGUAAGAUCCACAGAAAUUAAUUUUACCCAAAUUCGGCAAAUGUCGGAGGGAUUCAAGCGUAUCCUCAUCACCCCUUAACCUGCUCCAAUUCAAAUCUAUUCUUACCAAGCCGUGAAGAUGAGCUACCCAUUGUGGCAUCUUUUCUAAGCGGCUACACAAAAUCAGCAGAUGAAGAGAUUGAAGAAAAGAAGAAGAAGAAAAGGAAGAAGGAUGAUGAUGAUUUAGAUCGAUUAUCUCAUGAUCAUGAUCACCUUCUCCAAUUGAUUCAAUGCUUAAUCUAUGGAGACUGGUGAGGUUGGCAAGGGAGGAGCAGAGCUCCUUUCCAUCUUCUCUUCUUAACUUUGUAAUACCUAAUUCUCUUAAUUGGGUCAGCUUUCCUAUCUCCUUGACUACUGCAGAUCCACUACCAGCAUCUAUGUUAUCCAAUAUUUCUAGGGCAAGAAGCGCUCCCAUAUUCGAGGGAGCUUUAAAUCCAUGAAAUCCAUAAUCAUCAUCGGAAGAAUCAACUUGUUGAUAUACUUUGAGAACCCGAAAUUUUUGCAGCUUUAGGAUUUCCAUGGGUAAUUCCCUAACUCUUGUGUCAGCCAAAUUCAGAUACUCCAAAUGUUGAAGCUUGCCAAUGGCUUUCGGGACUCUCUCCACUCUCGUACCCCCUAGGUGUAGAUACUUGAGAUGAAACAUCUUGAAAAUCUCAUUUGGUAUUUCCUCCUGGGUCUCUUGACCACCCAAAUCCAAAACCUUUAACAGCUUACUACUCCUUAAAACAUCAGAUAACAACAGUUUGAAUAGUAGCGGGCUCAUGGAUCCAAAUGUAACGAACGACUGAAGGUGGUCAAAGCAGUAGCUUCUUCUUUGUUGGUGGUCCUCCUGGGUGUUGUUACUACUACUAGUAUGGAGUACUAGACGGCGUACCUUGUCGGACGGCCGCAUCAUUGGUUGUCCAGUAGUAAUUGUGACCAUGUUUUGUUCCCUUGACUUGAGAACAAUAACUUCUCUCAACAGGUCAUGGAUUCGACAAUUGUCGGGUAAUCCUUCAUAAUACACCUUAGUCACUUGAAUUAGGCUUCGAUUGACGAGUUCACUAAGACAACCCCAGGCUACAUCUUCAAUACUCAUUCCUUCUCUCCAUUCUACGAACCUUUCAGCAAUCCACAAAUUAAUGAGUCUAUAGCAUUGUAUUUCGUAAUCCUUUGGGAAGAUACUUGUGUACAACAGACACGUCUUUAAAUGCCCAGGCAAAUCAUUAUAACUGAGAGAAAGUAUCCUUUUAACUCUGUCCAGCUUACCAGUGCCUUCUAAUUCACCCCCAAGACUGCGUUGAACCAUCUCCCAUUCCUCUAUUCUGUUUACAUCUUUCAAAGCCAAAAACCCACUGAUUGCAAGAAUUGCAAGGGGCAAGCCCUCACAUUUUUCCAGUAUACCUUUGGCAACAUCCGUCAAAUGGCCAGGGCAACUAUUUCCCUUAAAGAUCUUGUUACAAAACAGGGUCCACGAAUCUUCAAAGGACAGUGGCUCCAUUCUGUGGAUGUAGCCUAGAGAUUCUGUACAAGAGGCAAAGGCUACAUCAACUUUUCGAGUUGUUAGCAUGACACGGUUGCCGUGGCUGCUCUUGGGCAGCGCAAAUUUGAUGGUAUUCCAAAAUUCCACGUCCCAUACAUCAUCAAAAACAAUUGCAUACCUUCCAGCUUGUUGAAGAAAAUCUUUGACAAAUUCUUUCAGCUCGGUGAUAUUCAAAGACUCGAUCGAUUGUGGGACUGGUUUCCUCCCUUCCUUGUGCAAGUGCCGAAUCAAGUCUUUCAGGAGGUACUGAAAGUCACAUGUUUGAGAGACAGUUACCCAAGCACGAGCUGGGAAAUGCCUUCUGACUUCAAGAUCCUCAUGGACUUUUUUCACUAGGGUAGUUUUUCCAAGUCCUCCCAUACCAACCACUGAAACAACUUUUAGUUGGUAAUCAUCCCCUUGGAGGAGCUGAGAAAUUAGAUGUUUCUUGGGCUGGUCAAUGCCAACUAAUUUAGCUUCUUCCACAAGCAGUGCGUCAUCUCUGCUAUAGCGCCAGGUUGUGUUGUUCACAGCAGAAAGUGAGUUGGUCACUUGGGCACAGAUACCAUAUUCGGAUUGGUAUCUUUGAUGACCUUCAGAAAUACUUUCGAUUCUGGACUUGAUGCUUUGUAUUUCGCUGGCAACUCGAUGACGAGCUCUCAAAUUCUUGAUGGAGCUGAAAAUUCUCCGAACAGAGCCGUAGAAUCCUGUUGUGCGAUGCCGGGCAAAGCGAGCUACAAAUUCAUCAAGAAUGUCUUCAGUGUCAUAAGCUGCUUCUAGCACUUGCUUGAUCCAUUCUUGGAGCUGUUGAAUUCAAAGUCUUGAAUUCUUCAAGCCUUAAUUGUUGACUUUUCUAAGGCCAACAAUUGUUGAAUUUGGUGGCCUAAUAUCUGUCCUACAUCGGUGGGAUUAUUGGAAGAACCUUAGCUUGAGAGCUAUAAAUAGCUCUCAAGUCCUUCCAAUUAAAUUGUACCAAGAACAACAAAGAAUUACCCAUAAGGAUUUUGUAAUUCUUUGUAUUCUUUCUUCUCUCCUAAAUUAUAAAAGCAGGUCACUUGAGUGGUGCUCGGAGAGUAGGCAAAAUUGGCCGAACUCCAUUAUCAAUUUUUCGGGUGCGUUCUUUCCUUAUCUCUUUUAUUUGUUCCGCAUUAUUUAUUAGUCUCUUUUCUAUUGUAGUAUAGUAUUCAAUAUAUUUGUCGGGUAUAUUUGUAGUGUUUUAUACGGUUCAUUUGGGUGUAUUUUUCUUAUUCGUGUGUACGUAUUAUUUAUGUAUACACGGGUAUAGUUGUGAUAAUACACCGUGCACGUAAGUUCUGUCUAGGAGACUGGGUUUUAAGUGGGACCGCUUGUGACCCCUCCAGCCUUUCCUGGAAAUUUACUUGGAAUGGUAAUUCUGUCUUAGGAGAUUGUUUCGACGAUCUUUCCUGAGAAUUACUGAAUCGGUUUAAUCACUAGUUGUAUUUUUGAGUGGGAAAUUACCCGAUUUCCCCAACAAGCCUGGGUUGAGCAUCUUCUUCUUUUGCUUCUGCCUCUCUCAGGAAAGCUCUCAUGUGCCCCAACUCAUCCAUGAUGAAUUGCACCUCUUGCCGAAGCCCUCCCAAUAGUCGUCCCUCCUCGCGCAGAAAAGUUGAGAGUUGACGCAGCACAAAAGAGAGAACUGUUUCUGCCAUUUUCAGUCUUUCUUUCUAACUUAAGAAUGUUGGGGAAGGCGGCUUCUGGUUUAUAGGACAGUCCACUUCUUGUAUCUUGAAAGGAAGAAGGAAGAGUAGGUUAUAGAUUCAUAAGCUGAUGAACUUUGAUACUAUAUGGUGCAGUAUACAUCACAAACAAAAACCGCGUCAAACAGAAAAAGAAAGAAUUAACCAAUUAGAAGAAACUAAAGCAAGAAACAGGAUGGAAAUUGAAGACAAGAAGAUAGGCAGCAAGGUGAGUUUGAAAGACGAAGCUGCCUUACCUGCUUACAAUACAAAAUCGUUGAAGCUAUUAAGAAGAUCAGCCUUCAGCUUCAGGACCUUCUUUCAACUGUGGGUCCUUCGGUAGGAUAAAGAUGAAGAGUGACUACCGCAGCAUCGUGCAAAGGCAAUGAUGUCGAAUUAUUUAACAAGGGAAGGAAUAAAGCAAUGGUGUCUGACCAAGUUUUCGGUAUGGACAUGAACGCGUUUUUUAUGUAGUUAAUAAAGAGGAGAGAGCACAAGAGAAUGAGAUCUACUUUAAAUAAAGAAAACCCCAAAAUGAAAAUGACAGUUCUGACUGAAAUGGAAGCCAGCUAUGAGUUUUCCCGGAACAUGUGAUGCAGAGGAAGGAGUUGAACAGAAAAGGCAACUCAAGACCUAAGUUCAAUUGACUAGCAAUAGCAAUAACUUACAGUUAAAGUGCAAUUGUUCAAUCAUAUCUUCAUUUUUGGUGAAGAAUGGGAAGGUGGAUACAUAGGUGAGAGCCAAAAACCCCAUUUUGGAAACCGGAAAUAAAUUACUUUAGUCAUUCAAUAAGAAGUAGGUCUAGAAUUACAAGAGAACUAUCUAAAUACUGCAUAUCAUUUCUUUUUUUUUUUUCCCCCUUUGAUUAUACUCAGUUUUUCUUUUGGCAAAACCCCAAGUUGGGGGAGGGAACUCAGUUAUAUAAACAUAGUUAUACAUAUUUUAAAAUUCAUAGUAAAAGUUCACAUGAAGUGUACAAAUUCACUCAAAACUAUGGGUUAUAAAAACAAACAUUAAAUGUGCAUUUUCAUAUUCUUUCAUGAGUAUACGUGAUUUUUUUAAUUUGAAUCACUGAUUUUGCGCACAUAAUCUUAAUUUUAUUAGUCUGUGAACAUUAGGUGGUUGGCCUGUCCUUCCGCUCUCACGAUGUGCUGAUAAAAAGAUGAAUAUGCUGUGACUGAUGAUGUUUCAACUACACCUCUCUCAGUUUGUGUUUUCUAAUUUUAAAAAUUUUUAAUUGAUAUAUCAAGUAAAGAUUUUCUUUUUCCUUUUUUUCCCCUGGCUUUCUAGACAAGGUUGAAUGUGAAGAAAGAAGUGAGAAUGAAAAUAUUGGAGAUGGAUAAAAUUAAAUGCUCAGCAUAAGACAAUUGAGGUAACGUUUAAGUGUUUAACUACUGAGCCAAAUCUCAUCACCACCAUCUUAUCAUGUCUAAUUAGUCUUUUAGUUCCUUGUAAUGUUAAAAAAAAAAAAAUGGAACCAAAUGGGAGCAUGGAAUCUGUCCUUUUGCAGGAAUAAUUAAUUUGUGGGAAAAUCUUGCUGCAUAUCUGCAUGUACUAAAUAAAUAUUGACUAUAGUAAGCGAGAGUGUAUCCUUGUAAAGAAGAUUUUUAUGUAGGGAUACGAAAAAAGAGAAAUUUGAAACAUGUGGUUGGAUUGGUUUUUCCUGAGUUUAAAGAGUCAUAGGCUAAAAAAGUAGUAGUAAUUCAAUUCUUUUUUCAAAUCCUAGUUCAAAGCCAUAAUUAACUAUUGUACAGUCAUAAUUUGGAAUCAAAUGUGAUCAGGUGCAUUAUUCGAGCUACUGUACGUAUGUGAAACAAAAGAAGAAAUAAAGUCACAAAGUUUUCCUAGUGAUCAAUAGUACGUACUACUGCUUCCUAGAAACAACAUAAGAAAGGAGAUAGAGAGAGACACUAUCGAUAUAUAAAGUUCUGUCAAUAUUUGUCAUUUAUAUAUAUAUAUUUUUACUAUAGAUGAAUUGUUAAAGCCAUGUGGGAAAAUUAAGAAUGGAAUUACACUAAUGUGUUUCAUUCCAAAGCUAAUUGUAUUGUCAGAAAUUAAAUAAUUCUAUUUCAUAAUUUAAAAUAAAAUUUGAUGCAAUAAAAAUUCUUUUUUUGAAUAUGAGACCUUGAUUAUGACAAUACAUGAAUACCCUCAAUGAUAUUAGAAAGUGCAUUCAAAUUUAGGGACUGACAUAGUCCUAAUUAUUUUGUAAGAAGAGUAAUCUUGAAAAGAAAUAACUUAACACUCAACCAUCAAUACAAGCUCACUCUUUUAGCAAAGACUAGUUGGGACGGCCUGCGCGUUGCGCAGGAGGGCGAAUAUUUCCCGUGUUAAGUUGCACAAGUUUUAGUUAUUGUAUAUUUGUUGUAGUAUAGAGAAUUAUAUAGGUGGUAUAAGUUUGGCUUGAAUUAUAAAAUAAUAGUGCGGUAAAUUGGUUGGGUGAAUAUAGUGUUAAUAGUUUGUGAAGUAUGAAGGAUAUUUUGUAAUAUAAUGGUUAAUAAAGUACUAUAAUUGAGACAAUGCAGUGUCAACAUUUUGUGUGGUAUGAUUUGUAUAAAUUAUGUGGUUUGGGUGAGAUAAUUAUAAAGAUACCCAUUUAUAUUUAUGUAUAUCUCUAUUACUCACUAAGUUCCAUAAAUAUGGGCCUAUUUCUUUUUUUUUUUGCACAAAUUAAAACAUUUAAUCAAUAUAAUCACAAGAAUUGCUUUUCUUUCAUUUUUUUGUAUAAUGUCACUCACUAAUAUUAGAUCAUUAAUCCACAUUAAGAGCCAUGUAUUAUUACAUUGUUUUUGAAAUUUACAAUACUUUAAUUUUUUUAAUGUAAGAAACAAUGUAAUUAAUGUUGCAUGUUUGACUAAAAGAAUAAUAAAAAAAUAGCAUACAACAUUGCUUUUCAAUUUAGAGUAAUUUAGAGCCAUUAGGAAAAAUGAAUAUAUACACAUUAAAUUUAGAGCCAUUAGGAAACAUUUUACAAUAAUUAUAUAUAUACAUUAAAUAUGGAUAUUUAUCUAACAAUAUAAAAGCGAGAGUUGCCCCAUGAACAAUAUUUUUUUGUCAAGCGGUUAUCCUGCAAUUGUUAUUGGAUGCCCGGACUAUUAGUAAAUAACAUAUUAAUUAUUCUUUUCUAUAGAACGAAAAAUAAGAAUAAAAACAAGGGCAUUAAAAAUUUGUAAUAAUUAUAUAGAGUAAUACGGAUAUAUAGACUAAUAUAUCUUUAUAAUUGUAUGUUUUAAAAAAUAGUAGGAUUAGAAACCAUUUUUAGUCCAUGACACCUUAACCGAUUUUGGUUAAUUGUGAUAACAAUGUUGGACGUCAUUUUUUUUUUUUUACUGCUGUUCAACUUUUGGGAAUCAUUCAGUCAAAAGCUACUACUGAACAUGCUAAACAAUCACUGUAUUCAACAAUUUUACAGAGCACUAUUUUAUUUCUUUUUUUGCAAUAUAUGCAUUCAUUUUUUUCCAAACAAUUUUUAUUUCAUGUCGUACUAAUAAAAUCUAUUUUUUAAAGUCAUUAAAGCCAAUAAUAAUUUAUUAAUUAUUUCCUCAAUAAUUGUGUAAUUACAGAACACUCAACAUUAAUUAGAUUGUUUCUUACAUUAAAAAAAUAAAGUACUGUAAAUUUCAAAAAUAAUGUAAUAAUACAUGGCUCUUAAUGUUGAUUAAUGAUCUAAUAUUAUUGAGCGGCAUUUUACAAAAAUAUGAAAGAAAAAUAAUUGUUGUGAUUCUAUUGAUUAAAUGUUUUAAUCUGUGCAAAAAAAAAAGAAGGAAAAAACCAACAAAUACAGUGAUUAUCAAGAAUAAGAAACAGAUAGAAAUGCGUGAAACCUCAGAAUAAAAUUAGAAAAAAUAUAUUAAUCCAACUUGAUUAUCAAUUUUUAUUUUUAGCCCAGAUUAUUUGUAUGAUUCUUGAGCUUUAUCUGACUGAAUUAGAGAAAAUCUAUACAAGUUCAGAAGCUUAACUGCUGCGACCCUUUAUUGCUCUUCGUAUAGAUACAUAGAAAGUUAUGCCUUUGCCUUUCUUUUUUUUCGUUAUUAUGCUUUGGUUUUCAGCUGAGAUUUCAUCACCGUAGCAUUUGACCAGAAGGAUGACUGGAGGCUUCUCAAUGACCAAAAGACCAAAACGCCCCUCAAAGUCACAAAAAUAGCAACAUAACCGCUUGACCAAAAUUCACUAUUCAUUUGGCAACUCUCUCUUUUAUUAUAUAACUAGUUGGGAUGGCCUGCGCGUUGCGCAGGAGGGCGAAUAUUUCCCGUGUUAAGUUGCACAAUUUUUAGUUAUUGUAUAUUUGUUGUAGUGUAGAGAAUUAUAUAGGUGGUAUAAGUUUGGCUUGAAUUAGUUCAGAUAAUAUAGUGUUGAUAUUUUGUAUGAUAUGAUUAGUAUAGAUUAUGUGGUGUGGGUUAAGUAGUUGAACUCACUAAGUUCCAUAAAUAUGGGCCUAUUUCCUUUUUUUUUUGCAAAAAUUAAAACAUUUCAUUAAUAUAAUCACAAGAAUUAUUUUUCUUUCAUAUUUUUGUAUAAUGUCGCUCACUAAUAUUAGAUCAUUAAUCCACAUUAAGAGCCAUGUAUUAUACAUUGUUUUUGAAAUUUACAAACUUUAAUUUUUUUAAUGUAAGAAACAAUGUAAUUAAUGUUGCAUGUUUGACUAAAAGAAUAAUGAAAAAAUAGCAUACAACAUUGCUUUUCAAUUUAGAGUAAUUUAGAGCCAUUAGGAAAAAUGAAUAUGUACACAUUAAAUUUAGAGCCAUUAGGAAACAUUUUAUAAUAAUUAUAUAUAUACAUUAAAUAUGGAUAUUUAUCUAACAAUAUAAAAGUGAGAGUUGCCCCAUGAACAAUAUUUUUUUGUCAAGCAGUUAUCCUACAAUUGUUAUUGGAUGCCCGAGCUAUUAGUAAAUAACAUACUAAUUAUUCUUUUUUAUAGAACAAAAAAUAAGAAUAAAAACAAGGGCAUUAAAAAUUUGUAAUAAUUAUAUAGAGUAAUAUGGAUAUAUAGACUAAUACAUUUUUAUAAUUGUAUGUUUUAAAAAGUAGUAGGAUUAGAAAUCAUUUUUAGUCCAUGACACCUUAACCGAUUUUGGUUAAUUGUGAUAACAAUGUUGGACAUCUUUUCUUUUUUUUUUUUUUUUACUGCUGUUCAACUUUUGGGAAUCAUUCAGUCAAAAGCUACAACUGAACAUGCUAAACAAUUACUGCAUUCAACAAUUUUACAGAGCACUAUUUUAUUUCAUUUUUUUUUUUGCAAUAUAUGCAUUCAUUUUUUUCCAAAUAAUUUUAUUUCAUGUCGUAGUAAUAAAAUCCAUUUUUUAAAGUCACUAAAGCCAAUAAUAAUUUAUUAAUUAUUUCCUCAAUAAUUGUGUAUUUACAAAACACUCAAUAUUAUUUAGAUUGUUUCUUACAUUAAAAAAAUUAAAGUAGUGUAAAUUUCAAAAACAAUGUAAUAAUACAUGGCUCUUAAUGUAGAUUAAUGAUCUAAUAUUAGUAAGCAGCAUUUACAAAAAUAUGAAAGAAAAAUAAUUAUUGUGAUUAUAUUGAUUAAAUAUUUUAAUUUGUGCAAAAAAAAAAAGGAAAAAACCAACAAAUACAAAAGCCAACAAAUUUGCCCUCAAAGUUGCCCAAAAUUAUCUUAUAAGCGCUUGACAAAAAAUUCACUAUUCAUAAGCCAACUCCCUCCGAAAAAUAAUUGUUGUGAUUAUAUUGAUUAAAUGUUUAAAUUUGUGCAAAAAAAAAAGGGAAAAAGCCAACAAAAGCAAACAAAUACAAGAGCCAACAAAUUUGCCCUCAAAAUUGCCCAAAAUUACGCUAUAACCGCUUGACCAAAAAGCACUAUUCAUCCUCCAACUCCCGCUUUUAUUAUAUAGAUAUUGAUUAAAUGUUUAAAUUUGUGCAAAAAAAAAAAAGGAAAAAGCCAACAAAAGCAAACAAAUACAAGAGCCAACAAAUUUGCCCUCAAAGUUGCCCAAAAUUACGUUAUAACCGCUUGACCAAAAUUGCACUGUUCAUCCUCCAACUCCCGCUUUUAUUAUAUAGACUAGUGAGACGGCCUGCGCGUUGCGCAGGAGGACUAAUAUUUCCCGUGUUAAUUGUUUUUUGUUGUAUGAGUUUAUUAGUAUAUAUCUCUGUUAUUAUUUAAUUCAUGCGGAUCAUUAGGGAAUUAUAAUUUUUGUUAAAAGUUAACUAUUAUGAAAUAUAUAGAAUGCAUGAGACCAAUAAUAUAUAGAAUGCAUAAGGAUAAAUUAGAAAAUUGUAUAAGGUUAUUUUACAUUUGGAUCAGGAUAAUUAGAAAAUUGUAAAGUGAAUCAUUUCCAAAGAGUAUUAAUCAUUAUUGACACAAAAAAUAGGGGAUCUUGAAAAUCAAUUAAACACUUGAACCAUAGAACUUGACACUGCUAAAAAUUAAUCACCACAUGUCACAAUAAUAAAACCCAUUUUUUAAAGUUACUAAAGCCAACAAUAGUUUAUUAAUUGUUUCCUCAAUAAUUGUGCAUUUAUAGAACACUUAACAAAUUUAUUCUAUGUUAACCCAACAAUAAUUUAUUAAUUGUUUCCUCAAUAAUUGUGCAUUUACAGAACAUGUAUCAAUUUUAUUUCAUGUCACAGUAAUAAAAGCCAUUUUUAAAGUCACUAAAGCCAACAACAAUUUAUCAAUUAUUCCCUUGGUAAUUUUGCAUUUCCAGAACACUUCAAAAGCAAAUAAUUAACCACAAAAAAUCAACUUUCAUAGGUUUCACUUUUUAUACCACCAAUUAUGAAUUCAGUCAACAUGUCCAAUAAAUACAUCAAAACUAUAGCAGCUGUUAAAAAACAAACAAAUAAUUGAUGAAAAUAGCCCUAACAUCCAAUAACAAUUGCAGGAUAACCGCUUGACAAAAAAAACCACUGUGCAUAGGGCAACUUUUCCUUUAUAUUGUUAGAUAUGUAUAUCUCUAUUACUCACUAAUUUCAAUAAAUAUAGGCCUAUUUCUUUUUCCAUUAAUAUUAGAUCAUUAAUCCACAGUAAAAGACGUGUAUUAUUACAUUAUUUUUCAAAUUUCGAGUACUUUAAUUUUCAAAUGUAAGAAAUAGUCUAAUUAAUGUUACAUGUUUAAAUAAAUAAUAUAAAAAGAUCAGCACACAAUAUCGCUUUUCAAUUUACAGCAAUUUAGAGCCAUUAGAGAAAACAAAUAUGUUAAAAAAUUUUAUAAUAAUUAUAUAUACACUAAACAUGGAUAUAUUAGUAAAAUAACAAACUAAUUAUUCUUUUAAAAAGGAAAUAGACUCAUAAUGUAGCACACAUAGAAGACAAAAGUAAGCUCAUGUUUAUAGAAUAUAUAUAUAUAUAUAGAAUGAAAAGUAUAAUAAUAAAAAUAAGGGAAUUAAAAUUUUUCCAAUAAUUAUAUAAACUAAAUAUGUAUAUAUAGACUAAUAUAUAUCCUUCUAAUUGUAUGUUUGAAAAAGCUAUAGAAUUAGAAACCAUUUUUAGUUGAAACGUAUAUGGCAUCUUAACCAAUUUUGCUUACUUAUAUGACGAUAAUGUUGGACUUGUUUUUUUUUCCCUCUAGCUCAAGAAUUACAGCAUAAUCGCUUGACCAAAAUGGAGCUAUUCAUUAUCCAAUUCUCCCUUUUAUAUAUUUAGAUUAGAUAUAUAUAUAUUGGAGAGCCUGAUAGAGAUUUUCUUCUUUUUUUUUUCUUUUUUUUAUGGUUUUCUUGGUGAGGCGGCCCGGGGUGGGUUGUAUUGGAGAAGAUAAAAGGGCAUAUGGCAGAGCUCUAAAACAAGGCCUGCAGCAUUACUUACAAUAGAGAGCGUACAGGUACAGCUCUCUUUUGUGAGUCCUAGCCCGUGUAGCCCACAUAGCACAAUAAUACAGCUAACAAGCCUCAGUCACAGCCAGACCUUUUUAUUGCCACUGGCCAUUUGGUCUAGUGGUCAUCACCAUUAAAGGUGAUGCUGGAGGUCAGGGGUUCAAUCCCUGCCUCCCACAAAUUUGUCACAAUUUGUGGCGGUCUUAAUUGACCUUCAUCGAUGGAGUCUGUACUCACAUCGAACCCCCUCCCUUUCCCCUUAGACUAGGCUAGAUUAGGUUAUAGGACAUCUAUCGUUUCGAUAAAAAAAAAAACAGCCAGACCUUUUUAUUGAAAUAUAAUGCCAAGAGCCAUCUUAAUAAUUGUUAAUGUCUUUUUCCAGCAAAAGAGAAUCAAUGAAAUAGCCAGCUUAACCGAUUCUUCCUAAAGCCAGAGCCAGCCACAUGACAAAAGACCAAAAUGCCGCUUGACAAUUGCCCUCAAAGUUGCCCAAAAUUACGUGAUAACCGCUUGACCAAAAUUGCACUGUUCAUUAUCCAACUCCCGUUUUUAUAUAGUUAGAUAUAGAUAUAUAUUAGAUACAGAUAUUAAUAAAAGUCAAGAUAUAUUGAUGAAUCUUUGUAAUUAAUAAUGAACACGAUGUUGACAAAAAAAAGUCAAUGGCAGUAGGCAGAAAAGCAGGCAUCAAUGUGCACCAUGUUGAAGGUAACCAUGGUAUAGAUAUAGAUAUUUGUAAUUAACAAGGUAUACCGUGUUGAUCAAUAAAAGUCAACGGCGGGUAAUCACAGAGGAGCUAGAAACCAAAAUGAAAUGAAGGAGAUCAGUAAAUUAAUCACAAGAUGCCCUGAACUUAUAAGGAAGACAAUUAGUGCAAUAAUACACCAUAUUUUAUAGAUGGGAAUCUGCAAGUGGUGGAGUCGGGUAAGAAAAAUUAAGACUCUGCUGAUGCAAUUGUUGGGCUCCAAGCUUCAAAAUAAUGCACUGAUGAGAAUAAUGAGUUGGAGCCAGCAAAAUGAAUUCGAUCAUUUGCAGUAUGAUUAUUGUGGUUAUUUAUUAGUGUGAACACGCGUGAUUGGAAUGAGCAUUUGUUUAUUUAUGCAGAAAAAGUGAUAUUGUUAACGUUAUUUUUUCUAAAUAGCAGCUCGCACAACUAAUUCUAAUGCUUCGCCCAAAUUAAAAAAUAGCUUUUCACUAUUUUAGCAUAGAUAUAGAUAUAGAUACUUGCAAUGCUUUUUCGGCUAAAAUGAGGUUGUACUUUAUUACUCUUAUUAUUAUGUUUUUCUUUUGGUCAAAUGAUGUCGUACUCAAAUAGAGAGGAAUUUGCCAAGGAAUAUAAGGGUUUGAAGAAGCACGGGACUUCCCCUGACCGAGCUGACCUGGUGAGCUCGGUGUGCCGAUGGAAGAGCUGGUCCCAAUCCUGCAAAACAAACAAGGGUAAACUAGCAGUGGGGGCCCGAGGGUUGUCCCCGAGGGCGCUCCGACGGUCAAAUUAGUUCCUGGCCGGCGGACGGAGCGGUUUUUGAUAAUGUAUUGUACGAGCAAUCUGCUAAUAGCGAGCGUCCCUUGCACAGUUGGUAUGUGCUACCAUUUAUACCCGCUUAGGAGUCCGACCUCCGUACGUUUCGGGACUUGCCCUGAAUAGCUCCCAAUCCCGUUCCUGGGGGGAUCCUCCCGCCCUCUGCGGGGCAGCUCUUGGGAGCAUCCCGGAGCCCUAAUGGCCGAGCCCUCUUGGACUGGUUCCCAGUGGGCCCAAGGCGCGAGCCCAGCUCGGAUUGCCCCUGGGCUGACACGUGUACGGGCCCAGGAUGGGGCCUCUGCACUAGCCCCCUAGAUUAGGUCAGGCUCCCGGGCAGACCUGGUCUAUCCCCUAGCCACGUGGAAGCCCAUCAUUACACUGCUCUGCCGCGGUCACCUCCAGCACAGGGCUGUUAUUGGGAAGCGUCGCCCGCGUACUUUCAAUGGUCGCGUCCCUUCGGUUUCCGUACCUCCCUUAAGUGCGUUCACAUGGGGCGGUUCAAAUUCAAGCAAACCGUUUCCCCCCAUUUCGUCCCCUAUAAAUAGUGGCUGCCAAAAUCCGGUAAACUCUAUUUGCCAUUUUCUCUUUCCCCAUGCGUUUACAACUUCAGUAGUGCAUUUCCGGCCAACCAGGACCCAGAUUCCGGCGACCCUUCCCCCCCUUUUCUACUCCAGUCAUCAGUAAGUGUUUCCCCCUCCUUUCUCGCAUUUUCUUUCUUCCUCUUGCCGUCCUCUGCGUUUGUAUGUCGGGCCUCUCCGACGUGACUUCCUCCAACUCCCAGACUCCCCCCCGCCGUAAAGCCACCAGGAUCUUCAUUUCCUCCUCAUCUCCAUCUUCAUCAUCUCCCUUUCCUCCUCCUUCUUCAUCUUCUGCUUCCAACCCUAACUUUCCCCUUCCCGACUUGCUCGAGCUCAUCGACAUCAUGAGUUCCCCAUCUGCCCACUCCCCUUCUGCCCGGCUCCUGGAGGAGGUGGCCGAGCUUGACGCCCUCAUCAGGCGGCAAGCCGUCUCCACCCCUCCUCCCCAGUCCCCUAACGAUUCCCCCGGCGGAGCCCGGGGUGGAGCUGGGGAGGACCGGGGCUCCUCUGGGGGGAUCCCCGCUUCCGAGCAGGGGGAGGACCCCGAGUUCUCCUACGGGCAUCCUGACCUGCAGGAGGCCACCCUAUCGCCCCAGGCUGUGGCCGAGCUGGCCAAGUCUUAUUCCAUCCCUCCGGCCUACGAGCCGAGGGCGGCCGGGCCCGGCGAUUGGGCCUGCAGACCUCCCUCCGGCUUCGUUGCCAUCUACAGGGAGCAGCUCAUCGCAGGGUUUCGUCUCCCCAUUCCUUCAGCUCUAACCGAGAUUCUGAGCUACUGGGGGCUCAGAAUCACUCAAGUCCACCCCACCUCCAUCAGGAUCAUUACCGGAUUCCUGAUCUACUGCCUGCUCCGCGAUAUCCCCUACUCCCUUUCCCUCUUCCGGGCUGCCUUCAUACUUAAGGCCGCCCUACCCGGGUGGUACUACUUCUCCCGCCGCGGUCCCCAAACCCGGGGAGGGAAAGGCGCCCAAAAGCUAUUCCACGGGGUCCCUUCUUCCGUAAAAAGUUGGAAGGAAGACUUCUUCUUUGUUAAGUCCACCCAUUUUCCCCCCAACGUGUGGAAGGUUGGAAAAGUCCAAGCCGAUUCCUUCCCGGAGGACCUGGACUAUGAAACCCUCAGCCAGCUGUCGGAAUCCCUGGUGAAGCUUGACGCCACCAAGUUCUCUACAGCACAGAUCUCCGCGGCCGGGCUGAUGGGGACGUUGUCUGAAUCCUCCGGGGAGGUGGUGACCCCCGAGCCCAACCUCGACACCUGUAACGCCAACUUUGCCCUUUUUGCCUGUUGUAUCCACAGCAUGUCGUAAUGCUAUAGGCUGUCCGGCCUUUUACUGACUUAGCCGUGUUUUCUGCAGUGAGGAAGCUCUCCCUGCUGCUGGGCCUGCCUGCCGAGGAGGACACCCCCGCUUCCCAUCCAGACGAGGAAGCCCCCGGGGCGCCUCCGACCUCGGGGGGAGGCCAAGCCCCCCAGACACAAACGCAAGACACCUCCUCCCCCUCCAAGAAGGCCGCCAACAACAAGAAAAAGGCGACCGGGCAGAAGAGGGGUCGAGCCGACGAGCCCUCCCAGCCCGGGAAGAAGCUCGCGCUGGUUCCGGUCCAGCCUCCUCCCCUCCGGAUGUCUUCGGGGGGUCCAGUCCAUUUGGGCGUCGGCUCCGCCGAGGAGCACGCCCUGCAGGCCCCCCCGAGCUCGUGGCACUUCCGCCACGUGGCCCCCCUGAAGCCGGGCCAGGCCCCCACUAUGCACGACCCCCGCCGUUUCUGCCCGUCCUGGGAGCUCUCCAUCAACGACCGAGCCCAAUUCCCCGAGGUGGCUCGCCAGUGGGUGACGGGCUCGGUCCUCCCCCGGGACAGGAGGUGGAUGGAGCUAGCCUCCCCCUCCGAGCUCCAGGAGGUGUACUGCACCUCCCAGGCCCAAGUAAGUUUUCCGACCUCAGAGCCGUCCUUGCUUUUGACCCCUCACUCGGCCGCACCUCAGACUAACUCCUUCCUUUCUCCAGGCCCACGCUGCUGGAGCCGCCUUGCUGUCUCGCUUCUCCGAGCUAUCUCCCGAUUUGGAGAAACUGCAGAAACAGAAAAGGGAGGCGGAGCAAAGGCUCACUCAGGCCCUCAAGGAGGCGGACUCCCUUGCGGCCAAGCUGGGCAAAGCCGAGAAGGAACUGGAAACGGCCCAAGUCCAGCUCGCCUCCACAAGGUCAGAACUCGACCAGGAGAAGGCCGGCGUGGCCAAGCUGAGAGAAGACCACGCCAUCGAGCUCUCGGGCACCGUCGGCAGGGAGCGCAAGAAGGCCGUCCGGGAGUUCAUCUCCUCUGACCAGUUCAUCCAGGACGUAGCGCUCCUCAACGGGCCCAUCGCCCAAGUUGGCUUCGCGCGCGCCCUGAGCAGGGUCAAGGAGCUCGGCCUGCCUGGCUUCGACCUGGCCGCCUUCAAGGAGUACGACCCCAAGGCCGAGGAGAAGGUGGACUGGCUCUUCGACGGGUAUUGCAAGGGACACGCCCUGAAAGAGCUGGUGCGCCGGAAGGACGUUGGGGCCGACCUUGAGGAGCUGCCCCUAGAGAAGGACGGGGACCCGGGCCGAGCUCCGGGGAAGGAGCCGGUAGCCUAGGCAGCCAAGUUUCCUUUUUCUUCAGUAGGCAGUGUAAUAGAUAGGCCGAUAUCACACCUUUUGUAAUAGAUAGGCCUUAAGUAUAUAUACAAAAUUCGAAGCAAGUCUUCUUGCGACUCUUUUCGCACCUGACUUAUGACCCCACCCCUCAAGCCGAACACGUUAAAACUGUGCCGGCCUUCUGGGUCGAGCACCAUACCUUCCAAGUAUCCCCAUCGCGCCGACCUACUGGGUUGAUCACGUCUGAGAUUGUGCCGACCUCCUGGAUCGAGCAUCAAACCCUCCAAAAUCCUCAUCGCGCCGACCUCCUGGGUCGAACAUGUUUAAGACUGUGCCGACCUCCUGGGUCGAACACGUUUAAGAUUGUGCCGACCUCUUGGGUCGAGCACCAAACCUUCCAAGUAUCCCCAUCGCGCCGACCUACUGGGUCGAUCACGUCUGAGAUUGUGCCGACCUCCUGGGUCGAGCGUCAAACCUUCCAGGACACAAAACACCCACUACUAUUCCCCUAGCCCCCCACUAGGACAUUUAGAUAGGGACGCUAAGUGUUCUAGUGCGAAAUCAAAGCUCAGAAGGCAAAGAAGUACAAAUGAAACAAGAAACUUGAAAGUCGAGCCUUUAUUGAAUCACAAAACUGAAAUUCGAAUUCCGCAGAACAAACGACCGUCCACCCUGGUCUAACCUAUGCUACAAACAGUCGCAGGUUGGAAAAGUGCCAAGUGCGGGGUACCUCAGAUCCGUUCAUGUUGGCGAGUUUACAGUAACCUGCUCGGCCCACCCCAAGGACCUUGUAGGGGCCCUCCCAGUUUGGGUCGAGCUUGUUGGAGCUGUGAGCUCGGCUGACCGAAUUCUUCCUUAGGACAAGGUCCCCGGGCUGGUAUUGGGUAGCCCUUACUUUGGCAUUGUGAUAACGAGCGAGCUGGCCUUUAUACUUAGCCAUGCGAACCGCCGCUUCCUCACGCUUAACCUCGAGCAUGUCCAAGUUGUACCGGAGCUCUUCCUCAUUGGACGUCGCCACGAAGUUCUGUGUUCUGGGCGAAGGGAGACCGACCUCCGCGGGCACCACUGCCUCUACUCCGUAAGUUAAAGAAAACGGGGUCUCAUGGGUGGCCGUCCGGGGCGUAGUGCGGUAAGCCCAGAGGACACUGGGGAGCUCGUCCAGCCAGCUCGACUGGGCGGACGCCAACCUGGUCUUCAAUCCCUGCAGAACGGUUCGGUUAGCGUUCUCCACCUGACCAUUGGCCUGGGGGUGACCAACUGACGUGAAGUGUUGGUUGAUCCCGAGCUCGACGCACCAGCUCCGGAAGGGGUUCUCAGCGAACUGGCGGCCGUUGUCGGAUAUCAAGACGUGCGGGAUGCCGAAACGGCAGACAACGUUCCUCCAAAAGAAUUUCUGGAUCGCCUUUCCCGAGAUGGAGACUAGGGGCUCUGCCUCUAUCCACUUGGUGAAGUAGUCAAUAGCCACCACGAGGUGCUCGUACCUUCCUGGAGCUCGGGGGAAUGGUCCCAGGAGGUCUAUUCCCCAUUGAGCGAAAGGCCAGGGACUGUGAAUGGGGAUCAUUUCCCGAGCUGGCUGGUGACGUAAUGAAGCGUGCACCUGGCAGGCUCGGCAUCUCUGUACCAGCUCUGCGGCGUCACGGAAGACGGAGGGCCAAUAAUAGCCCAGGAGGAGGCACUUUUUGGCCAGCACCCGGGACCCCACAUGUGCCGCACAUAUACCUUCAUGGGCUUCACGCAGGACGUAGUCUCCUUCCUCGGGAGUCAAAAACUUUAGCCAGGGGGACAAGUACGACCUCCAGUAGAGGGUUCCCCCGGCGUAGGCGUAUUUGGCAGCUCGGACUUGGAUUUGUCGAGCCUCAAUUUUGUUCUCAGGGAGGGUACCCGAGCUGAGGAAGUCAACGAGGGGAGCCAUCCAGGUGGCCGAGCUAUCCACCGCCAGGACCUGGACCUGGCCGAUACUCUUCUGCUUCACCACCUCCACCAAGACCUCCUUGCUUAGGUGGGCGAACGAGGAGGACGCCAGCUUGGACAAGGCGUCCGCGCGCUUAUUUUGGGACCUUGGCACCCGCUCGAUCUCAAAAUUAUCGAACAGGGCCACCGCCUCUCGUACCUUGGCUAGGUAUUUCUUCAUUACCUCGUCCUUGGCCUCAUACUCCCCACGGAUUUGGAGGACGACGAGCUGAGAGUCGCUUCGAACCCGGAUCGCGGUAAUGCCCAUCUGGUGGGCUACCCGCAAUCCCGUCAACAGGGACUCGUACUCCGCCUCAUUGUUGGACGCGGGGAAAUCAAACCUGAGCGCAUAAGUCAGUUCUUCCCCUGUGGGCGAGGUGAGCAACAGGCCAGCCCCGCUGCCCUCCUUGCUCGAGGCGCCGUCCACGAACAACACCCACGGCUCCAUUGUCGGGGUGUCCGGGGGUGUUGGGACUAGUUCCGCCGGGGUCAGGCUAGCUCCUUCGGCCAGGAAGUCCGCCAAGGCCUGAGCCUUAAUCGCGGUACGGGGCCGAUAACUGAGGUCGUGUUCGGCCAGCUCGACGGCCCAUUUGGUCAUCCUGCCCGAGACCUCGGGCUUAGUGAGUAUCUGGCGCAAGGGCUGGUUGGUCAAGACUGCGAUGCUGUGAGCUUGGAAGUAAGGCCGGAGCUUGCGAGCAGCGUGCACUAAGGCCAGAACCAGCUUCUCGGCCGGGCUGUAUCGCGUCUCUGGCCCUUGUAAUGCUCGGCUGACGUAGUACACCGGUCUCUGAGUCCCCGCGUCCUCCCGUACCAAGACCGCACUGACGGCCUCGUUGCAAGUGGACAGGUAUAGGAAUAGUGUCUCCCCCAGCUCAGGGGCGGUCAGGGCGGACAGCUCGGCCAGAUAGGCCUUGAGGUCGGCGAAAGCUUUCUGGCACUCCUCGGUCCAGUGAAAGUCCUUUGGCCCUUUCAAGAUCCGGAAAAAGGGGAGCCCCCGAACCGCGGAGCGCGAGAGGAACCUGUUUAGGGCAGCCAUCCUCCCUGUGAGUCGUUGGACUUCCUUCACGUUCCUCGAAGGGGCCAUGUCCAUAAUGGCCUGUAGUUUGUCCGGGUUGGCCCGGAUUCCAUCUCGGGAUACCAGAAAACCGAGGAACCUCCCCGACCUGACCCCAAAGGUGCACUUCUUCGGAUUUAUGCGCAUCCGGCUCUCCAGCAGGAUUUCCAGAAUCUCCUUUAGGUCGGGUAUAAGGCGCUGAUCAACCCGGCUUUUAACUAUCAUGUCGUCCACAUAGACCUCCAUGCUUUUACCGAUCUGGCCUUGGAACAGCUUGUUGACCAGGCGCUGGUAGGUAGCCCCCGCGUUCUUCAAGCCGAAUGGCAUGGUUCGGUAACAGUAGGUCCCCUCCUCGGUGAUGAAGGAGGUCUUAUCUCGAUCUUCCUCAGCCAUUUCUAUCUGGUGAUAUCCCUUAAAGGCAUCCAGAAAGCACAAAACGUCAAAACCCACGGUAGAAUCUACUAACCUGUCGAUCCUUGGCAGGGGAAAGCAGUCCUUUGGGCAGGCAUUGUUAAGGUCCGUGAAGUCCACGCACAUCCUCCAGGUCUGAUCCUCCUUUUUGACCAGGACAGGAUUGGCCAACCAGGUCGGGUAGUGGACCUCCAUGAUGAUCCUCGACUCCAGUAACUUGCCGACCUCCGCCUUGAUCACCUCAUUUCUCUCGGUAGCGAAGCUCCUUUUCUUCUGCUUUACCGGCUUGAAGUGAGGAUCCACGCCAAGGUGGUGGACUGCCAGGUCCGUUGGAAUCCCAGGCAUGUCGUCCACUGACCAGGCGAAGACCUGGGAGUAUUCCCUCAAUAGAGCUUUCAAACCCUCCUUCUCCUUGGCGGGCAACAGGGCUCCAAUGCGGAGAACCUGAUCGGGCCGAUCCUCCCUUAAGGGGAACUCCUCCACCUCAUCUUGGGUACCCAGUUGCUGGGCCUCAUCCCCUGGGAUGUAGGGUUCCAAACAGGUUGUCUGGGCGACCACCUUCUCCUGCCCCCGAAGCGUGGCCAGGUAACAUGCCCUGGCUACCGCUGGGUCGCCCCGCACCUCGGCUAUUCCCCCAGGGGUGGGGAACUUGAUGCUGAGGUGGAAAGUAGAGGAGAUAGCCCGGAGGGCGUUCAAAGCGGGUCUCCCCAAGAACAAAUUGUACGGGGACGACUGCUUGACCACCACGAAAUCAACGAGGAUGGUCCGGCACCUGGGGGCCUGUCCUACUGUGACCAUCAGGGUGAUCAUCCCCUCCAAGCUGAUGGGUGGUCCGGUGAAGCCCACCAGAGGCGUCCGGACCGGGGUCAGCUGGUCGUCCCUUAGUCCGAGCUCCUUGAACACCCUAUAGAACAUAAUGUCAACCGCGCUACCCUGGUCGACAUACACCUUCCUCACCCGAUAGUUGUUGGUGACGAUGUCUAUCACGAUGGCUUCGUGGUUCCCUGCGGCCAGGGGGACUGCAUCCCUGGGUCCAAAGGUAAUUUCCUCGUCCAUGCGCAAGCGCUUCAAGGAGUCGUCCCCCUCGGUGGGAGGUCGCUUGUUCUUCCGAGCCGCAUGACUGUCCCCCCCCGUGGGGCCUCCGGCGAUGGUGUUUAUCACCCCCGCCAGGUUCUGGGUGUCCCGGUCGGGAGAGCAGUCCCGAGGGGCGUCACGCCGCUCCGGGCGGUCGCGCCGCCGUCCCUCGUGCCUAUCUCCGUAGUGGUUGCGUCCAAGCCCCUGACCUGGUCGGCGCACGAACCCCCCUAGAAAACCGCGCUGGAUCAGGUCCUCGAUCUCCUUGCGCAGGGCCCAGCACCCCUCCGUGUCGGGCCCGACGUCGCGGUGGAAGGCGCAGUACCGGUCCUGGUUCCUUUUGUUCCGGGGCGUCCCCAUCUUGGGCGGCCGAUCUCCCAGCCCUUCCGCCUCCAUAACGGCUAAGAUCUGGGCUCUGGGCCGUGUUAGAGGGGUGUAGGUCUUCUCUGGGAGGGGCGGCGGAGCUGGUGCCCUAUCCUUGGAGAGACGGUCGAAGACGUUCUUCCUGACUUGGCCGUCCUUAGAUUCAGGAGGGUUUGCCCGUCCUUUCCUGUCCCCGAACUCCCGAUCUGAUUCCCGUUUCAGGCGGCCGGCCUCCUCUGCAUUGGCGGCGGCGUGAGCCCGGGUCAAGAGCUCUCCCAGGUUCUUGGGAGGUUGUUCGACAAGCUUGUAGUAGAGAUCCUCUACCCUCAACCCGUUCAUGAAGGCGGCCAUGACUACCUUUUCGUCCUUAUCCCUGAUCUGCAGGCUCUCUGUGUUGAAGCGCGUCAUGAAGUUCUUCAGGGACUCAUCCGGGUUCUGCUUAACGGCCAUCAGGUGGGCCGCAUUCUUCGAGUAGGUCUUCGAGGAAACGAACUGGGCGGCGAACUGUCUGGCCAGCUCGGUGAAACUCUGAAUAGAUCCCGGUGCCAGACCCUGAAACCAGAGCCGCGCCUUACCCUUGAGAAACAUGGGGAAGGUCUUGCAGCGGAGGGCAUCCGCGGCGUUUUGCAGACGCAUGUGCGUCAGGAAGACCGAGAGGUGGUCCUCCGGGUCGGUCGAACCAUCGUACAGCUCGAUGUUCGGGAUUUUAAACCUCCGGGGUAACGGGUAGUUCUCGACCUCCCGGGUGAAGGGCGAGGCUGCGUAGUUGUCCCCGUACGGUUGUGGUCGCAGGAUCUGCUCGAGCUCAUCCCGGACGGGCUGCCACUGGGGUGGGUCGCGCGGGCGACUCCUGACAGAUCGGGCGGGGGAGCGUGCGAGCCCAUUUCGCGUAGGUUUCCGUGGGGAGGGGUCCCUUGGUCGGCUCCCCACGGACCGGUCGUGGGAGUACCUCUCGCUAUCCCCGACCACCGAAGCUCGGUGACGAGGGGGAGUCCGCGGCCGUUUCCUCCUAGGGGGCUGGUCCUGUGACCCAUCCUCCGAAGGGUCAGGGAUCGACUCCUUCUCCUUCCCCUUCCCCUGGACUUUGGAAGUUGGUGCGCCCCCCGCCUCCUUUCCUCCUUUUGCCUGCCGGAUUAUAUCCUCCAGCAUGGGGAGAUUCUCUGUCACGAACUGGAGCAUCUGCCGUCUCCGGUCCCCUGAGAGGGCCGAGCCCCCAGCGCCCCCGGCCGCUUCGUUCUCCUCUCGACGGGACCCCUCCCCGGCCCCGGCUCCGGUGCUUUCAACGGUUUGCUUGGACCGUGUCCUCGCCAUCAACACUAACAAUUACCUUUCGGUUCCCACAGACGGCGCCAACUGAAGAAGCACGGGACUUCCCCUGACCGAGCUGACCUGGUGAGCUCGGUGUGCCGAUGGAAGAGCUGGUCCCAAUCCUGCAAAACAAACAAGGGUAAACUAGCAGUGGGGGCCCGAGGGUUGUCCCCGAGGGCGCUCCGACGGUCAAAUUAGUUCCUGGCCGGCGGACGGAGCGGUUUUUGAUAAUGUAUUGUACGAGCAAUCUGCUAAUAGCGAGCGUCCCUUGCACAGUUGGUAUGUGCUACCAUUUAUACCCGCUUAGGAGUCCGACCUCCGUACGUUUCGGGACUUGCCCUGAAUAGCUCCCAAUCCCGUUCCUGGGGGGAUCCUCCCGCCCUCUGCGGGGCAGCUCUUGGGAGCAUCCCGGAGCCCUAAUGGCCGAGCCCUCUUGGACUGGUUCCCAGUGGGCCCAAGGCGCGAGCCCAGCUCGGAUUGCCCCUGGGCUGACACGUGUACGGGCCCAGGAUGGGGCCUCUGCAGGGUUCAAAUUUUAUCUAUUAGAAACCAGCUUCCUUAAUUUCAAAGACAGAAGAUGAUUAGAGAUCCCCUACAUUAAUAAAGAAAAAAAAAACGCCAACCAAUCGUUCUUGAUUGCCCACUUGUUGCUAAAUCUUAUCGUCAGCAUUGGUUCUUAGUUGCCUGCAUACUUCUCAUCUUUUAAUUUUUCAAUUAAUUAGACUGGAAAUGAAUACGAGUUCCACUUCUUUGCUAAAAAAGUUAUUAGCAGAAGUAAAAUUUAUUAGCAGAAGUUAUUUUAUAGCCCAUGAUCCCGUGUGCAAUAUUGCAAUGCAACAUGGGCAAAUAGCUAAGCGAGAAGACAAAAGAGAUAGAGAUGCCGAGCCUUAGCACCUAGAAUGAGAAAUAGAUGUUUUAGUCAUUCAGUUAUAUCAGAUUGAUUAAUUAGAGUUAUCACGGGAAAAUUUGGCAUCUAAAAUACAAGUUUUUUGAACUUAUUUCACAUAUAAGUAGUAAUAUACUAGUAAUGAAGAAUGUAAACCUGUAAAGGGUUUGUCUAGUUGGUAGUGCACCAAAUAAGAGGUGGAUCCAAAGUAAUUUUUUCCUAUCAAAGUGUUGCAACUUAAGUGGUGAAUGAUAAUUUUAAAACUUUAAUAGUUCACCUACCUUCUUGUUUUAAUUAUAUUUAAAUCAUAUAUAUCUACCUUGUAUAUAAAAAGAAAGCCAAGUUACUGUAGCUAACCAUCUUUUUGACACAUGUAUUGUAUAUAUUUUUGACAAGUGGACCUUUGAUUAUUUUACCAAAAUUUUUUCCUUCCCCUUUCUUGAUUCAAUUGGACUAAAGGAUUAAAAUAUUUUUUCUCCUUGAGAAAAUCAACUCCAUCUCUUCUUUUUCUUCUUGCAGUAACUACUGUCAUCCCUCACCUUUUUUAUUUUUUAUUUUUUAAAACUAAUCUAACUAAGAUUGUUGCCAUGUUCUUUUUUUUUUUUUUUGUCAAGAUGAUAACUACUUAGCAAAAAGAAUUCUUUAUUAUUUUUUAUCCCAUUUUACAUUUUCUUUUCUUCCUUUUUUUCUUCAUCUCUAAUCUCUCAUGUUUGCUCUAUUUUUUUUUAUCAUAAUGUUAUAGCCAACUGGCAUUUGUUUGUUAAAUUUAUAGGAUGAUGUUUUACUUGGUAGUUCUUCAUGGAUAAAAGGUGAAAUAUUAAAAUAUGUAUAAAAAAAAUUUAGAAUUCAUUUUAUACCAAUGAUCAUUUUCUAUGAAUAAUAGAACAAAAAUUCAUUCUUUUAUUUUCUUCUCCUAUGAUUUGAUUUCUUACUUCACAUUUUGUUUCCUUUUCUUUGUUUUUUGGUUACAUUUUGUAAUUAUCUACAAUUUUCUGUAUUUGUUUAGGAGAAAGAUAUAUCAUAUGAUGUUUCCACCAAGAUAAAUCUAGCUAGGCAUUUUUGUUUGUUUUUUAAUUACUCAAGUGUUGUAGUAUGAAUUGGGUUGGUAUACAAGGAUUGCAGUCGGUGGUGGAAGUCACAAUUGAGGCUUUCGGCCUAGAGUGUGACUUGACAAAAAAUUGUUAGAAAUUUCAAUUUUGAUUAGGAAGAUGUUUUUGCAAUAAAAAAAUAGUUCAAUUCUAAUUUGUAUAUGUAGACCAGGAAACAUGGCAAUUCAUAUUUUUAUCUAACCUUGCUAUUUAUAUUCAGGAGCUGCAGGAUAAUGUUAUCACCUUUAGGCAGAAUUUAAAUAGAUGAACUGGAUUCUUCUAUCAAAAGAAAGAAAAAUAUGCAAGUUUAUAGUAAGCUAUAUUGAUGUUGAAGAUUGUGCCAUGUUUUAGUAGCUUCCUAAAUUUUUUCUCAUUAUUAAAGUACUAAAAGUAUUACGACUGCUUUUGAUUUAGUUUUAACUAAAACUAUACUACUAUUAAUACACCAAUGCACUUAUAGUCUAUUAAGUUUCUCUCCUUUUUGGGUAUCAUCAUAAUAGUGGUUCAAAAAUCUUUAUUCAAAUCACAAUAAAUAGAGAGGUUGACUUCAUAGAUGGAAUUUCUCUUCACAACAAAUUUUGAGAGAAAUUUUAUUUAUACUCCAUAUUGUGUUAAUUGUGUUCCUACAAAAAACAAAAACUAUACGAUAAAAAUAAUAGCGAAAGUAUGAUUAACAAAAAUGAGAGUUCAAAUAAUAUUUGUCAAAUUUAAUUGCUUUGAUGCUCAAUUUUUCUCAUAUAUUUCUAUUCAUUCAUCAUGUGUCAAAAUAAUUUGAUGCUAUGCAUUCGACGGGCAACGGGCAUUUUGGUCAUUUUACACAGCGCGUAACUUUGAUUGCACACGACGUAACUUUGUUUGCACAACGUGUAACUUUAGUACAAAAAAUUACGGGCCCCACACACGUGAAAAUCGAUGUACAACUUGUAAUCUGGACCGCACAUUUUUUUUGACCAAAAUCUAGCCGUUGACUGUUCAGGCAUUCAGGGACGGUCCCUGCCCCUUGUCCGCAUUCGACUAAAUUUCUAGGGGGCCCAAACUGUGCUUUGCACAGUUCAAGUACCUCUAGUAUAUAUAUAUAUAUUAAAUAUCCAAUAAUUCUGGCAUGUCCACGUGGAACAAGCUAAGAAUCUUCUGUUAGAAAUAUCUUCAUUGAACCACUUUUUACUCUUUUCUUGUUAUAUUCCUACAAUCAACAUCAAUUGCCAAAUAUGAGUUUAAUCAAUCCAAUAAUGCAAUAUUUAGCCAAAAUCACAAGAAAAUAUUAACAAUUUCAAUAACCACUAUGCACCCUAUAACAGUCUAACAGUUAUGUGAUUAAUGACCGGAAGAAUGAUUGGUGUAUGUUAAUUUGUCACAAAUAUUUGUAAAAUGAGCAAAACUUAGGAUCCAAUAGCUUGUAUACUUGCAAGAAACUACUACACAAACAAACGAUAAUUCUUUUGGCCGGAUUGUGAUCAAAGCAUCUUAGUAUAAGCUAGAAUCUUGUACUAAUUGAUGACAAACAUCUAUGAAAUAGUUAGAGACUUACUCUCAUCCUAGCAAAUCAAUUUCUUAACUUGAGGUGUAUAUGAUAAAAAAUUUGAGUUUCUGUUUAAAAAGUAUAAUUUGUGAAUUGCUAGGUUUUAUUUUUUAUUGGUUAAUAACUUUCAAAUAUUAGAUUCAUGGUUUCUUUUUAGAAAUUCCUAUAUUUUAUUUGAUAUAUUUACUUUAAUUUGACUAGAGCUGGCAAUUUGUCCCAAGUCCCAAUGGGCUACCCAUGCCCAAAGGAACUUUGGGCGGGAUGGGUAUUAUAAUUUGGUAUUGGGUUUAAGUUGGGAUACAUCCCAACUAUACCCAUUAAUGAAUGGGAAAGGGUGGGAAAUACUUGGGUAUCCAUUGGGCUCAAACAGCAAGGGCUCCGUUUGGAUUAGCUGUUUUUAGGGGGUGUUUUUGAAAUAUUUUAUUGUAGUAGUGUAUAUAAAAAAAUUUUACUAUAAAAUUUUUUUGAAAUAUUUGAUAUACUAAUAUGGAUGGGAUGUUUCUUGAGUUAUUGUAUAUUACUAUUUGAAAAACUUAUUUUUUGAAAAAAUACCCAAUCCAAACGGAGUCUUAGAUUCAAAAAUUAUCUUUAACAAUUUUUAUAGUCAUACCAGCGAAUAUAAUCUAGUAGUCUUUCUAAUCAUUAUCCACAAGAAUUUCCAGCAUUUUAAUCAAUUUAGACCUGUCAUCCUUGGACAAUGAUGAGGAUAAAUAUUCAACAUCUUAAGGAAUUUGGCCAUCUUGAUAUAUGUUGGAAUAUGGCUGUAUAUCUAUCUUUUUCUUUAUUUGUUAAUCCAAUUUUUGGUGGGAAUCUUGAGUAUAAAGCAUUUGCAUGUUUAUUUAAUAAAACUAAAAGAAAUUUAAUAAAUCAAAAAUAUUAAAAUUAUAUAAAAAUAAAAAAUGAAUUAAAGGAAAAAAAAUAUGUAGAAAAUGGAUUUGGGUAUUGGGCGGGAUCAAUCUAAACCCAUCCUAAAGUGAUCCCGCCCAAAUUAGUCCCAAAACAUAUAUGGGUAAGGUUGGGUCCAAACCCAUAUGACUCGGUUUCAUCUCAAACCCAAGCAAAUCCCGCAUAUCCCGCCCAUUUUGCCACCUCUAAAUUUGACAUAUAAGCAUUAUUCAAUGUAAUAUGCAGUAAGUUUUUUCCAGCUUCCGAUAUUGUCAAAAUUUUAUUUUCUUUUGCAAGUCAAAAUCAAAUUAGGAUUUGUUAUGCCUUAUGUUAUGUCCAGAACCUAGUAGAAUUAGAUUGAGUAGCAUUACCUUAUUUGGUAGAAACUAUGUUUCAUUAAGUAAUUUCCAUUCCAAAUCUAACUAUAUUUCAUAAGAAAAAUGUAAUAUACUUCUCUUCCUAAAAUAAAUACUUAACAAUGAUAUUACACAGUUACCCUCAACAAUAUCUAUAAGUCAUUCAAAUUUAGAGCUAGCCAUAAUUUGUUAUGGGAGGGUUAAUGUUGGAAAGAAAAAACUAAUUUUUACAAUAAUUAAUAAAGUAGAAAUAGUUCUUAAAUUUCCUUUUACAAUAUGGUUCCCUUUUUUUGGGUUUAACUUUGUUUUACAAUAUGGUAUAUGGUUUCGUUUUUUUUUUUUUUUGGUUUAACUUUGUUUGGAAUUCCUUUCUUUUUAGAAUACUAAAUUUUAGAAGACAAUAAUUACAUCAACACUAAUAUCCAUAAAUAUCCCCCCCCCACCAAUUCGUAUUUGAAAUUUAAGAUGUGCUUCAUUAUUUCAUUAUACAAGGGCAUUACUAGAAAGUGAAAACUAAAUUACUAAAACACCAAAUCACUUUGGUGCUUUUAAUAUAUAUGCAUAUAUGUAUGUAUGUAAGUAUAUAUGUAUGUGAUAGACAUUUGCACAGUGAGACUUAUUUGGCAUCUAGUCCAACAAAGCUAACAAGGCAAGCACAAAAUUAAAAACAUAAAAAUAAAACGCCUUGAAAAAUAUUAGAUAGAGAUUCAAGGGAUUGUCAACCAUGGCAUUCCAAAAGAAAAGGAAAACAACAAAUUAAAGAGGAGAAUCAUCGAGGACAUUGAAAAUUAAAACCCAAUAAAUUAACUUUCUGAUUUUGAAAUAAUGAUCAAGUGAAAGGCAUGAGCUACUAAUAACUUGGCACAUGUUUCAUUCUAUAAUUAUCAUGUCUGGAGGUUCAAUUUUUUCUUCUGAGGUUUGCCCUUUUUGGCUAGAUUAUUCUCACCUUUCACCGUCAAAUUGAAUUUUCAACGUACCAAGGUUUUCUCAAAUCGCUUCAUACAAGAUGCAUGGUAUUUGUUCUGAUUUACCAUAUCAUCUCAGCAUUUGGCAUGGGAUGAUUAGAAACCAGCUUCCUUAAUUUCAAAGACAAAAGAUGAUUAGAGAUCCCCUACAUUAAUAAAGAAAAAAAAAACGCCAACCAAUCGUUCUUGAUUGCCCACACGUUGCUAAAUCUAAUCAUCAGCAUUGGUUCUUGGUUGCCUGCAUAAUUCUCAUCUUUUGAUUUUUCAAUUAAUUACACUGCAAAAGAAUGUUAACGCAAAACUAUUAGUAUAAGUUAUUUGUUUUUUUCCCACCAAAAAAAAAAAGCAGAAUUAUAUAUAGCCCACAUCUCAUAUGGAACAACACGCAAUGCUGUAACGCCGCGAAUGCUGAGCCUUAGCACUCAGCUAUCGAGGGCUGUUAUGAGGUGAGAGGACAGGGAGCAGCAGGCCUUGAAAAAAUGAGCUAAGUUGUGCAAAGAGUGGGCUGGGAACAUUAACAUUACUUUUUGUACGUUUUCUCUUUGAGGUAAUUUUUGGUAAUAACUUUGUCCAGUGCUGAGGGAAACCCCGGUCGAUUUUGCAUUUCUAGUUUGAUAUACUAGGUGGUAGCCACUGCCCAGUUAAUGUUUAGCUAGUAAUGUUGGUAAGAAUGAAAGUACAAUCAAAUGGAACUAUAAAAUGGAACUAUAUUAUACAGGCAUAUUAAUGAAAAUUAUACGAGCCUCCCAAGUAAGAUAACCAUGAUGGCUCAGGGCUCCAUGAAGCCAUUGUUCUAGUCUUUGAAAUACAAAAGUGAAAUACAGACAGAUUCAGCAACAACUCAAGGCAUCAAUCAAGCAGUGAAUCCAGUCCUGUUCAUACAGGAGAAAAUAGAGCAGAGCAAGUAAUGCCUCCAAAGCAAAGAAAAAACUGCAACAAAAGCAAAGCAAGCAAACGCAAAAAUUAUGACAAAACGAAAGCAGACAGCUGUAUUAAUGCACAUAUAGCCUCACGAAAUGUGAAGCUAGGAUUGAGGUUUACAAAAUCGCGGAAAUGUGAAGCUACUUUUUCUAGUUGGAGAACAAGAAUCAUCUACAUCCAAUCUUGAUUGAACUACUGAUGUAUAACUACUUCUUCCCUGUUUACAUAAUGACAUCACAUCACGCAGCAAGAAAAGUAAAUAUUAGAGCACCCUGUGAGACAUUUUCAAAUCUGAAUUACCUUCAAAGGGAACGUCUGUGUAUACAAGUCAACUUUCUGGUCAUCGCCAGAUACUCUAGUAAUCUGCCUCACAAACUUUGUUUCCACAUUAUAUACAAGCUGCAAUUUUGAAUCAAUAAAUGUCAUACAUCUUGACGUGAUGUAGCACAAACUCCCAAAAAAUAAAACAUAAUCAAGUUUUGCUUUAAAGCAUAAUAUGAAACAUAAAUCAAAGUACCUGAACAACAUAUUCAAAUAAAUACAGGGUACACUGGGUAAGCAUGUACCUACCUUCCUUAUAUCAGGAUCAUUCCAAGGACUCAUAUUAGAUGAGAGGCAUCCUCCUUCAACUGGAUAUAAGCAAGCUAACAAAUCAAUUUCAAAUCAAGUAUUAAAUAAUCUGCAAUAAAUGAAAAUUUUCUUACUAAAAAAUUUAGAGACUACAAAAUUACAAGGAUCUCAUGGUAAAAGAAACAUUAAGUAAACAACAGUACAUCAAAAGACUAAACAUACCUAAUUAAGGAGAAAAAGGCUAAACAUAGAACAAACUUAAGUAGCGUUAAAGCUGGUGAGAAUAAUCCAAGCAGCUUCCCUCCUAUCACUACCAGCGAUCAGCUUAACACAAAAUACCUAUUAGAAACACCAUAUCAGUUUUGGAUACUCAAAAUACCCAUAACAAAAAACAAAAAAACAUUGCAAUCAUAGGUUCUGAACCAAGUACAAUCCCUGCAUGCAUAAAAAUCUUUCCUUCUUAUACAGGAUGAUGGCACAUAAACAUUAAGAAAUAAUAUCAUUUUCCAUUGAAUGCCUUCUGCACAGAAUAUUUGAGACAAAUAAAUGGAGCAAGAAGUAAAAAUCUGGAACCCAUACAACAAAUUGAACAAAAGGUGAGAUGGCAAAAAAAAAAAUCAGAGUUAAGAGAUUGGCUAAAUAAACACAGUUUUGGCAGGAACAAAAAGUAAAAACCACAGGUAAGAAGAGGGAGCAGGGAGCGUGGAAAAUAUGGAAAUGAGGGCCACAUAACGCUAACUGUACCUCGAGGAAGUACUGGUGGGGAGCAGGCUGGUGCAGGAGAAGGGACCGAAGCAACAUAUGUGGACUGGUUGAGAACCAAAUCAUUUGUGGCAAGAUUUAACAAGGUUGAAUCCAGGAGGGAACUAUCCACAGGAUCAGCCAAGAGAACGCCAGUCUGGGUAUAACCUAAGGCAGUUCUAGAGAAAUAGUCGUGCUAUUUUGGCUAGGCCUUUGAAACCGAGUUGCCUCAGCAGAACAAGGCACAGUUGUGCCUGUUUUUUUUGAGGCAUUGCGUUCACGGCGGCGACGAAGAAGUUCAACUUUCUGCUCAUGUGGCAUUUCUGCAUACCUUUUAUGCCUUCUAGCAUUUCUAUCCAGCCUUGGAUAACGUGCAUUCAAGAAAUAUUAAAACGGACAGCACGAAGAUAUACGUUUGGUAGGGAAUGCAAAAAAACAUCGGAGGAAACGCAAGAGUUAAAAGUGCAAGCUAAGUGCAGGAAAAGAAAGGAAGCAUACCAUAUGAUCGAACGAGGCAACUGAAAGAGCAAAAGAGGGAGGGAGGGGGGAGAGGCAGGAGAAGCAAAGCUAGCAAUAGCAACAACAGCAGGGCAAAACACACCAGUAUGAUACGAAAGUAAGCAGAAGACAAAUACUUCAAUCAGGAAACGGAACAGGGGGAGAAAAGCAUCUGAGGAGUGCAGAAAAGGAAACACAGUAGUAAGAAGCGCAAGGUUAUGCAGUAAAAGAAAGCAAGCAGAGCAUGUAAUCGAGCGAGGCAACUGAAAGAGUAAAUAUGAAAGCACACCAGCAUGAUAUGAAAGCAAGCAGAAGGCAAAAUACCUUAAGCAGUAAACGGAGGCUAAGAGAGGACACGGUAGAGGAGCGAGCCGAAGUUGGCCUGCAUAAGCAAAAGCGACAUAAAGGUUAAGAAAAUAGCGGAAAGCAGGGAACAUAACAAAAGGGAAGCAAUUAUAAGAAUCACAAACAGCUGCGAAUAAACUGAAAGGAAAGUGACCAAAAAGGAACACACGAGCAGCGCACUAAACGCAGUCCAGGGGGAAAAGAGAACAAAAGCUGGGAACAACACAGUGGCGGCAACAAAAUGCUAGGCAAGAAGGGGGUUUUGUUCAGCGGCAAUCCGAGGACAACCGUAGGCCUGGGAGGGGGUAUUAACGGUAGGGGGGAAAGAUCGAGCCCAAAUAUUGGCAAGCAAAGGGGUGUAAGCAGCAGAGGCAGCCGGGAAUUAUAAUGGACAACAAGGGGAGACAGAGGAAGAGGGAGAGGGAGGGGAAGGGCAGCGGGGCGAGGGUGGGGGGGGAGUGCAAGUAGAGCAACGAAAGAGCAGCGGAGAUAACCUAGUGCAGCAAAGAGGGCAAUGGCAAGGAGCAGCAACAACACCAAAACAGGAACAAAAGGGCAAAUAGCGGUCUUCGAUGAGCAGGCAAGAGGAGAAGCACCAUGGUUCAUGAUGGCAGUCAACUAAUAGGGCAGGUUGGAAGAGGUCAGAGCAGGUGGGAGAAGGCGUGCAAGAUAGCUAAAGGAACAGUUUUGUGUGAGGGGAAAGCAGAAGUGGGUGAAGAAGUAAGUGGGGGAAGAUGGAUGCAGGAUGGAGGCAGGAUGGAGUAGAUGGAGACAGGACUGAGGAGCAGAAAAAUAGUACAAAAUGAAAGACGGGGCAGCGGAGGGGGAAGGCGUACAAGAGUAGAAGGCAAACAGCAAGUUGGUAGUGGGAGCAGCUGGAGCACGUGGCAAGCUCAAGACAGCAACUCCAGAAGGCCACAACAGAGCUAAACAGUGGCAACGAAAAAGGAAGAAGAGAGAUGCAACGACCAUACACGGAAGGAAAGCUAAAGGCCAGAAAUUCAUUCAGACCAAUGACGUCGGGCCACGCGGAGGACGACCACGUCCAACGUGGAUACCGGGCGUUCGCCCUUAGUACUAUAUGGUUAACAAGGAGAUUGAUGUGAGCAUUUGUCUAUUUGAGAUUGUUAUGUAUUAGGUCCUGAAUCUUCUAUGGUUUUGUGCUUUAUCACAUAAUCCUCCAUAGUUUAGAAACCUAUAUAGAACCUCACCAUAAUUUGGGUUAGCGUGUCACUGUUAGUUUUUCGUUAAAAUUAACGGUCAACGGUAAAAAGUUAAAAUCAAACUAAUAAAUUGAUAAAUUCAUGCUUUCACUAAUUUUUUGCUUUUUUUUUCAUUCUCUCUCUCUCUCUCUGUGAGAACCCUCAUUUUUAAAAUACAAUUUUCCCAAACUACAUGCCUUGCACCAAGAUUUAAACCAUCUCUUAUAUGCCCUAGCAUUAUAUUUCACAAUGUGUUACAACAAAUCCCUUGUAUUGACCCUCACUUUAAAACACAAUUUUCUUAUUUACAUGCCUUAUUAUAAGAUCUAGACCAUUUAAUAUAUGUCCUUACAAAUUAUUUUCUAUGUGUUAUAAUAAUUUCCAUGCAUUUCAUUUCAAUUCAUUUUACUUGAAGUAAAAUAUUUCCUUGAGCUAGGUUGUAAAUAAUUCAUCACUUGUAAUUGUCCAAGUGUUCUUUUAUUAGUGGUAGAGACUUUAUGUGAGAGAUUAGAGGUGUUGAAUAAUUAUUGGUGCAUUUGGAAAGGUAAGAAUGGCAUUAAUCAAAGAUUAAGAAAGGUUAGGACAAUAAUGGAGCCAUGUGGCAAAACCCUAGCCAUGUAUCUUGUUUGACCAAAGGAUUAGAGAAAUUUUAAACCAACUUUGCUUCAUUUUCCUCCAAAAUUUCGUCCACCUUAAGGGCUUCCAAGGGAAGGAAGAAAACUCCAUCUUCUUGCUAUGACAACCUUAGUUUGAUCUUGAACAAAAACCAAAAGAGAAAGAUCUAGAGUUUGUGAGAAAAUUUCCUUCAAUCUUUGAGGUUGUUUCAAGUCUAAAGCUUCUAUUGUGGUGGUUUGUUUGGUGACCAAAACAACUUGUAAGUAAGGUAUGUAAUCUUUAAAAUUUGGGUUUAUGAUGUUAUAUCAUCUACUUGAGGUUGAAAUGGUGAAAACAACUUGUUAUGGUUGAAUUUGGGGUUAGUUUCUUGAGUUAAUCAAGUAAUGGUUAGGUUUACUAAUAUGCAUACCAAGUGUUUGAUGAAAUGUCUAACCCUUAUUCAUAUGUGUUUAUGAAGUAUUGAUAUGUUUUAAACCCCUAUUUAGUUGGAUCUAAUACUUGUUAUGUGCAAGGAAUGAAAAUAACAAGAAGAAUAGAAGUUAGAAAUUUUUAAAGUGUGCUGACCGAAACUUUUUAAGCUUGCUGCCUGGUUUUUCCUUGAUAUUUUGAUGCACAUUUUGGCUACAAAUGUGAGUGUUAUAUGUUGGGUUAUGUGUGUGGAGGUUGUCUACAAAAAAUUAGCCAAUUUGGUUGAAUAAAUUUUGAGUUAUAAACAAAGGAGGAAAACUGGACUAGGUCCAGAAAUUUUCUGUCCAGCAAUCUUGUUAAGGUCAUAACGUGUUACUCACUGAUCGGAAUUGAGUGAUGUUUGUGGCAAUUGAAAGUAGACUCUUUGAGCUUUAAAACGGUACAAAGCUCAUUUUCUGGUUCAUCCCGAGUGAUCCGUGGCGAGUCUGGAAAGUUGGCUGUCCGGGCAGUACUGUUCAUCCGAGACAGUCCAGAAAGUUCAUUUUGGUUUCUUAAUUUUGAGCUACUUAUGUUGAGAUUUUGGAAAUGGUUUAUUCUAGACAAAUUUAGCCUUAUGAACCUAGUUUCCAAUGCAAUUGACGGAACCUAAUUCUGACUUUUCCACAAUGAGCAAUGACCGUUUUCCCGAGGCUGGCCGGGCGAGACAGUUUAACCCGUAAUGAAGCCUUUGAGUUUUAGUGAAACUUUUCUUUUGCCAAACUUUCAUGUACAUACUAGACUUUUUUUCCAUGAACUUUCACCGUGGUUUAGACCCUAUUUGCAUGCCGGAUUAAGUAGUUUAAGCUACUCACUUGGCCUCUUAAUGAACCUAUACUUUAGUAGGGAACGAAUCCAAUUAUUAAUAUUUUCACUCGUUGACCUAGGUUUGGGCAACGACGGUGAUCAUAACUGAGACAUUUGACGUCGAUUAUUACUUUUGCUUGACAGGUGAGUGUUCCACUACCUGCUACUUGUUAUGUGAAAUAUUUGUGUACUUGAAAGUAUUGAAUUGUUAUUGUUUGAGCCAAACACUGUUUUAAUUAAAAUUGAGGCGAGUGUGUACUUUAUCGCACUCGACCUUCCUUGUUUUUUUUUUCUUUUCACUGAGGCUCUACUUACUGAAUGAAUUAACAUGAAAUGAGAUAUUGUUAUACAUGACUGUGCUUAAGUUGCGUGGAUGACAUUCCACCAACUACUGUUACUGUUUGGGUACCUAACCUCAUAGGUGAGUCGGUUGUAUCGAGCCAGCAAGGGUUUGGUCGAGAAGGCCGAUAAACCUUGAGGACUGUUUACUGUUCACUGGAAAUCGAAUCUUGCUUAGAGGUCCUUGGUGAAGCAUAGCCGUUGUGCUUGCUUGUUGUGUUGUCCAGCACCACCAGUGAUAAAAUCCUCGGCUUGAUACUGUUUCAUUGCAAUCCUUGAGCAUUGGAAACUCGGAUUCCUGGUAUACUCGAGUAUUACCAAACUACUGUUUAUGGAGUGCAGGCCCGGUGGGGGGUUGUUUAGUGGACGGAGACUGGUGAAAGUGGUGUUCUACGGACCUAUAUACUGUUACAAGUGUUGACGGAGUGUCAACAGGAGGCAAUUAUGAUCAAGCUCAAGUGGACCUUUGGCUUUUGAAAGCCACCCGUAUCCUUGAAUUGAACUGUGAUUAAACUGUUAUUUUAUUGUACGGUGUUUAGUUGGCUAUUUUGUGAUUUUAUGUGGCUAUGUAUUUACUUGUUUACCUGGAAUCUCACUGGGAUUUAACUCACCCCAUUCCCUUUGUUUUCCUUAACAGAUCGGGAAAGGAUUUGAUCGAGGGCUUUCUUAGCUUUAUUUUACCGUUCUUGCGUUUUGAGGUUGUAACUUUCGUUUAAGCAGACUUGUAAGCUUAAAUUCUUAAGGGUGAUUUAUAUUAUGUAAUUUUGAGUGAAACAUGGUAAGUUGGCAUGCGAUGAUAUAUGUACUAAGUUGAAUUGUUGAAUUAGUGAUUAUGUUUGAGUUAGUGUUUCAAUCCCCUGCAUUGUCAAAUGUUACAUUCGUUUCAUUGAUGAUAUUAGUACUUUGAACGACUGAGUCCUGUCGAGAGUUGGGCAGGCAGUCCGCUGAUACCCUAGGGUUUGCCCUAGGGAAAGGUGGGGCUGUCACUCUCUCUCUCUCUCUGGGAAGAGAAGAUGUGAUUUUGAAAACCUAUGCUUUGGCGUACAAAAUCUUAAUUUUCUCCAAAUAUAAAAGAGAUGGAAGAAAAUAAAAAAUAAAUAAAUAAGAAACAAAAAGAAUGGAAGGGAAAUAUAAAAAGGGUAAAUGAGAAACAAAAAUUAUCAAAUCUUUUUUUACUACAAAUAUCAUUAUAGGUUUCUAAACCAAAUCUUUAAUGGCAUUUUCUAUUUCUUAUUUAUCUAUUUUUUUAUUUAAAUUUCUUCAAGUAAUGAAAAGAUAAAUUUGUCAAUUUAUUAGUUUGAUUUUGACCUUUUGCUAUUGAUCGUUAGUUUUAAUGAAAAAAAUUAAAGGUGACACUUUAACUCAAACCAUGAGGGGAUUAUAUAUAUGUUUUUAAACUAUAGAGAGAUUAUGUGAUAAAUUACCUAAUCAUAGGGGAUAAAAUGUAAUUUAUCAAACAUAAUAUUAGCUAGCCCUUACAUUGCUAAAGCAAAUGGGUCAAUGGUUGCUCUUGAUUGCCAACAUACAUAUGCGUAGAUCAUCUGCAGUUUGGUUCCUAAUUGCCAGCGUAAACCACAUAUUUUGAUUUUCCAAUAAAUACUGCAAAAAAAAAAAGAGUAACGAGUCCAUCUAUACUACUUGAAGAUAAUUGAUUGUUCACCCAGAUUCGUCAAGUUUUGAAAAAAAAAUCUUUAGAGUGAAUUGAAUCAAAUUCAAAUUUUGUGUUUUGUGAUAAUUCCUAAAAGAGAACGAAAUGCAGAUUUUGAGUGUAAAAAUAUUUUAAGAGGUGAUACAAUCAAGACACAAAAAGAUAAAAACAUCGAAGAUGAUGAAAAAAAUUACUAAUAAAAAAUAAAAACAAAAGAAGAGAAAGCCGUGUUGUCCACAAACUAGACAAAGGGAAGCCACAGCGGCUGCUGCUAGGAAAGAUUAUAUGUUUUCUUCUUCUCUGCCCACAGGUUGCGGUGUCUCCAUUUCCUAUCAUCUGUAUAGUAACCAAUGAGAAUUUCAGGAAUGUGUGCGAUUCUUCUGUAAUCUUCACUUUCUUCCUUCUGAUUCUCUAACAGCUUCUCUCUCAAUUGAGAACUCAUCUCAUACAGAGACAGCCGUUGAAGAUGGAUCAAGUGCUGGAUACCCAAUGGUAACUCCUCUAGUAAUGGAAGUUGCUGCAGAAAUAGUUCCCGGAGACGAGGCAAUGCACCCUCCUCCACUCUCAUCCAUCUCAACCCUUCCAUUCUUUUUAAGUACAUCCACUUCAGCUUUAGGAACCCUCCAGCCUUGAAACACAACCCUUCUCCCUGGUAAGAUCCACGGAAAUUAAUUUUACUCAAAUUGGGCAAAUGUUGGAGGGAUUCAAGCGGAUCCUCCUCUCCCCUUAACCUGCUCCAGUCCAAAUCUAUUCUUACCAAGCCGUGAAGAUGAGCUACCCAUUGUGGCAUUUUUUCUAAGCGGCCACGCAAAACCAGCAUACGAAGAAAUUGAAGAAACAAAGAAGAAGAAGAAGAAGAAGGAUGAUGAUGAUUUAAAUCGAUUAUCUCAUGAUCAUCACCUUUUCCAAUUGAUUGAACACUUAAUUCCCGAAGACUGGUGAGGUUGGCAAGGGAGGAGCAGAGCACCUUUCCAUCUUCUCUUCUUAACUUUGUAAUACGUAGUUCUCUUAAUUGGGUCAGCUUUCCUAUCUCCUUAAGUAUUGCAGAUCCGCUACUUGCAUCUAUGCAGCUUAAUUUAUGUAGGGCAAGAAGCCGUCCCAUAUUUGAUGGAGCUUUAAAUCCAUGAGCUCCAUAAUCAUCAUCUGAAGAAUCAACUAGUUGAUAUACUUCGAGAAACCGAAGUUUUUGCAAGUUUAGAAUUUCCAUGGGCAAUUCCCUAACUCCAGUGUUACCCAAAUUCAGAUACUCCAAAUGUUGAAGCUUUCCAAUGGCUUUCGGGACUAUCUCCAUUCUUGUACCCCAUAGGUCCAGAUGCUUGAGAUGAAACAAAUUGAAAAUCUCAUUUGGUAUUUCCUCCACUCUGUUUUGACCACCGAAAUCCAAAACCUUUAACAGCUUACUACUCCUUGAAAUUUCAGAUAACAACAUUUUGGAUAGUAGCGGGUUCCGGGAUCCAACUGUAACGAACGACCGAAGGUGGUCAAAGCAAUAAUUUCGUCUUUGUUGGUGGUGCUGGGUGUUGUUACUGCUACCACUAUGGACUACUAGACGGCGUACCUUAUCAGACGGCCACGUCAUCAGCUGUCCAGUAGUAACUGUCACCAUGUUUUGUUCCCUUGACUUGAGAAGAAUAACUGCUCUCAAUAGGUCAUGGAUUCGACAAUAUUGAGGUAUUCCUUCAUAAAACACACGAGUCACUUGAAUUAGGCUUCUAUUGACGAGUUCACUAAAAUAACCCCAGGCUACAUCUUCAAUACUUAUUCCUUCUCUCCAUUCUACAUACCUUUCAGCAAUCCACAAAUUAAUUAGUCUAAUGCAUGCUAUUUCAUAAUCCUCUGGGAAGAUGCUUGUGUACAACAGACAUGUCUUUAAAUGCCCAGGCAAAUCAUUAUAACUGAGAGAAAGUAUCCUUUUAACUCUGUCCAGCUUACCAGUGCCUUCUAAUUCACCCCCAAGACUGCGUCGAACCAUCUCCCAUUCCUCUGUUCUGUUUACAUCUUUCAAAGCCAAAAGCCCGCUGAUUGCAAGAAUCGCAAGGGGCAAGCCCUCACAUUUGUCCAAUAUACCUUUGGCAACAUCCAUCAAGUGGCCAGGGCAACUAUUUCCCUUGAAGAUCUUGUUACAAAACAGGAUCCACGAAUUUUCAAAGGACAGUGGCUUCAUUCUGUAGACAAGACCCCGAGAUUCAAUGCAAGAGGCAGAGGCUACAUCAACUUUUCGAGUUGUUAGCAUGACGCGGCUGCCGCGACUGCUCUCUGGCAUUACAAAUUUGAUGGUAUUCCAAAAUUCCACGUCCCAUACAUCAUCGAAAACAAUUGCAUACCUUCCAGCUUGUUGAAGAAAAUCUUUGAUAAUUUCUUUCAGCUGAGUGGUAGUCAUGGACUCGAUCCAUCGCGGAACUGGUUUCUUCCCUGCCUCGUGUAACUGCCGAAUCAAGUCUUUCAGGAGGAACUGAAAGUCACAUGUUUCAGAGACAGUUACCCAAGCCCGGACUGGGAAAUGCCUUCUGACUUCAGGAUCCUCAUGGACUUUUUUCACUAGGGUAGUUUUGCCAAGUCCUCCCAUACCAACCACUGAAACAACUUUCAGUUGGUAAUCAUCCCCUUUGAGGAGCUCAGAAAUAAGAUGUUUCUUGGGCUGGUCAAUGCCAACUAAUUUAGCUUCUUCCACAAGCAGCGCAUCAUCUCUGCUAUAGCGCCAGGUUGUGUCGUUCACAGCAGAAAGUGAGUUGGACGCUUGGGCAGAGAUACCAUAUUCGGAUUGGUAUCUUUGAUGACCUGCAGAAAUACUUUCGAUUCUGGACUUGAUGCUUUGUAUUUCGCUGGCAACUCGAUGACGAGCUCUCAAAUUCUUGAUGGAGCUGAAAAUUCUCCGAACAGAGCCGUAGAAUCCUGUUGCGUCAUGCCGAGCAAAGCGAGCUACAAAUUCAUCAAGAAUGUCCUCAGUGUCAUAAGCAGCAUCCCGCACUUGCUUGAUCCAUUGUUGGAGCGUGGGUUGAGCAUCUUCUUCUCUUGCUUCUGCCUCUCGCAAGAAAGCUCUCAUUUGCUCCAACUCAUCCAUGAUGAAUUGGACCUCUGGCCGAAGCCCUCCCAAUAGUCGUCCCUCCUCGUGCAGAAAAGUUAAGAGUUGACGCAGCACAAAAGAGAGAACAGUUUCUGCCAUUUUUAGUCUUUCUUUUUAACCUAAGAAUGUCGGGGGAGGCGGCUUCUGGUUUAUAGGACAGUCCAGUUGUAGUAUCUUGAAAGGAAGAAGGAAGAGUAGGUUAUAGAUUCAUAAGCUGAUGAACUUUGAUACCAUAUGGUGCAGUAUAUAUUAAGGUGCUCUUUUUCUCCUUUACUCUAGUAAGCAUAUUAUUUUCGUUUUCUUCUUUUUAUUUUUUUAAAAAAUCAUGCUUAAUUAAGAAAAUUAGCGUUAUCCUACUCGUAACUUCAUAAGUCAAAAGAUCAUGUAAAGUAAAUUUCUGCUAACCAAUUAGUAUUUGUAAUAUCAAAGAAACCUUAGGAACAAACCACUCAAACUAAUUUUUACAAUAAUUAAUAAAGUAGAAAUACUAAAUUCAGUGUUAUUUUUUGUUAAUAGCAGCUCAUGAGUGUGAAAAUUGUGGAAGAUCGAAGCAUGCCAAGAAUAAAGUUUAAUUUAAACUUAGGAUCCAUGAGCGACUAAUAACUUGGCCAAAGUAUUUUAUCCACCUGAUUUAAUUAACUUCAAAAGUUUUAUUGAGCUGGCUAGCCUGGACUGACACAACAAUUGGGGUUCCAAUUAACUAUAAUAGUAACGUGACUUAGUUCAAAUUACAAAACUCGAUCACAAGUAAUCGUACGGAGUUGAACAAGUUAGUGUUAGUCCCUUGUGAUCACCAAUUUAAUCUAUUAUCUCACUUCUUUCUUUCUUUUGUUUUUUCUAUCCCUCCUUUUGCAGUUGUGGAAUUACUGCAUCUAGGACUAGAUAGGACGAAAGGCCGCUCAUUUUUCCAAUUAGAAACGUGGCUAUGUUCAUAAAAAAGAAAAAAAAAAGCCUUGAACUUCAAGAAAAGUAAACAAAUCUCAGCACUUACUUGAGAGAAAAUGAAACCUCUGGCAAUAGCUGAUCUGAACCUACCCUGUCAAAUCCAAGUUUGAUGAAAAAGAGAACACGGGCGAGGAAGAUGAUAAUUUGAACCAAAAUUAAAACAAUGCGGUAUGUGCCUUUAGCUAUUGAAGAUGGAGUAUUAUAGAGGAGAAGGUAGAGGAGCAGUACCGUUAUUGAUAAGAAAGUGGAGUGAAAUUGGCCCAUGACUUUCCUGGUUGGAUAGUAGAACAAUUACUCAACGUGGUGGACCUAAGAUUAGAUUGUGUAUCUCAUCCAUUGGCUGUCAGAGUGGCACAUGGCAAUAAAAAUCGAGACUUAAAUGAUAUGGGGUCAGAGUCCAUUGUUAGGUGAUCGGAGAAUGAGUAGUUUAGUCAUUUCACGAAAUAUUAAUUGUAUUCAAGUUAAGAUGGAUAGUACUUAAUUUUCCAUUUAUGAAUUAUGUCAAAUUACACAAUUCUUUUGAAUUUCCAAAUUUCCCACUUCCACGUUGAGAGUUUUCCAAUCAUAUUUAUUUAGAAUUUUAAGUUUGCAACUUCACUGCAUAGGUCCAGGUCUACUUUGAAAAAUUUUAUGUCGGUCCCAAUCAAUUACUUAACAUGCCUAACAGUUGGUAACACAUCUAAAAUUCAUCUAAUCUAUUUGUGCUCUUAUGGUACAUAAUAGCAAAAGCCUUAAUUUUAUUUGUCUGUGAACAUUAGGCUGUUGGCCGGCUGGUAUAUCAAUUUGAUUAAUCGAAUUAUAGUCUUGUUGGCUUGUCCUUCCAACCCACGAUGUGCUCAUAAAAUGUUGGACGUGAAGAAAGAAGUGGAAUUGAAAAUAUUGGAGAUGGCUAAAAUUGAAUGUUCAGCACAAGACAAUUGAGGUAAACCCUUAACCACGUAGCCAAAUCCGAUCACCACCAUCUUAUCAUGUCUAAUUUUUCUUUUUGUUUAUUGCAAUGAGUAAAAAAAAAAAAAAGAUACACUCGAAUACGUCAAAUCAUAAUUUCGUGUUUCUAUUUUUCUUCUUUGCUUCUUUGUAAAAUGAAUGACUUUGGAUCACCAGUGUAAUCUUUCAUCUCAGUUCUUUUUCUCCAGCUGUGAAAUUAUUACAACUAAGACUAGGUUAGGAGUAAGGGACAUGAAGUAACCGGAGGAUAAGGUGCAUCAUAUGAGCCACUAGGGAUGUAAUCGAGUCAAGUCAAACUCGAAUAUUGCUAUACUCGAGCUCGACUCGACUCAUAUAUAUCUAGGCUCGAGCUCGACCGAGUACACAAAAUCGAUAUUCGAAACUUGACUCGAGGAACUCGCUUUAAACUCGAGACUCGACUCGAUAAGACUCGACCUUUAGUCAAGCCUUAUCAAGUCGAGCCUAAUCAAGUUUUUUUACUCGACUCGAACAAUUAUGUUAUUACUUUUUUGCCAUUAUGAACUUUUUUUAUAGAGAAGAGUUUAUUGUAAAUUCUGUAAAACUUAUACCCAUAAUGGUCAUUUUAUAAUUAUAAUACAUAUAUAUUAUUUAAAUUAUAAAUAUAUUAUUUAAAUACCCUCGACUCGACUAGUAGCUCGACAAGUCUCGAGUCUCAAAAUAUUGGCUCGAAACUCGACUCGAAUGACAAUCGAGUAGCUCGAUAUUCGGCUCGAACUCGGUCAACUCGAGUUCAAACCAAACCGUUAACCGAGCUACUCGCGAGCUACUCGAUUGUGACUCGACUCGCGUACAUUCCUAUGAGCCACUCGAACACUGUAUGCUGAAAAAGCAGCUUUGAAACAAAAGAAGAAGCAGAGGCACAAAAUUUUCCUAUGGUUCCUAGAAACAGUAUAAGAAAGAAGAUAGAAAGACAUUAUUGACAUUAUAAAUUCUUGUCAAUUAAUGUUCGUCAUUUUUAUAUGGUAACUUACUGCAGAAAAAUUGUCAAAACCGUGUGAGAAAGUUAAGGACGAAAUACGAAGAAAAUUCUUACUCAUCAAGAAACUGCAGCGAAAAAAAAAUUGUAGAGAUGAUGGAAAUAAGAAGAAACUAACGCAAGAGAGAUGAUGGAAAUUGAAUGGAAAGAAGAUAGUUAGCAACGUGGUUUUGAAAGGCGAAGCUACACUACAAAAUCAUGGAAAUUGUUAGGGAGACAAAUGCAGUUGGUGGGGCGUUCACUCUUCAGCACCUUUCGGCUGUGUUUCUUCGAUCAAAUAAAGGAGUGGCUACCAGUGUACCACAGCAUCGUUCAAAAGCAAUGAUGUCUUAAGCUUAAAACGUGGUGGCUUGGACAUUGAUUUCAUUGACGUAGAAAUAAAGGGAAAAUACAGAUUUAGCCUCUAAUAUUUUGCCUUUCGGCAGUUUUAGUCAUUAAAAUUUUGAAAAAUGCAAAUUUGAUUCUCAAUGUUUAGCACAUGUGCAAUUUUAUCCCUAAAAUAUUGGAAGGAACAAAUUUGGUCCCCUAUGUUAUAGUCUUGAAGCAGAUUUAGGAUGAUUGACGAAUUUUUUCAAAUAUUGGUAGAAUCUGUUACGUGUGAUUACAUGCUUGUUAAUUUAAAUAUCUUAAAAAAGAAGUAAAAUAGCGAGUACUCUUCAAUAAUAAGACCAGUUUACAUGAUGCCAUGCCAGUAACUAAUUAAUCAAGAGAAAUAAAAAGAAAUAAAAUUUGUUAAUCUAUAUGAAAAAGUAAAUGUUACGAUUUUGUGCUUGGCAUAGUCAGGAUAGAGUGUAAAAAUGAGUUCUAUAUUGAUGAAUUGGGUGCUUCAAGAAGGCCUCUUUGGAACCUGAAUUUUUUGGGAGUUUGUCUAAAACUUUACUGUAGUGCACUGUAGAAGUUUUUGAAAAAAUUUUGUAGAAGUUUUUGUAAGGUGAAAAAUUUUUUUGUAGAAGUUUUUGUAAAGUGAAAAACUUUUUUUCUUUUUCUUUUUCUUUCUUUUCUUUUUCUUUUCUUUUCCUCUCUUCUUCUUCUUCCUUCUCCCCCCCGGUGACCUCUGCCUUCCCAGUUCCCAGCAGCUAGAGGUGUCAAAUCAACCCAUUUAACUAAAUUUACCCAUACCCGCCCAUGAAUAGAUGGGUAUGGGUAUCUUAAAUUUUUGUAUAUGGAUAUAAAUGGGUUACCCAAUAAUACCCAUUUAUUAAAUGGGUAUUAUUGGCUAACCCAUGAAACCCAAUUAACCCAUUUAAAAUUCUCUUCCCCCCAAGUCUCUUCUUUUCCCCCACCUUUUUUUUUUCAAAAUUUUCAUUUUGUCAUGAUGUUAACUACUUUUGUUUCAUUAUUAUUAUUAUUAUUAUUAUUAUUUGUUGGUUUUAUCUUAUUAUUUUAUUUUCUCUUAGUUUGUUAACUUGCUCAUUUUUUAGCAUUAUCAAUUUAUGAUAAAUUUUAGCCUAUUUUCUUAUCUUUAUAAAAUGAAAUUUUAAAUUUAUAUAUGAAAAAAUGUUAGGGGUUCAAAAUUUUUGGAUUAAGUUUUUAUAUUAAUUUUUAUAGUACUUAGUUCAAAUUUUUAUAUUCUUAUUAUUCAAUUAUUAAAUAAUAGGUAAUUUUGUGACAUAGAGUAUAAAUGAAAAAAAAUUGGUAAUUAAGUUUAUUGAACAUUAUAAGUAAAUAUUUAAAACUAAUGAUGGGUACAAAGAGUGGUAUAAAUUGAUAAUUUAGUUUGCAAAAAUGAAUUUAAAUAAGUUUACAAAAAGUUAAAAUAAAUGGGUUAUAAAUGGGUAAUUGGGUUACCCAAUUCAUUUUUUGACUUACCCAUUUAUACCUAUCUAAUUAAAUGGGUAUAAAUGAGUUGACUCACUUGUACCCAUUACCCAUUUUACCCAACCCAAACCCGCCCAAGUCACCCAUUUUGACACCUCUACCAGCAGCCAUGGCCCUGCCAUUUUUUUUCUUUUCUUUCUUUUUCUUUUUCUUUCUUUCUUUCCUUUUUCUUUUCUUUCCUCUCUUCUUCUUCUUUUUCUUCAUUCCCCUCCCCCCGUCACCUCUGCAUCUGAUUGUAAAAAGACCCAGUAGAUGGUCACCUCUGCAUCGACCGCCACCCCUUUUCUCCCGCUCCCUCCACCGCCACCCCUCUCCCCAUCCCCCUUCCAUCGCCCGCCUCUGCAAAAGAAGACUGGCACCUGAGUUUUGCAGUAACAGAAACAAUUUUUUUCCAAUUUUCCCUUUCCCUCUCCAAUCCUUCUCUUGCUGGCAGAAUAAGCCGCAACAGGAAUUCUUUUUUUUUUUGGCAAUUUUCCUUUUCCCCCUCUCUCCCGAUUGCAAAAAAAAAUCGAGCAAAGGGGGAGGAUGGCAGGUUGCAAAGGAUUCCGAUCCGGGACUGUGCCAUGUUUCUUGAACUGAAGCUUUUCUUGCCGCUGCACUUGAUUGAAGAUGACACCAAUGGCUUGUGAGCAGUUGCAGCAUUUGUAGUGUCAGCGGCUCUGUGGAGACGGCACCUGAACAAGCCAGCAUGGGUCGUUGGAGCACAAAGGCAAAGCUGCUGCUUCUGCUUGUUGGAUGAUUUGCCAUGACCACUUGUUUUUUUGUCUGACCCACUACCCUUCUUAUCAGGCUCAACAUCACAGUGAUUUGACCGAGUAAUUCCUUUGCAAGGGAGGAAGAGGGGGAGAGGGAGAAAAGGAAAAAAAAAAAAAGAAGAUGGGCAUUGGAACCGGCGGCAGAGGUAGUGGCCGGCGGCGGAGGUAGUGGCCGGCGACGGAAGUGGUGAUGGGUUGGGGUGAGGGAGGAAAAAGAAGAAAAGGGGUAGGGAAUUUUUUUGUUUUUGUGUUUUUGAUAUUUUAAAGUGUGUAAGUUAAAAAUUUUGAUAAGUUUUUAAGGUUCCUGUAGCAAAAGUUGUUAAAAAACUUGUAUCAUACAAACUUGGUUAAAAACCAAGGUUCCAAACAGGCCCUUAGUUUAAAAAUUUUCAAUUUUUACUAGUUAAUUAGUUAGCAUAUGAAUUAUCAGUUCUUAAUUUUGUUGUUUAAAGUUAGCUACUAAUAACUUGGCACAUGUUUCAUUCUAUAAUUAUCAUGUCUGGAGGUUCAAUUUUUUCUUCUGAGAUUUGUCCAUUUUGGCUAGAUUAUACUCACCUUUCACGAUCAAAUUGAAUUUUCAACGCACCAAGGUUUUCUCAAAUCGCUUCAUACAAGAUGCAUGAUAUUUGUUCUGAUUUACCAUAUCAUCUCCGCAUUUGGCAUGGGAUCUUACUGUUGACCUCAUUGUAAUGAUAUAUGGUCAAAAUGGAACUAAUAAGUGGGCGUAUGGUUCGCAGGUGCCGACCGUCCAAAUGAAUCUGUCCUUUUGCAGUUUUACUUGUGCAAGAAUAAUUAAUUUGUGGGAAAAACUCGCUACUUAUCUGCAAGGACUAAAUAAAUAUUGGCUAUGGUUAGCGAGAAUGUAUCCUUGUAGAGAAGAUUUUUAUGUAGGGAUAUUGUUACGAAAAAAAGAAUUUUGAAACAUAUAGUUGGAUUGGUUUUUCCUGAUUUUAAAGAGUCAUAGGCUAAAAAAGUAGCAGUGGUUCACAAAUUUUCCUUUUUUUUUUCUUUUUCAAAUCCUAGCUUGAUGCCCCUACUUGAGUUAAUAAAUUGAAAUUCACUAGUAAAAGUAACUAUUGUAGAGUCAUAAUUUGGACUCAAAUGUGAUAAGGUGUGUGAGAACCCUGAAAAAAUAUAUAUAAAUAUUAGUGCAUAUUUCAUUUGCAUUUAUAAUUCUUUAAUAGAUUUUAGCAUUAAAUCUAAUUGUUUUUAAAUAAGUGCGUAGAAAUAAAUUUUAUGUGCAAAAUAAAAGAAUUGUGCUAAACUAUUAAAUUUCCUAGUCUAGUUACAUUAAAUUCAUAUUCCGAAGGUAAAUUAUUUCAUUGAUUUAACAAUUAAUUUCUUUGAAUUCCGAUAGCUAGUUUUAAUCGUUAAUAAUGUUCAGUGUUAAUAGGAACCUUAGCAAUAAGAUGAAUUUGGUAAAUUCUAGAUAAAAUCGAUACAAGUAUACUAGGUUCGCCUAGAACGUAAAAACCUUGAAAUUAUAAAUAUACAUAUAUGUACGUGUUGCAUGUACAUUUUAGAUCUUUAAUAAACGUUGUUAUUAUCUGGUCUUAAAUAAGUGUGCAAAAAUAAUUUGUUUUAGAUUACAAAUAAUUCAAUUGUGCAAGAUAUUAGAUUAUUUGAAUUUUUGCCAAGUAAAGGUAAUUUUUCUUGAUGUUGAGUGUGCCAUUGUUUUUAUUUUAAUUCUUUGGUUCCAAUAACUAAUUUUAAGUAUUAACGACGAUAGGUGCUAAGGAAAACUAGAAUUAAGACGAAACGUUUAGGUUAAAGCUCUUUAUAAUUAUUUUAGGGACGUUGUAUCUCGAUAAUUGAAUUUUUCAAGGUUGGUAUAUUAGUAGGCAUUUGAUUUAUAUUUAGGAAAUCUUGGAGUUAGUUUAGGAUUGAAGGGCUUAAGUGGAAAUUUGGAUGAAAUGUAAAAAGACCAAAUUAGCCUUUUCCAAGUUAAAAUCACCAAGCAGCCGUGAAGAAAAAAAAAAAUGCUAGAAGCAACUCAUUUCCAAACAAUUCCAAUUUCUGUCGGUUCAUUCCAGCAUCUUCCAUUUCUUUUGCCGACCAACCCCACUCACGAUAACCUCAAUAUAUACACCCCAUUAACCAUACACUCCACACUAUACCAUUUCCAAUCCACUAUAAUAGUACACUUCCAUUUGCUUUCUGCCGUGAGCUGUGAGGAAACAACUACCUUGGAAGUAUCGACGAGAGAGAGAGCCGUGCGAGCUUCGGUUCUUGAACUGUCCGAGAGAGGGUGAGAGCAAGAGAUAAUCGUGUGAGCUUCAUUGCUUCCUUCAUCAUCUGAGAGCUGCCAUUUCAUUCUUCACCUCAACCAGCCGUGAUCACUUCAACCUCAAUCACCACAGCUGCAAUUACUGAACUCAGACCAACCAUCCCCGAGUGCGUGAGCAAAGCCGUGAGGGAGGAAAAUAUUUCUGCUGUGGGCCGAGUGUGUUAAGCUUCAGGCUGAGGUAAUUUCUAGACUUAAAUGAGUUGUUUAUGGGUUAAUGAAGCUGGUUAUAAGCAUGCAUGUGGGGUUGUGCGGUUGGAUGACAAAAUUAAGUUACAAGAAAACUGAUUUGGAAAGAAUUGGAGCUGCCGAGAGUUAGAGCUGGAAUUGCAGCUUUAGUUUGUUAACUUGUGAUGAUCUGAGCUUAACCUUGGGCCAAUUUGAUAGAUAGCCUUUUAUUUGGUGUUGCAUGUGAACCAUAUGGCCAGGAUUUCGGUUGCAUGGCUGGAAAUUUUCACUAGAAGUUGCUGGACUGCUUAAUCAAUUUUCCAGUUUGCCGAUGGAGUUGUUUUGGGAGUUGUAUGAAUAUUUUAGUAUGAGAUUUGCUGGAAAGUGUUUGAUUCUCACUUGGUGGUGUGUUUAGCUAACUAAAUGCUGGAUGAUUAAGCCCCGCAUGAGAUUAAUUAGCUGUGUGUAAAUCAGAAAAAUAAAAUGAAACCAAAAGUCUGCUGCAGGCAUGUCAUCCGUAGUUAGUUGAGCAGAUCCUAGAAUUUUGAAUGAAUGUUGUUGGUGACCGACCCUGUUUUGGACUAGAAUUAAUAGUAACUUCAUUUAUUAGUAAUACAUGUUAGCUGUGAGUACAUAAUUCAGUGAUUUGGCCAAGGAAAAUCCGGAUUAAUGAGUGACUAAGCUGCUGGAAUUUUUCCAGUGUAGCCGAAUGAAGAAGAAAAGAAUUUUCCAGUUUUCUUUUGCGAAUUUUGGGUUUUAAAAUUAUGUUACAAGCUGUAAAUUUUGUGUCGUUGAUUAAGAGACCCCGUAAGCAUAACAAUUACCAUUUACAUGAUAAGCUGGGAGUGUAAAAGAUCGAAGUCUUGUUGCUGGAAAAUUUGGUUAAUGGCCGAAUGAGAAAGGAGCUUGAAAUUCUUAUAUUGGCUUGAUAAUUGGCUACAAUCUCAAGUAAAAUGUCUUAUAACAUCUUGUGCUAGUUUCAUGAUUAUCUUAUUGAUUGUAACACUUGAAAAACUGGUGUAUUGGAACAUGAACUAAAAGAAUUUCUGAAGGAAAAUAUUUUUCCAGCAUGGCCGAAUGGGUUGGGACUUUUGGUGGAUUUAUUUGCUGGAUUUGUGCAUUAUUUAUUUUAGCUUGGUUUGGACAGAUUAUAGGCUAUACGUUUGGUGUUUCUAGCAAGUAAAAGUUGGACAUCUUGGAUUGAAAUUUACUGGAAUUUUCUUGACUAUCGAAACAAGAAAAGAAAAUCUGAGUUCCUAAGUGUAUUUGUGAGUAAGCUAACCGUGACUUUCUUCUAUGCUUGAGUUAAACUUUUAGUUGACUUGUUGUAAGAAAUAUUUGUUUGAUGCCAAGAGCUAAUGAUUGAUGAAGCUUUUGGCCAUUUGAGUAAUUUUUGCAAGGGUUAAAUUCUUGGUGGAAUUAUUUAAGUGGUUUGGCCAAAAUGCAUUUGGAAGGUCCACGAUUUGUGAUUUGGAAUUGUUUUAAUACUUUGGACUUCCUUUGGUUGAUUUUGAUUAGAAUUGAAUCUGUUGAGACCUAGGGCUAAUGAUUGAUGAAACCCUAGUGAAAUGGAUGUUCGAAUUGUGUUUUUGCUAUAUUGGCGACUUGGAAUAUAAUGUGCAAAUGAAUUGAAAUCGUGAAGUCCGUUCUAGUCUUUUGAAUUCAAGUAUCUUUAAAUCAAAUCUUGUGGGAAUAUUUUGCCUUAAUAUCAAGUUAUAUACAUUGAGUAUAGUACGUUAAUAUUAAAAUCUAGAUAUCGGGACUUUUAAAACCUUGCCGAUUUGUUAAUUCUUUUCUUUAUUUAAACUAGUGUUUGACCUUUAAUAAAUAAUUGCAUUAACUUCCAAACUUUAAGUUUUUCACAAAAUUAUCCUUGACCAAUUGUUUUAAAGGAAAUUUGUUAAAAACAUUAGAUUUGAAUAAUUUCAAAUAAAAGACAAAGGGAACUUGUUCGACAAGAAAACUUGUUUGAAUUAAUUUGGUUCUAGUUUGCCCUCUAGUAGGGAAAUACCUUUAAAGAAACCAUACGAGAUAUUUUAUUUCUUUACUAGCCUUAAUUCCAAGGGAAUGAUUGAUUUGUUUCGAGAAAUUAAAUUAGUUUUAUAGAAGAUAACCUUUUAUAUACAAAACAAAAGUUUGUUUAGUAAAACUUAUAGUUUUAAAAAUUGGAUUUCUAGGGUGUAGCGAGGACGUGGACUUCGAUUCCCAACUUGACUUUUGAGCUUCACUUUUGGUGAGUGUCCCUGCCUGAUUUAUGGCUAUUUGGUUAAAGUGCUUUAUCGACUCGUUAUGUGAUAAUUGCCAAAAAUGGUUGUUGAUCCAUCGAAGUGAGCAGUGUGUACUUUAUCGCACUAGCCUUUCGAGUGGUGACUUGCUUGAAGUGUUUUUCGUGAAUAUCUUGCUUGUGUUUGCUAAGUGCUAAAUUACUAGGCAGGAGAAUGUACCACACCAUAAAGGUGGGAGGGCCUCUUAUCCUGUCCUGGUAAUCAAGUGUUGGACGUAAAGUCGUUGAGUGAAUCCCUCGAUCAGUCUAUAAUAAUCAAGUGUUGGACGUAAAGUUGUUGGGUGAAUCCCUCGAUCAGUCUAUAAUAAUCAAGUGUUGGACGUAAAGUCGUUGGGUGAAUCCCUCGACCAGUCUAUAACAAUCAAGUGUUGGACGUAAAGUCGUUGGGUAAAUCCCUCGACCAGUCUAUAAAUAUAAGUGUUGGACGUAAUGUCGUUGGGUGAAUCUCUCGACCAGUCUAAGGUAUACUCGAAUAUUAUCGCUUCCCUAUUUAUUUACUUCAGUCGAAUCAAUACGUGUUAAUUGUUUCAAGUGAUUGCAUGAUUUUGGGGCACCACUGAGUUUUAGCUCACCCCACGUUCAUUUGUUUUCCUUACAGGUUGUGAAGUUUGAAAGAAUUUGAGCUGCUUAUAUUUCCUAUGAAUGUAAUUGAACAACUUGAAUUUGAAUUUCGGUUUGUAAUGAAUUCCAAGUUAAGCAUUUUAUCUUUCAUUUUGGAUUGCCACUUGAAGCUGGAAAAGUGUAAACCCUAAUUCUGAUAUGUGGCUUGAAUGUAUGUAUUUGUGUGGUAUGGCUUUAACCCUUGUAAGUAACGCGUGAAGUGUUUAAGAGCCGUCGAUUGGCUAACUUCGGAUGCUGUUAUCUUUGAAGUUAAUGUGGUGUUAGAAACCGAUUUUUUUUUUGGAAGAAUCUCUAUUGUAAUAGUUUAGGUUGAUCUCCGGAAGGAUUUGGGUUAGUGUGCCUGCGUGAGUCCUGGCGAGAGUUAGGCAGACGGCCUGCCAACCCUCUGGUUCGUCUUAGGGGGAAGUGGGGUCGUCACAAUGUGCAUUAUUUGACCUACUUGAAUAUUGUAUUUUGGAAAAUUAAUUUCAAAACAAAAGAAGAAACAGAGACACUAAGUUUUUCCGAUGACCAUAUGGUUCCUAGAAACAACAUAAGAAAGGAGAUAGAUAGAAACACAUUAUCGAUAUUAUAUAGCUCUGUCAAUGUUUCCCAAUUUUAUAUUGUGACUUAAAACCGAAGAAUUUUUCAAAGCCGUAAGAAAUUUAAGAACGAAAUACGAGAAAAUUUCUUACUCACAAAAAAAGAAGCUGCAGCAAAUAAAUGGAGUGGAGCCAUUGUAGUCAGAAAGAAAAAGAGAAACUAAAGCAAGAGAUGUGAUGGAAAUUGAAUAGAAAGAAGAUAGACAGCAACGUGAUUUUGAGAGAGAGAGCGACGAAGCUACCUUACUGCUACACAACAAAAUCAUGGGAAUUAUUAAGAGGACUAUGCACUUGGUGGGGUGUGGACAAGGGGCACGGACCAUCCCCAUCGGACGGUUUUGGCCAUUUUCAACAGCUCAUAACUUUGGUUGCACACGGCGUAACUUUAUUUGUACAACGUGUAACUUUAGUACAAAAUUUUGUGGGUCCCACACACGAUGUGAAAAUCGAUGCACAAUUUGUGAUCUGGACAGCACAAUUUAUUGAGGCCAAAUCAUGGCCAUUAAUAGCUCAGGAGCGCUCCUGCCCCGUUUCCGUGGGGUGUUCACUCUGUGGAUCAUUGUUAUGAGCUAAUAAUCCAACAGGAACGGAGAGAACUGUUUGUGCGACUUUCAGUUUUGUAGAUUACUAGUUUAUUUGGGCCUCACACGUUGCGUGACGGUGCCCGGAAAGAGUAUAAUCUAUGCAAGUAUACAUGGUCAAAAACUGUAAUAAUUCUCCAGGCAUUCUCAUCAAAUUCUUUGACCAAACAGAUAUGGUAUCUUGUCUCAAGAAACUACCCAAAACUCCAGCAUUUGUUCAUGCCGUCAACAUAUAAACAUCAGAUUUCAAACUCCAGCAUUUCUUUUAGUGCAUUAAAAGCAUAAAUGCACCAUUAUCACUUCAUGUAUUGCCACACCGACUGAUCUUGAAGAUGACAUGCUAAAAACGAUUGCAGUUGGUGCACAGGUAAAAUCAGUAUUAAUAUAUGCUGGCACCUGUACGAGCUUGUAGCAUAGAUGGCAGCAAAUUGGGGUCAUAAAGGAGCAAAACACGAACUUCAACAAAUUUUAAUCACAAAAAGUCACUUCAGAGAAUUAUAAUUACAAAAUUCGAGUAAUUGAUAAAUGACAUUUUGAACAUGCUUCACAUAUUUGGAGCAAAUGUAUUUCCAGUCACUUCAUUAUCUAAUCCAUAAAUAUCAUAGUGAUCAUUAUCUUCACAUAUCGUAUUAAGCAUUCUUGAAACUACAUUCGUUUGAGCUUCAACGGUGACAAGAGACCUUGGGGUAGGGGGUGAGACCACCCAAGUAAUAGCUUUCCAAUCAAGCCUUUUAAAACAUUUAGCAUGUAGUAAGUGGAUACAAAUCAAAGAGCUCCCUCUAUAUCAUCAAACAACAGGAACAUAGAGUAUAAAGAAAAUUCGUCCUUUGACUUGAACUAAGUCAUACAAAAUGACUAUUACCUAAGAGGUUCAGUCCCUUGGAAGAUGGGGAAUGAUGCAAUCCUUUUUAAGGAAAACUGGUUAAGAAUGAUAGUAUAUACCUGCAAAUUUUCAAACUACUAUCCAGCUUCUUUUGAUGGUUUAUCCUAAAUUUCGACUAAUAAGAAAGCACUAAAUGUGGGAGAAAGAGAAACAGCAAAUAAAUUGCAGAAUGCAAAUGAAAUGAAAUGCUGAAACAGAGACAAAAUUUCAAGUUUACCAAAAUGCAAUGGAAGAACUUCUUGGACUCAUCGUCAUGUCUGAAGGCCUCAAAAGCAGAAAUUCAGCAAAAAAAUUAAAAACAUAUUUGACUCUAAGGACAAGAAAUACUUGAGCCCAACCAACCAAAUAAGGCAGGCAAAGUGAAGAAGAAAGCAGCUUCCAAGGGUGGAUAAAAAUUUGACCGAAAAUAAUUAAGAACCUGACAUAAGAAUGAUCUUCCAGGAUCAAAUUUAGAGCAUAUAAACGAUCAACAAAUUUGUAAUAAAAACUAAUCAAAAAAUCCAAAAUAAUAGGUACUUGAAAAUAGUGUGUGCUGAAAACAAUACGCAUUGGGGAAUUGCCCCCAAAAUCACCCCAAUGGCCCUAUCUUCCCUACUAUCAGUAUUAGAGCAGUAAUUGGACCCAACAAUAAAUCAAAAAUAUGCAUGCAAAGAAUGCCAGAAGAAUCCAAUGAGCAUUUAAGAGCAUAAGAACAACUGGCAAAGCCUGAAACUUGGUAUAAUUUAAAUGCCAUAACAAAAGGAUAAACAUAAACGAAUCAAUUAGAAAGAAAAAAAAAAGUUUUACUGGAGGUGAAAGAAAACAAACUUGGCCAUCUCACAUUCAAUACGAUUCUGAGCUUGAAGAACACGGAAAUUUCAUGCUUCCUUAUCCCCUGACGCUUUAUUCUUCUGUCAAAGCACUCAUGUGCACAUUUGAAAUAAGCUUGUUGCAAUAUUAGAUACCCACAAUUUGAAAAAUUUAUAAUCUCAAUUACUUUUAUUAACUGAAUUGCCUCUAAAUUUUCUGCAUAAUUCGGUCGGUUUUAGAUUUCAUAGAAGAUGGAGAAGUUCUUGGACUAAUUUACGAUGGGUUGGAACAGAAGAUGGAGAAACCAAUCGCACUGAUGGAUCUCAAUCUACCGUCCAACUGUAUCAUUAUGAAAAGACCCAAUAACCAAGCCUACAAGCUCACAUCAAUAACUAAUUAAAGGGUAAAAUUGUGAGAUAAGGGUUAGCUAGUAAAAUCACAUUGCCACAUCACGUGCCAGCCGCACAUCCCAACUCAGUCCUAACUCCAACAAAUCAAAUGUUCAUCUGAUAUUCCAUAUUUAGCCACCUAGACAAGGUGUCCAUAGGGGACCAUAACUACUGUUCAUAAGCUAACUCUCCUUUUUAUUCCUUUUAGGAUUUAGCUCUCAACAUCAAACUUAAUCAAUUCAGAUUUUAAUAUAUUCAAACCGUUUGAUAACAAAAAAUUGAACUAAAUUAUUUAAACAAAACUUGUUCCCAAGAUUAAGUGAUAAGCUAUUUAUUUAUCACUGAAUAUGAUAUGCACUCAAAUGUAUUAGAUUUAAUAUUUAAUAAUUCAAUAAAUUCAGAUUUCAGUUUUCAGACUUCAGUUUUAUCAAACGCAACCUCAAUGAUAAGUGAAUAACUUAUCACUUAAUUUUAGGACUAAGUUUUACUUAGAAAAUUUAGUGCCACUUAAUUAAUUCAGAUGUUCAAUUUUUAAUUAUCAGACAGUUUGAAUAUGUUAAGAUCUGAAUUCAUUAAAUUUACGUGUUGAAGCGGGUUACCAAAUAGGGCCUUAAUAUAGGAUUCUUUUGCGCUGUGCCAAAGAAUAAGAGAUGGACUCGCUUUAACUAUGUGGACAUUAAUCAGUCGAGUCUAAUCAAACUCAAUGAAGCAUAGGUAAUAUAAAUUAAUAUUUUAUAUAAUUUUAAAUCAGGAUACAAUUGACAUUUCACACUAAUAAAUAUUAAAAAUUUUCAAAAGGAUAUAUUACAUUUAAAUCUCGAUUGAGUUCAACUGAACUUGACGAAUUUUCAAGUUUCAUAUAGUAGACUCGAACUUGAACUCUUCAAGCAAUUUGAGAUACUCGAACUAAUUAAAUAUUGAACUUGGUUAACCUAAGUUUUGACAAAACAUGCUGGUGAGUAAUUUGAUUGGGCACGACUUGUUUUGCACCCAUACGACAAAAUACUCUCAAUUAAGGGAGUAAGUGACUGUGUUGCAAUUUUAUGGUGGGCUCAUCUCUCUUUUUGUGCUCUUAUGGUACAUAAUAGAAAAUAUCUGACCAAAUUUCGGCAUAAAUAUACAUGUGUGUUUAAGUAGAAAUGAGGAAAGAUCACAAGAGAACGAGAAUCUACUGCCAUAGAUAAAGAAAAACCCAACUCAAAAUGAAUAUUCUAUCAAAGUUACAGGAGAGUAGGGUUGCAGCUGAGUUUUGAGCAUGUUGUGGGUUAAAGUUGGUUUUAGAUUUUUUUUUUCUCCUUUCUCGUCAAUUGAAGAAUGGACUGGGGAAAGUGAGAUUUCAAUUUCUGUAACUCGGCAGUCGGGGAUUGAUUUAAGAAGACAUUAGACAUUAAUGUUGGUAGUGCUACUAUGGUUGGACUAAGUCAUGGACGAAGUUAAGAAUAGAAAAUUAUGAAUGAAACUUUUAGGAAGCUACCGAGAAAUCUGUAAGCACAGUUUGUUUUCACCUACCAACGCCAAGAAGCCAUUUUUACACUAUUUGUAAACCUUGAAUUCCAUGAUAAUGUAGUUACUUUAGCCUAAGCUUUAAGUACCCCUACCCUUAAUUUAGGGUAAAUUAAACAUAACUUCCUAUGGUUUCACUCAUUGUCGUAUAACCCUAUAACAUAGUAAAAUAUAUAUUUCACUCGCUUAGGUUCAAUAUAACUUUACGAAAAAUAAUCUCUGCAACGUCGUUAGUUCAAAUAUUAAUAAUUUCCUUACUCUAAUACUAAAGCGAAUAAAUGCCUAACCAUCUUGGAUAAAACCGUAGGGGAAUUGUGUGGAUAAAUGCAUAAGGUAAGGUGGGUAUUUAUAUAAAGGGUUAAAAAUAAAAAAGCCCCCUGUGGUAAGCCUAAUACACAGAAAACCCCCCCAAUGGUUUCAAAAUAUACAAUACGGCCCCUCAUGCUUUGAACUAAAUUGUAAAUGUGACGGAAUCCGUUAAACUUAACGGAAAUGACUUAUUGGAACCUAAAAAAAAAAUUUUAUACCUAAUUUUUAUCAAAUAUACCUAUUCUACCCCUUAACCCUCAAUUUCUCUAUUUAGAAAAUAAAAUAAAUAAUUUUUUUGAGCUGUCUUUUGCUUAAUUAUAUGAGAAUAUUUUGGUCAUUUUGACCAUUUCCGUUAAGUUUAACAGAUUCCGUCACCUUUACAAUUUAGUUUAAAGCAUGAAGGGGCGUGUUGUAUAUUUUGAAACCAUGGGGGACUUUUCUGUGUAUUAGACUUACCGCAGAAGGCUUUUUUGUUUUUAACCCUUAUAUAAAUCAUAGAGGAUUAAGUGGAUUUUAUGAUUCCAUCACAUACGUCAUCUAGAAUGUGUUUGGUUCAAUCAUCUAAUUGAUGAUGCAUUCUUUCAUUUUCUAUUUUGCAUAAAACCACAUAAAGGUUAUAUUACUAUUGUGAAACUUUAGACGUGUUACGUGGCAUUGAAGAAAAUUAUAGGGGGAUUAUAUGUAAUUUAUCCUUUUUUUUACAUGAAUUGUAGUUAUAUAUAUUAUUUUAAUGCUUUUUGGGACUACAUGAUAUUGAACCCUUUUUUGGGGGUCAAAUGAUGUUGUAAUCAAUAGAGAGAAAUUUGAGAAGGAAUAUGAGGGUUCAAAUCUGAUCUAUCUAUUAGAAACUAGCCUCCUAAAUUUCAAAAAAGAAAGUUAAUUAGAGAUCCUCUCUUCAUAUUAUUAUUAUUUUUUUUGGCUAGCGAUAUACGUUAAUCAAACCAAUUGCAAAGCCAAUCGUUCAUGAUUGCCCACAUGUUGCUAAAUCUAAUCAUCAGCAUUGGUUCUUGGUUGCCUGCAUAAUUCUCAUCGUUUGAUUUUUCAAUUAAUUACACUGCAAAAGAAUACGAGUUCAACUUUACUACUAGCAGAAGUUAUUUGUCUUUUUCCCACACAAAAAAAAAAGUAAAGCAGAAGUUAUUUAUAGCCCAUCAUCUCAUAUGGAACAACAUGCAAUGCUGUAAUGCCGCGAAUGCUGAGCCUUCUUACUCAGCUGUCGCGGGCUGUUAUGAGCUGUGGGAAUAGUGAGAGGACAAGGAGAAGCACGCCUUGGAAAAAUGAGCUAAGUUGUGCAAGGAGUGGGCUGGGGACAGUAACAUUACUUAUUGUAUGUUUUCUCUUUGAGGUAAUUUUUGGUAAUAACUCUGUCCAGUGCUGAGGCAAACCCCGGUCGAUUUUGCAUUUCUAGUUUGAUAUACGAGGGCCUUUCCAUGUCUGAAGAUCAAAUAGUACAGUUUGGAAUUGCUGAUGGUUCUACGGCAAGCUCAAUAUCAAAGAACAAGGAGAUUGAUGUGAGCAUCUAUCUAGCUGAGAUUGUUAUGUAUUAGGUCUUGAAUUCUCUAUAGUUCCGUGCUUUUGUGAUUUUGUGCUUUACCACAUAACUCUCUCCAUAGUUUAAAAACAUAUAUGAAACCCGAUCAUAAUUUGGGUUAACGUGUCACUGUUAGUUUUUCCGUUAAAACUAACGGUUAAUAGUAAAAAGUCAAAAUCAAACUAAUAAUUUGAUAAAUUUACGCUUUCACUAUUCUCUCUCUCUUUCUCUCUCCCUGGGAAGAGAAGAGGUGAUUUUGAAAACCUAUGCUUUGGAUAGCAAAAUUUUUCAAAAAAAAUAUUUCGUUUACAUCAUAAACACAUUUUUCAAUCCACUUUUUUAUCUCACAUACAUUACAUCACAAAAAGCACUACAGUAAUCAUUUCAAGUAACUAUUUGGCAUAAUACUCUAUCCAAACAAAGCCUUAAUUUUCUCCAAAUAAAAAAAAUAUGGAAGGAAAAUAAAAAAUAAAAAUAAAUAAAUAAGAAACAAAAAGGAUGGAAGGGAAAUAUAAAAAAAGUAAAUGAGAAACAAAAAAUACCAAAUCUUUUUUGACUACAAAUAUCAUUAUAGGUUUUUAAACCAAAAUUUUAAUGGCAUUUUCUAUUUCUUAUUUAUCUAUUUUUUAUUUAAAUUUCUUCAAGUAAUGAAAAGAUAAAUUUGUCAAUUUAUUAGUUUGAUUUGACCUUUUACUAUUGAUCGUUAGUUUUAAUGAAAAAAAUUAAAGAUGGCACUUUAAUUCAAACUAUGAGCAAAUUAUAUAUAUUUUUUAAACUAUAGAGAGAUUAUGUGGUAAAGUACCUAAUCAUAGGGGAUAACAUGCAAUUUACCCAACUUAAUAUUAACUAGCCCUUACAUUGCUAGAGCAAAUGGGUCCGUUGUUGCUCUUGAUUGCCAACAUACACAUACGUAGAUCAUCUACACUUUUGUUCCUAAUUGACAACAUAAACCAUAUCUUUUGAUUUUCUAAUAAUACUUGCAAAAAAAAAGAAUGAAAAAGUGACGUGUCCUUCUAUACGACUAGAAGAUUAUUGAUUGUGCACCCCGAUUUGUCUAGUUUAGGGAAAAAAAAUUUUAGAGUGAAUUGAAUCGAAUUCAAAUUUUGUGUUUUGUGAUAAUUCCUAAUAGAGAACGAAAUGUAGAUUUUGAGUGUAAAAAUAUUUUAAGAAAUAGUAGUGAUAAACAUUGUAAGUUUAUUAGCACAAAGUAAUUAUAAUAGUCAAUGAUGAAUGAUCACAUAUGCAAUGCUAAUUGAAACACUGGCAAAUUUGGGAAGGAAAGAGCAGACUUGGAAAUGAUCAACAUAUGCUACAUUUACCAGACAAACCAUAUUAAUAUAGGUUUACAUAUUAUCUCUGACCAAAAUUUAAAUAAAGAUUAAGACACAAAAAGAUAAAGAGUAAUACUAUACAGUACAUUAACAACAUCAAGCAUUAUACACAAUACAUACAAUAAAUAAGGAGGUAAGACACAGAAGAUGUCGAAGGGGAAAAAAUUUACUAAUAAAAAAUAAAAAACAAGAGCAGUGUUGUCCACAGCAGAGAGGGUGCAAACCAGAGAAAGGGGAAUGAUUUAUGUUUUCUUCUUCUUCUUCCCCCAUAGCUGGCGCUGUCUCCAUUCCCCAUCUUCUGUAUAGCAACCAAUGACAAUUUCAGGAAUGUGUGCGAUUCUUGUGUAAUCUUCACUUUCUUCCUUCUGAUUCUCUACCUUUUCUAUCAUUUCAGAACUCAUCUCAUACAAAUACAGCCCUUGAAGAUGGCUCAAGUGCUGAAUACCCAAAGGUAGCUCCUCUAGUAAUGGAAGUUGAUCCAAAAUGAGUUGAUGGAGACGAGGCAAUGCACCCUCCUCCACUCUCAUCCAUCUCAACCCUUCCAUUCUCUUUAGGUGCAACUUCUUCAGAUUGAGGAACCCUCCAGCCUGGAAACACAACCCUUCUCCCUGGUAAGAUCCACAGAAAUUAAUUUUACCCAAAUUGGGCAAAUGUCGGAGGGAUUCAAGCGGAUCCUCAUCACCCCUUAACCUGCUCCAAUUCAAAUCUAUUCUUACCAAGCCGUGAAGAUGAGCUACCCAUUGUGGCAUCUUUUCUAAGCGGCCACACAAAAUCAGCAGAUGAAGAGAUUGAAGAAAAGAAGAAGAAGAAGAAGAAGAAGGAUGGUGAUUUAGAUCGAUUAUCUCAUGAUCAUCGUUACCUUCUCCAAUUGAUUCAAUGCUUAAUCUAUGAAGACUGGUGAGCUUGGCAAGGGAGGAGCAGAGCUCCUUUCCAUCUUCUCUUCUUAACUUUGUAAUACCUAAUUCUCUUAAUUGGGUCAGCUUUCCUAUCUCCUUGACUACUGUAGAUCCACUACUAGCAUCUAUGCAGUCUAAUACUUCUAGGGCAAGAAGCCCUCCCAUAUUCGAGGGAGCUUUAAAUCCAUGAAAUCCAUAAUCAUCAUCGAAAGAAUCAACUCGUUGAUAUACUUUGAGAACCCGAAGUUUUUGCAACUUUAGGAUUUCCAUGGGUAAUUCCCUAACUCUGGUGUUACUCAAAUCCAGAAAUUCCAAAUGUUGAAGCUUUCCAAUGGCUUUUGGAACUCUCUCCACUCUCGUACCCCCUAGGUACAGAUACUUGAGAUGAAACAUCUUGAAAACCUCAUUUGGUAUAUCCUCUUGGGUCUCUUGACCACCCAAAUGCAAAACCUUUAACAGCUUACUACUCCUUAAAACAUCAGAUAACAACAGUUUGAAUAGUAGUGGGCUCAUGGAUCCAAAUGUAACGAACGACUGAAGGUGGUCAAAGCAAUAACUUCUUCUUUGUUGGUGGUCCUGGGUGUUGUUACUACUACUAGUAUGGACUACCAGACGGCGUACCUUCUCGGACGGCCGCAUCAUUGGUUGUCCAGUAGUAAUUGUGACCAUGUUUUGUUCCCUUGACUUGAGAACAAUAACUUCUCUCAACAGGUCAUGGAUUCGACAAUAGUCGGGUAAUCCUUCAUAAUACACCUUAGUCACUUGAAUUAGGCUUCGAUUGACGAGUUCACUAAGCCAACCCCAGGCUACAUCUUCAAUACUCAUUCCUUCUCUCCAUUCUACAAACCUUUCAGCAAUCCACAAAUUAAUUAGGUCAGAGCAUUCUAUUUCAUAAUCCUCUGGAUAGAUGCUUGUGUACAGCAGACAUAUCUUGAGAUGCCAAGGCAGGUCGCUAUAACUGAGAGAGAGUAUCUUUUUAACUCUGUCCAACUUACCCGUGCCUUCUAAUUCACCCCCAAGACUGCGUCGAACCAUCUCCCAUUCGUCCAUCCUAUUUACAUCUUUCGAAGCCAAAAGCCCACUGAUUGCAAUGAUUGCAAGGGGCAAGCCCUCACAUUUUUCCAAUAUACCUUUGGCAACAUCCAUCAAAUGGCCAGGGCAAGUACCUCCAUUAAAGAUCUUGUUGCAAAACAGGGUCCACGAAUCCUCAAUAGACAGUGGCUCCAUUCUGUAGACAAGACCCCCAGAUUCACUGCAAGAGGCAGAGGCUACAUCAGCUUUUCGAGUUGUUAGCAUGACACGGUUGCCACAGCAGCUCUCAGGCAGUGCAAAUUUGAUGGUAUUCCAAAAUUCCACGUCCCAUACAUCGUCAAAAAC